UUUUUUUUUUUUUUUUGAAGUUUUUUUUUUUGAAAAAAAAAAAAAGGAAAAAAGAAAUUGACACAUUUUCUUGGAUGUUUCAGAAAAAUGACAACUGAAUCCGAUAACGUUGUUGUAACUGAAUUAGCCCCAGUGGCAACCCCUACUGUGGCCCAAGUGCCAGCGAUGCCUACUGCUGUACCAAUCUCUGCCUCACCAGGAGAAAAACCAGAGAAGUUCAGUGGACUAAAUUUUAAAAGGUGGCAACAAAAGAUGUUAUUCUAUUUGACCACGUUGAAUCUUGCAAGAUUCUUGACUGAGGAUGCUCCUAAGCUCAAAGAAGACGAGCACGAUAUCCAAGUCAUCAGUGCUAUAGAUGCUUGGAAACAUUCUGACUUCUUGUGUAGAAAUUAUGUCAUGAAUGGUUUAGCUGAUUCGUGGUACAAUGUUUAUUCUGACAAGAAAACAACUAAGGAGCUAUGGGAAUCUCUAGACCGGAAAUAUAAAACUGAGGAUGUCGGGGCUAAGAAAUUUGUUGUGGGUCGCUUCCUCGACUAUAAGAUGGUAGAUUCCAAGACUGUGGUAAGUCAAGUCCAAGAACUUCAAGUAAUCUUGCAUGAGAUACAUGCUGAGGGAAUGAUGUUGAGUGAAACUUUCCAAGUAGCAACUAUUAUUGAGAAACUACCCCCUGCUUGGAAAGAUUUUAAGAAUUACCUCAAGCACAAAAGAAAGGAAAUGAGCAUCGAGGAUCUAAUUAUUAGACUUCGCAUUGAAGAAGAUAAUAGAAGAUCUAAAAAGAAAGGGGCGCACACUCUAAAUGAGGCCAAGGCUAACUUUGUGGAACAUGGUCAAAGUUCCAAGACAAAGACGAACAACAACAAAGGGAAAUGAUCUAAGUUGGGACCUAAAGGAGGGAUCUCAAAGAAGCCGAAAUUUCAAGGGAAAUGCUUCAAUUGUGGUAAGCAAGGUCACAAGUCUGUUGAUUGUAGACUGCCCAAAAAGAAUAAACCUAAGGAAGCUAAUGUGAUUGACGACAUCACUAAAAAUGUUUCUGACAUUGACCUCACAGCAGUAGUCUCUGAGGUGAACUUGGUGGGUUCUAACCCAAAGGAAUGGUGGAUUGAUACUGGUGCUACUCGCCAUGUAUGCUCUGAUAAGAAAAUGUUCUCCACUUUUGAACCAAUUGAGAAUGGGGAAAAAGUGUUCAUGGGGAACUCUGCCACCUCUGAGAUCAAGGGUCAAGGUAAAGUAAUCUUGAAGAUGACUUCUGGGAAAGAGUUGACUCUGACCAAUGUUUUAUAUGUACCGGAAAUUCGCAAGAACUUGGUGUCUGGUUCAUUGCUGAAUAAUCAUGGAUUUCGGUUGGUCUUUGAGUCAAACAAAUUUGUUUUGUUCAAGAGUGGAAUGUAUGUUGGGAAAGGGUAUAUGAGUGAUGGAAUGUGGAAACUCAAUGUAAUGACUAUUAUUAAGUCAAAUAUGAAUAAAGCUAGUACUUCUACUUACAUGCUUGAGUCUUCUAAUCUAUGGCAUGGUAGAUUAGGACAUGUUAAUUAUGAUACAUUACGUAGAUUAAUUAACUUAAAUCAUAUACCAACAUUCCAAAUUAAUUCCAACCAUAAAUGUGAAACUUGUGUUGAGGCAAAACUAACAAGGUCAUCUUUUCAAAGUGUUGAAAGAAACACUGAACCCCUUGAUUUGAUCCAUAAUGAUAUCUGUGAUUUGAAAUUUGUACAAACAAGAGGUGGUAAUAAAUAUUUUAUUACUUUUGUUGACGAUAGCACCAAAUAUUGUUAUGUGUAUUUACUAAAAAGCAAGGAUGAAGCUAUAGAGAAAUUUGUUCUCUAUAAAAACGAAGUUGAGAAUCAACUCAACAUGAAAAUUAAGGUACUAAGAAGUGAUCGAGGUGGUGAGUAUGAAUCGCCAUUUGUUGACAUUUGUGCUCAACAUGGGAUUAUACACGAAACAACAGCACCUUAUUCGCCUCAAUCCAAUGGAGUGGCUGAGCGAAAGAAUCGUACCUUAAAGGAAAUGAUGAAUGCAAUGUUAAUAAGUUCUAGUUUGCCACAAAACAUGUGGGGAGAAGCCAUUUUAACUACUAAUUACCUUUUGAAUAAGGUACCCAAAAAGAAAGCAGAAAAGACUCCAUAUGAGUUAUGGAAAGGAAGAAAGCCAUCCUACACAUACUUACGAAUGUGGGGAUGUCUUGCUAAAGUGGCAGUUCCUCCACCUAAAAAGGUGAAAAUAGGACCUAAGACUAUUGAUUGCAUUUUCAUUGGCUAUGCACAUAAUAGUAAUGCUUAUCGGUUUCUUGUUUAUGAAUCAAAUAUCCCAGAUAUUCAUAAGAACACGAUAAUGGAAUCAAGGAAUGCAUCAUUCUUUGAAGGUGUAUUUCCAUGUAAAUCCAAAGAAGAGCCAAGUUCAUCAAAAAGAAUGCUUGAGAGUUAUGAUCAAAAUGAAGAAGUUGAGUAGAACCUAGACGUAGCNNNNNNNNNNNNNNNNNNNNNNNNNNNNNNNNNNNNNNNNNNNNNNNNNNNNNNNNNNNNNNNNNNNNNNNNNNNNNNNNNNNNNNNNNNNNNNNNNNNNUCAAGGAUACAGAACAUGGAUAUGUCAUUGUAUGUUUGUAUGUAGAUGACAUGCUUAUUGUUGGUAGUGAUGAUAAGAUGAUCACAUCUACAAAGAACAUGUUGAAUUCAAGGUUUGACAUGAAAGACAUGGGACUUGCUGAUGUUUUAUUGGGAAUAAAAAUCAAAAGAACAUCAGAUGAACUCAUAUUAAGUCAGUCACAUUAUGUAGACAAAAUUCUUGGAAAGUUUGAUAAAGAUAAUUCUGGAGUUGCUAGAACAUCGGUGGAUGUAACUCUACAUUUGUCCAAGAAUAAAGGUGAGAGUGUUUCUCAAGUAGAAUACUCUAGAGUAAUAGGCAGUCUAAUGUACUUAAUGAGUUGUACAAGACCAGACAUAGCCUAUGCGGUUAGUAAACUGAGUAGAUAUACGAGUAAUCCCGGAGCCAAGCAUUGGCAAGGAAUUAUAAGAGUACUAAAGUACUUACGGUUUACUCGUGAUUAUGGGCUGCACUAUACGAGAUAUCCUGCUGUACUUGAAGGAUAUAGUGAUGCGAAUUGGAUAUCUAAUGUUAAAGACUCAAAAUCCCAUAGUGGUUAUGUGUUUACACUAGGAGGUGCAGCAGUGUCGUGGAAAUCCUCAAAACAAACGGUUAUUGCCAGAUCCACAAUGGAAUCUGAAUUUAUAGCACUAGAUAAAUGUGGGGAAGAGGCUGAAUGGUUACGCCACUUCCUAGAGGAUAUUCCAAGGUGGUCAAAGCCUGUGCCUCCAAUUUGCAUACAUUGUGAUAGUCAAUCUGCAAUUGGUAGAGCACAGAGUAAUAUGUAUAAUGGUAAGUCUAGACACAUUCGUCGUAGACACAAUACCAUUAGACAACUACUCUCAACUGGGGUUAUCUCUGUGGACUAUGUGAAAUCCAAAGAUAACAUUGCGGAUCCACUAACCAAAGGGUUAAAUAGAGAGUUAGUUGAAAAGUCAUCAAGGGGAAUGGGACUAAAGCCCAUAAAAGAAUAAGUCAAUACAGUGGAUACCCAACCUAGUUGACUGGAGAUCCCGAGAUCUAGGUUCAAAAGGGACAACUAAACUGUAAAGACUUUGUUAAAUCACUGUGGGGAUCUUCCCUAGUCCAUUCCUAUGAUAAAAUAGUGAUGCCCGUAAGAGGAAAGGGUAAGCUAUGCUUUUAAUGAUCCUUAUGCUUCGGAAAUCCGAACAGAGUAAUGCGGGUUACUCGUGAUUAAGAGAUCACCUAUGUAAGAGUGAAGUGGGGCCGCUUCUAAGGGAAUUGAAUAGGGCACAAUUCUUAUUAAACUCUUACAGAACCAAGCGUGUAUGUUCAUGGCCAAAAUGAACAUAAAAGUGAGAACUGAAAUUUGUUAGGAAGAUUCCUGUGUGAGAUAUGUCAUCAUCUACAUAAAUGGCAGAACAGUUCAAGGACAUCGUGUCUACUGUUUAGCUAGUAGAGUAAACAUAUUUCUACAAGGGAAGGUUCAAAGGGUAACACCUACCUCUCCUAUGCAGGUUUCAACCGUUGUACUCUAUCACAAAGUUCAUCGUGUCUUAAUUUCUUUCAUGUGGGGAAUUGUUGGAAAAAGGGGAUGAAUGAAAUUAAGAAAUCCAUUGAAUUAAGUAAAUUCAUUCAUUUUUCCAGAAUUCUAAGAGUCUCAAGAAGCCAAAUUCAUUUGGCUUUCUGAACCUGUCUGUGUUCUUCCCUCCUUGAAGUCUAUAAAUAGUGGUAGACUUUCUUUUCUAAAAAGAACAGAAAAACUUUGGAGUAUUGUCAGAGUGUUGAAGAGUUCCUUCCUUCCGUGUCCGUGAUAGAGUUGAACAAAUUCCAGUUCGCCGGAGUGGCUGUAGAGUGUUGUUGCUGCCAUUCGAAGAUCGUUUUAUCCUGGGAGACAGACGCCUUGCGAUUCUCAAAGCACCUGUGGAGAAGGCGAAUCUGUUUUAAGGAGAUUGUGUUUUCCACAAGACUCGGUCUAAUCCUGUUUUUUUUUUUUUUUUCCAGUUUUCUUUUAUUUUCUUAUGAACUAACCAGUGUGUGCAGUGUGGUUGUCUAACACUCUCUUCAGGAAAUACCAAAUUGCAUCCUAUUGGCUAGCCUCCUCAUACCCGUUAUGGCAUACCUCUCCUUCAUCUUUCUUAGCCGAUGACCACCUCUCUUCUCUUUAGGCUUGGGAUCAGAAACUGGAAAAGGUUUAGGUUGUUUUGCAGGAGGUGGCUCCUGCCAUUUCUCAAGCUUCUUAAGGAUCUCUAUUCAAUGGAGUUCAAAAACUUAAACAAUAUGGUCUGAAGGCAUGACAUGGACGAUUUCUGAUUAAAGUUCCGAUGAUUCAAGUAGGAGACGUUCUCAUGGGGGAGAAUCCGAAACAGCGUCUAUGCCCUGAGUCACAAAUUUGUCUAGGAAUUUCAGAUAUAGCAGAUGCUCAGAGGAGAGUGCUUCUUCUUCAACCACAUCUUUCAUUGCUUGAACAUCCUUCUCAAUUGCAUAAUUUGCAUAGAGCUGAUUGGAUACAUCGGGUCAUGCCCUCACCAAUGUCACUCUUCAUUAAACGAGACAGUGAUGGGAGGACAUUGAUUGGUGGGUGGAGCUGUUUGUCAAUGUAAAUCUGGUCUUCAGUGGGAGCGGGAUGUGUUAUAUCAUCAUAGGGCAUAGUUAAAAUCGGGAUUUGUGUAAUGGGACCCUUCCUUCUUUCAAUACGUCCAGGCUCCAGCACGUUCGUAAAUUGUCGCCAGAUCAGCACACAUAUACCCAGGAUACCCACGCCUUCCGGGAACUUCUUCUCGGGCAGCAGAUACCUCAUAAAGGGCAUGUACAUCAGAACUCAUAUCUGCUAGUAUGACAAGAACAUGUUUGCCACAUUCAUAUGCUAAAUAUUCAGCAGUGGUGAGAGCAAUGCGAAGAGUGAUGAUGUGUUCAAUGGUGGGGUCGUUGACCAGGUUGAGGAAUGGAGUCACUCUCUCCAUUGAUCUAUUUUCCUCGAAAUCACGUUUUUGAAGAAAAAAAAGUUGUGCAGUCUCCAUGUUUCCUCCCAUAGCUGCAAAAAAAAACAAUGGCAAAGUCGUCCUCUUCCACGUCCUGUAGGAGACUUCCAGACUUCACAUUAUAUCCGAAUGUGGAAACGCCAACACAUCUUCAGCAUGUACUCAACCAACCCGAACGUGAAGCUCGACAGUCCCCUCAUCAUCCAUUGAUGUCACAGUACCUAGAGGGGAAGAACCAUCCAGAACAAUUGCAAAUCUUGAUGGUGAGAGAGCCACGAAGCUGGGAUCCUCGCUGAUCAUCACCGCAUGCAUUGACGCGCGUGGACGAUAAGGGAGCCAGGUGUGUCUGCUCAUGUCAAAGAUUCGACUUCCUGUAGGUUUGCCACAUCCUGAACAGACCUGAAUUUUCUCUUCUUUCGGACCCUUGUCUCAGAAAAUGGUUCCAUAGCUGUCACGUGUUUCAGAGGCAAAUUGAUGCCUUGGAUUAAGAGGGUCUGAUGAUAGAGUCUUCUGAUUGAAACAGAACUCUUCCAAUAAAUGCUUCUGAAAUGAAUAACAAAACUAGGCCAAAAUAAGGGUGUACACUUCUACAAUAAAUAAGGUAUACCUAAUUAUGAAGCUCUUUAAUUUGAAGAUGCUUGAGAACAAAAAUUUUAAGCAACAUUUGAAUGAAUUUGCGAGUGAGAUAGAUUGCAAGAGGAGCACUACAAAGUAUGUCUAAGGAUACUUAUAACCAUUAGUUGGAUUUCACACUUUAGGCCUACAACUGAAGCCGAGUACAUGGUUAUGAUAAAAGUUAGCAAAAAGAUGAUUUGGUUGCAGCAAUAUUCAUUAGCAAAUUUAUGAGUCAAACAUAUGAUGAAUGUAUUAAAGUGAAAGACAUAUGGCUAAUUCAAUAUUUCAUUUAAUGACUAAAUAUAUUGUACUUUGUUAUCACUUCAUCAAGUCUUUACUUGAAGAUGGAGUGUCAACAUUUGUGGAGAUACAAGGUAGCAAGAAUCCAACUAACAUGUUGACCAAAAUAGUGAUAAUAGAGAAACUGGAGUUGUGCAUAGCUUUAAUGGGUCAUGGGUGAGGAUGGGUUGUUUAAGUGCGCACCAUAUUCAUUAAUCAUUAAAGGAAGAUAUUUACUUGUACUUUAGUUUUUAAGUGGGAGAUUGUUGGAUUAUAAAGUUUGAAUCAUUCUUAUCAUGCUACAUAGGAGAUGUCGAGGAUUGAAUGACAAGUUUGCCCCUAUUGUAUUUAACCCUUUAUGAUUCAAGGUUUAGUUAGAGAGUGGAAAGAAAAUAGCAUGGCCACAAUUGAAAGGAGGAGAGUUUUCACCAUUGUAACUUUUGUAUUUUCAUUUCAUUAGUAGAUUUUUGAGUGUUAGUGCAUUCGUGGAUGUAUGAUUCACAAUAAUCGUUGAACCAUGUUAAUUUUUUUUUCUCUCUUGUUUUUGCUUAUGUAUAUGUGCUUAUGUUAAUCGGUUGUGAUUAGAUUAAUUGACUACUUGACUCGAACCAACCCGACUUGCAUGAGUUGCAUCCUUAUGAGGUUAGGGUUUUUGUGGAUAGGGGAUGGGAUGAAGAGGAUGAGGGCAUUUUUUGCCCUUUCACAUUCAAGUUUUAUUUGAAAGUUAAAUACAAUUGUAUGCAUACAUUUCAUGUUGUAUGAUCUAAGAAAGAUGGGAAAAAAGAUAAAACAAAUUUAUAUAAAUAUAUAAGAAAAAUAAAUGUCAAUAAUAUGACCAUGUGCUUUAAUUUGAUCUUGUAGUUGAUCUUAGUUCAAGAUGACACAAAUUCUUGAAUAAAAAAUGUGGUCUAAGGCUCAACUAGACUUGAUCUUGACUUUGUUACCUAAAAUGUGGUCUUCAUCUUUAAAAGAAUGAAAGAAAACUACUUAUUUUUUGCUUUAAUUAAUUUUUUUUCAUGGGCUUGCCAAGAAAUGUCGAACUAGUAAAGGAUGUUCAAACUUGUUGAAGAUUCGUUCACUAUUCAAGCUCAUUUGUUACUCAAACUUCCAUCAAAAGGAUACAUGAGCUACUCUUGUUUAAAAAAACCUCAUGAAUUUUUGUCCACUCUUCAAUUUUUUUUUUCCUUAAAGAAAAUGUUAUAAUGGUUUCAUUUUAAAUGUUCAUGCCAGAACUUCAACUUCUCUACUUGCACUCCUUCCCUUUGAAAUCAAAGAUAGUUUGUCUAUGUUUUAGAAAGUUUAAAUAAUGAGACCAUUAUAUUUGACACUUCAAUUCAAAUUUGAAAUAUUGCCAACAUAUGAAUCUAAAGUUUAAAUUUAGACAACACUUAAAAGUUGAUUUGUCAAUUAAAUUCACUUUUAAACUUUUCAUUAAUUCUUAACUUAAAAAUAAAGUAUAUUACCUACAUUUUAUGCAAUUUAUAAAUUAGUAAAUUUUUUCUUAUUUUUUAAGUAAAUUUAGAUAUAAAUUUUUUUUUGAAGAAUAUAUAUUAAAAACAACACAAAUUAUAUUUUGAUCGGAUAAACCAAACAUAAUUAUCUUACUUUAAACAAAUAUUAAAUACAUCGGUAUAAGAGUGAAAGACUAGGGAUCUGUUUAGUAAUUGUUUUCGAGAAUAGUUUUCUAUUUUUCAUAAUAUAAUAAUAAGAAAAUAUGUUUGAUAAUCAGAAACUAUUUUCUUUUUUCUUUUCUUAAGAUAAGAAAAUAUGAUAUUUUUAGAUAACAUCUUUAAUUAUUUUAUAUUGUUUUCCGUUGUUUUCUAAAAGUUAUCUCAUAAAAUAAUUAUAAAAUGAUUAAAAAUAAAACACAUGAUAUAAGAAUUAUUUUUGAAACAUAUUUUAAAAUAUUAAAAACGAGUUAAAAACAAAAUCAGAAAACAUGUUCUCAAAAAUAGUUUUUCAGAACUAUUUUCGAAAACAGCUAUCAAAUAGUGUCUAAUUAACUAGGUAAAAGGAAAACAUCUAUUUAUUCUAAACAAAUAUAAUUGAAUACAUUAACACGACAGUACUGUUAACUAAAAAUAUAUCCGAUAAUUAUUACUUCUCUUUCAAAGCAAAUACUACAUAUCACCGUCCAAUAAUUGUACAAGAAAUAAAAAUAUAUAUUUUCUAAUUUAUAGAAUAAAUAAUAAUAAAGUAGUAAAUAUUUUAAAUAUCAAACAAGAUUGAUGAUUCUAUCCAUGGUAUGGAAAACCACUUUAUUUAGUCACAUGUGAUCGUCAUCUCUGCAACCUGAAACAUUUCCUGUAUUCAUCAUGCAGACUUUCCAGGAGUUCCUAGACCUGGAGAACCUUUACCGCGACAAUCGGUGAUGGGUGAGCAACCCCUUUGCCAUCGAUGGGCUUCUUGAGGCGGAGCCUUGGGAUUCUGGCGACAACCCACUGGUGGACUCGGUCCAUGGCAUGGGUUUAGGAACUUAUCAAUGUCAACCUCACCAUGUACGUGCAUGACCAAAAUCAUGCUGACAAGAGUCAGACAUAUGAGCCAUUUCUUCAUGAUGGAGAGUCCCAUGAUCUCUAUGUUAAAUUCCUUUUUCUUUAGCUUCCAAUGCGUGGCUAGUCAUGUGAAGGGAGUUUAUAUAGAUUUUGGAUAUGGAGACCUUUGGGGAGUCGAAUGUCUUAAUAUAGAAGAAGUGCUUAAAAUAAAGAAGGGCAAAACCCUUUUAUUUGGAUGGUUGGAAAAUGAUUUAGAAAAAUAAUUUUUGACAACUAUUUUAACUAUUUAAGGAAAAUUGUUCGUUAUUGUUCUGUAACGUAAAUAAAAGUUUCUUUUAACCUAUUUUUUAACUACGACAAAUGUCAUUUAUUUGACCAAAUUUUUAGUGUCAAUGACUUCAAAAUAUUUCCUUGGAGUAAAAAAUAAAAAAUAAUUUGGUAUAUGAUUGUUAGGUAUUUUUGGGCAUAAAAUAUAUAUGUCACAUUUCACAGUGAUAAAUGUCAAAUAUUUCAUUAAUUCUUUCAAAUCAAUGACUCCAAAAUUUCAAUUUACAAAGUUUUUGCCCAAACUUUUGUUUUCUUUGUUCAGUUCAACACAUAGUCUUAGAACAUGCCCAAAUUUUGAUAGUGACCCUAAAAUGUUUUUGAAAUGAAGAUGAUAAAAAAUGUUAAAUAAUAAUAAUAAUAAUAAUAAUAAUAAUAAUAAUAACUAUUGUUUUUGUUUUGUGGUUAUGAGAGCUCUAUGUUUUUGCUAAACUAUUAUGAUGCUUUCAAUGCUUAAUUAUGUUAUAUGCAUGACACUAAAAAUUUCAUUUAUAGAAUAUUAAUUAAAUUUAAUUUAAGUUUUAUAAAAAAAUGAAAACAAUUUCAUGAUUAAAAAUAAAUAGCUUUGAAUAAAAUAUGAAUAGUAAUAUUAUAAUAAAAUAAAAAAUUAUUGUUAUUUUUUGAGAAAAAUAAUAUUUUGGAAGAUGUUAGAAAAAUAUGAAUAUUAACAUCUUCAUAAAAAAAAGUAUAAUUGAUUUAAUCUGUAAUUAGUUGGAUUAGUUUUUAAAAUUCUAAAUUAUUUUUAAAAAUUAGAAGAUUUAUUAAAUAAUUUAUAUUAUUAAUUAUGUAUCACUUAAUUUAGAACCUAUUUAUAUAGUUAGAAAAUUACAAAAAAAAUGGUAUUUCAUAGGAGAAACAGUAAAGUCAUAAUUUAUAAUGUAUCGAUUUUGGUCUAUUAUUUUUUGUAGUGAUUAGAUUUAUUUUUAAUUUUGAGAAUUAUUGACCUCAUUAUCAACAUAAAGUGUCACUUAAUUUGAAAUUCAUUUCUCAGGUAAGAUAAUUUAUAAUAAUAUAAUUAUAUGCAAAAAAGAAAUAAAAAAAGUCAUUGUAAAAUAUUUUUUAUCCAUAAUUUUGUUUUUUAUUAAUUGGAUCAUUGUUUAAGUUUUAAGUUAUUUCUAAAAAUUAUUAGGCUUGUUAAAAAUUCAAUGCAUUCAAUCUUGUUUAAGUUGUAGUUUAUUUGUGUGGUAAGGAAAAAGAAAAAGAAAAAUAUGGUUCUAUAUAAAGGACAAACAAUACAUUCAUUUUAAACUAAUUUUUAUCCACAAUGUUUUUAUAUUAAUUAAAUCAAUAUUUAAGUUUCAAGUUAUUUAUGAAAAUUCCUAAACUCGUUAUGAAUUCAAAGCAUUAAGUCUUGCUUAAUUUGCUUAAAUCAAUUAAGUGCCAAAAUAAGAUAGUAUUUGGAAAAAUGACCUUUGCCUUUUAAAAACCUGAAGAAUGCACCAUUUUGGACUAAAUUACCCCUGAAAAAAAAAAAGAAACCUUUGAAAUUCAAAAGAGUAGAAAGGAAGAGAAAGAGAACAAACCAAGGAUUCUCUCUUGAAUGGUAGACUACAACACACUCUAUGGUCUUCUGAUAUAUAUAUAUAUAUAUAUAUAUAUAUGAAAUGAAAAUAAAACUUAAUUAAAAACCAUCCAUAUAGGAGGUAAUCAAAACAUACUUAUAUUAUAUAUAAGGAGAAAUAUCUUACAAUGAACAAAGGUAGGAAAGCUUGAAGAAAGCUUGAAAGCUUGAAGAGGUUACAUGAUGAGAGAGAAAGAAGAGAGAAGGGAGAGCAUAGGAGCCUAAAAUUGAACGUGCUCGGAAGCCUUAAUUAUGUGUCAGAUUUCAUACAAGAUUUAAGCCAAUUAUGUGCCCCUUUAAGACAAAGACUUAAGAAAAAUCCAGUCCCUUGGAAUGAGGAUCAUACCAAGAUUGUUAAAAUAGUAAAGUCUAGAGUCAAAACCUUACCAUGUCUCGCCUUAGCUGAUCAUAAAGCCUUUAAGAUUGUUGAGACUGAUGCUUCUGACAUAGGUUUUGGUGGAAUUCUUAAGCAAAGAGGUAAUAAUCAAGAAUUCUUGGUUAGAUUCACUUCUGGAACUUGGAAUCAUGCCCAACUCAACUACAACACUAUCAAAAAGGAAAUUUUAAGCAUCGUUUUAUGCAUUUCAAAAUUUCAAGAUGAUCUUUUAAAUCAGGAAUUUUUAUUAAGAGUAGAUUGCAAAUCUGCAAAAUCAGUUUUACAAAAGGAUGUUAAAAAUAUAGCUUCUAAACAUAUUUUUGCUAGAUGGCAAGCUAUUUUAAGCAAUUUUGAUUUUCAAAUUGAGUAUAUUAAAGGAGAAAAUAACUCAAUCCCUGAUUUCCUAACUCGUGAAUUUUUGCAGGAUUCACAAGACCAUGGCCCCCAAGAAAGACAAACAACCUUUUAGGUCCAUUAAACCUACAGAUUCUAAGAAUUCCCAUUCAGCUCUUUCUGAAAAAUUCAUGCCACUUUAUUAUGACCAUUUUGAAGUAGCAGGUCUGAUAUUAGCCUGUCAUCUGUCCUCUCAGCCGAAAGCAAGAUUCCGGGUCAAAAGUCAAUAGUGUUACAGUUCCCUCUUACUGUUCACUGUUACUAUUCAAGCACUAUUCAAGCACGGGUCUACUAUUCAUAGUUACUAUUCAAGAUUCCUUUUUGUUCUUCCAGCCAUUUCAAUCAUCACAUUCCUUCAGCAUCCCCUAGUAGGGAUAUAGAUUCAAGCUCGGAAUCUCUACCUUUUGUGGAAGAUUCUUUCCCCACAAAUCCAUCUUUUAACAAUACUAACACUUCAUCUGAUUAUAUCAAUUGCAUUUUUGAAUGGCAGGGAAGGUAUGAGAUUCUUGAAAGGAAACUUGAAUUAGUUGACUUUCAUAAGCUCAUGUUAAAAGCUCAAGCCUCAUUUUCCCCACUGGAAAAUGGUGAGAAUAAGCAUUCUACCCCACUGGUGAAUGAUAAAUUGAGUGAGGAAGAGUUGGGUUACCGUAUGCUACGAAUGUAUCAUCGUAAGACAGAGAAUCUAUACUCUCUUAAGCCAGAUCUACGUCUUCUAAUUUUGGAAAAGGCUAAGUCCUCAGCAGAAGAAAGACAAAUCUUCAUCUCUUCAUACCUCCAGGAUCUUCAUCUUUAUCUUUCUACCAAUAUUGGUCUUAAGGUCCCAGGAUUAAGCUUGGUUACUGAUAAGGAAGUUGAUGAUUCAAAAAUUUGCAGAAUGAUUGAAGAACCUUUCCAGUACCAACAAGGCAUCAAGAAAAUGAUUUGCAACUGCAACAGAAAUUUCACAAUCAGUCGUGUUUGCUUGGACUUACAAUACUAUUUGCCAAUUAGCAUCAAAUUCAAGGGUGAAGAUUUAUUAUUAACUCUAGAAAAGCUUCUGGACCAUGGUUUGGUUCAUCAAAUCAUCUGUUCUGAUCCCAACCAAGUUUCCCAGUUUGGAAGAAAAAUUGCUCUUGGUCUAACCCAAGGUUUUAAAAUGAAUAAGAAAUUCGCGGACGCCAUCAUCAUCAGCAAAGCUCCUGAGUGGGUUUCUAGUGGCAAGCUUAUUCCAGCUCAACACAUUGUUUCUCUUCACUAUCAGAAUAGGAGACCUACUCGUCUAUCUUACCCUCUGCUAUUUUCUGAUAUUUGUGCUGAACCCAUUAUUAAGCAAAUCAAACACUGGAGAGCUAGAACUAUUUGCAGGGAUUUUGAGGCUUUUCCAGGAAAUAUGGGACAUCUUAUUGCUGCAGAUUCCUGUCAUCAAAUUUUUUGUGGCAAAAAGUUAGACCCUCUUCCAGCCUUGACUAUUACUGAAGAUAUCAAGCUUCUUGAUGAACAUCGUAAGGAUUACUCUUGAUGGCCUGUCAACAAGAAUAUUUUCUAGCCAAGCAGUUUUCAGCAACAAAAGCAGCCUGUCAUCUGUCUUCUCAGCCGAAAGCAAGAUUCCGGGUCAAAAGUCAAUAGUGUUACAGUUCCCUCUUACUGUUCACUGUUACUAUUCAAGCACUAUUCAAGCACGGGUCUACUAUUCAUAGUUACUAUUCAAGAUUCCUUUUUGCCUAUUUAAGGAGGCUCGGUCCUCAUUUGUGAGCACAUUCAAUUUUAGGCUCCUAUGCUCUCCCUUCUCUCUUCUUUCUCUCUCAUCAUGUAACCUCUUCAAGCUUUUAAGCUUUCCUACCUUUGUUGAUUGUAAGAUAUUUCUCCUUAUAUAUAAUAUAAGUAUGUUUUGAUUACCUCCUAUAUGGAUGGUUUUUAAUUAAGCUUUAUUUUUAAGUUUUUUAUUUUGUACCGCCUACAUGGUCGGUUUUAUGUUUUUAUUUUGUAUCGCCUACAUGGUCGGUUUUAAGCUUAUUAUGAACUAACAAGUUUUUGGUUCCUUCUCUUUAAAUUUCAUUGUAGGAUAUCUUUUGUAUUUUCUAACCCUUUUCUUUGUUUUGAAUCAUGGCAUAAUUCCUAUUUUCAUUGCACAUGACCUUGUCCUGGGUGUCUAUGGUAUCAGAGCCAUGUGGGAGGGAAGUUGGGUCUUGUUUUGGGUGUUCUUGGCCUAUCCUAGGAUAGGUAGCAGUGUGCUUAGGAGCGCGAGCCCUGCCGGUUGAGCCGUUGUUAGCCGUGGAUAGGCGUUUGUUAGGCUGUAAGAGGGUUGGGGUGACGUCUCAUAAGGUUUGUCAAUCUGCUAUUAGGCUCUAGAUCAAAAACCCUAAAAUGAGUUCAAUUUUCAGAACCAUGUCUAGGAGAUCCAGUGAUUCUCAAGAUACUGUUGUAAACAGUGAAGAGAUCAAUUAUCCUAAGAUCCAAAAUGAUUUAGAUGAUUGGAAGUUACCCAAGGUGUCUAAUCAAGAAAUUUAUAAGAAAGGAACCUUUAAGUUCUUCACAGAUUAUACCAUUAAGACCUCUAAAAUGACAGUCAGUUUAGAACAAGACAACCAAGUCAUAAGACUUCUAGAUAACAGAUCCGUUGAAAAGCAUAAGAAAGAUGGCUAUAAUUUCAUACACUUUGGUAUGAUUCAAGUAGCAGCUAAGCCUUUGACAAGAUUAGGUUUAAACACCGCUAUUGUCAUGUGUUUAAGAGAUAAUAGGCAUCUCGAAUAUCGAGAUUCUAUUAUAGGCGCAGUCCAAGCUGGACUGAAUGAUGGCCCAGUUUAUUUCCAGUGCUAUCCUAACUUCACAGUUAGAUUAAAAGAUGCAGACAUCUUAGAUUCAGUUGUCCUGCACAUUAAGACCCAUGGCUUUAAGAUCAAACCAGGAAACAGUCCUGUUUCAAUCAUAACCAGGUUUGCCUAUAAGAGCAUGAACACAAGCGUUGGAUCUGGGUCUCUUUGCACCAGUCCUAAAGGAGAGACCACUUACUUUCACUCAUAUAUGCUAGAUAAGUCAGAUUUCAUCAUCCCCAAGAAGAUCUUGUGGAAAGAUGUUGAUUUCCUUGAAAAAUUGGCAUUUUGCUAAUGCUGUUCCAGCCAUAGCACAACGUUCUGAAAGUAUUGAACAAAUAGUUCAAUAUCCAGAUGGAGGAGGAGAACUCAUUUUUUCCAAAUCUUUCAGACAUUCUAACAGCCCUAGAGUUUCUGUUUAUGAAUCCUCUAGAGCUUCAAGCUCUUCCAUCCCAGUUAGAACCACUAGGGAAGAAGAAGGAUCCAGCUCAGGAAAUCCUAAUAAUGUUAAGCUAACAGGUGUCAGAAGUUACACCAAUGCGGCUAGACCAUUUUACUCUGAGGAAAAUGAGUCUACUCAGGAAUCCCAACAGGAUGAGUCCCCUGUUAUGUCUCCUACCUAUUCCCAGAUGAUUAACACAAUAAGCCUAAGUGAUGAGGACUUUGAGAUCAACAAGGAUCUCUUAAGAAAGGACUUCUAUUCUGAAGUCAAUAAGCAAAGAAAUGAUUGGUUCUUUAGCACUGUCCCUAAGGUCAUUAGAACCAUUUACCAAAAAGAAUUCUAUGCCUACUUAAGACAAGAAAAGAAAAACAUUAAGUUUUGGAUUUGGUUUGAACUCUUCAAACAACAGGAAUAUCCAGAUUAUCCUUGUAAGCGUGUAGAUAACACUAAGAGCACUAAUAAAACUAAGCCCUUUGAAUUUUCUAAGGAAUUCGAAGAAAAUCCCCAAAUCAACCAGGCUUUUGUUGAUAGAAUUAAUCAGAAGAUUAAGGAUAAUCUUGUUGCCCCUUUGACUGUUCAGCCUGAUAAGAGAAUCAAUAUGGUUAAAGGUGAAAUUAGUUCAGAAGAAGAAGCUGAUGAACUAAUUAAGAUGUUUGAGGGACCCCAUAAUCAAAUUAUUAACAACUUGGAAACCUUUAAGACUAGGAAUUACUAUCCUAGGCCUACUUUUCCUGACAUGCAGUUUGAGGAAAGAAAUCAGUAUACUCAAGCCUCUUACACCAGUGGUACUAUCUAUGAAUGGAACAUAGAUGGUAUGACCGAGUAUAACAUACUCACUAAGCUUCAAGAAAUGACCAUGGUAAGUACAUCCUAUAAAUUAAACAAUAGACUGCCAGAUCAUGCUGUAGCUCAGACCAUUGUUGCUGGGUUUAUAGGUCAGCUUAAGGGUUGGUGGGAUAAUUAUCUCACUUUUGAUGAUAGGAAUAGUAUCCUUAAAGCCUAUAGGAUUAAUGAGAGUAAUGAAGUUGUUAAGGACGAAGAUGGCCAAGAUAUUGAGGAUGCAGUGGCUACUCUAAUCUACUCAAUAUCCAAGCACUUCAUUGGAGAUCUUGCAAAAAUUAAGGAUAAAACUGCAGAUCUCUUAACCAACCUUAAGUGUCCCAAGCUUCAUGAUUUUAGGUGGUAUAGGGAAGUCUUCCUAACCAAAGUCAUGCUAAGAUCAUAUUGUAACCAGUCUUUUUGGAAAGAAAAAUUCAUCUCAGGAUUACCCAAGCUUUUCUCUGAGAGAAUUAGGAUCAAGAUAAGGGAACAGUAUAAUGGUCAAAUCCCUUAUGAUAAGCUAACCUAUGGUGAGAUUAUAAACAUUGUCACAGCUGAAGGGAUUAAGUUGUGCAAUGACUUUAAGCUUAAGCAACAAAUGAAGAAUGAACAAAAAAUCUACAAGAAUGAAUUUGGAUCAUUCUGUAGCCAGUUUGGUUUCAGCCAAAAAGAAACUAUGCCUCCCUCUAAGCAAAAGCCAAGCAGGAAGCCUAGCAAAGAUAAGUUUUACCACAGUAAGAGAGGUACCCAUGACAACUAUAGGAUGAAUGAUACUAAGCAUUCAAGGCACGUCCAAAGAAGGGUCAACAAAGAUACCCAUAAAAAGAUAGAAACUCCUUUAGACGUCAAGCCAAUUAUCUGUUUUAAAUGUGGCAAAGUUGGCCAUUAUAAGAAAGAUUGUAGAGUUAAGCAAAAGAUUAACAACUUAAGUGUCUCAGAUGACCUAAAAAAUAUGCUUUGUAAGGUAAUGUUAAACUCCUCAGAUUCUGAAUCAAGGACUGAUUCAGAUAAUGAAGAUGAUAUUAAUCAACUAGAUAGCAGUGGCGAUGUUUCUAGCCAAACUUCUAGUGACCAAGAUGUUUGUAUUAAGGGUAAUUGUAAUUUCCGUCCUAAAACCAUAAAUGUCAUAAGCCAGGAUCAGGAGUUCAUCCUAGAUACUUUAAGAAAAGUUGAAGAUGAAAAGACUAAGCAAAAUCUUUAUGAAGUUUUUAAGAAAUCUGUGGUUAAGGUAGAAGCCAAGAAGACUGUUAAUCCUUAUAACCUUAACGAUAUCUUAAACAGGUUUGACCAGCAGUUUCCCAAGGAUGUCAGCUUUAAGGAACUUCAUGAAGAAGUUAAGCAGCAUAAAAAGAAGAUUAAGGAGUUAAGACAAUUCAUAAGUCUAGGUCUCUCUGAUCUCCAAGAUCAAAUCAAUAGAAUUGGCAACCAAGAAAACCAUAUGGAUAUUCCAGAAUCUUCUCAUGUUAAUGAUAAUGAGACAGAUACUUUUUUUAAUACUGUGAGUAGGGUUAUCUUCCAGAGGUGGGAAGUCUCCCUUACUAUAGUAGUCAAAGAUAAAUUUGUCUUUGAUAUUAUUGCUUUGAUUGAUUCAGGAGCAGCUGAAAAUUGCCUUCAAGAAAGUCUUGUACCUAUUUCUUUAUGCGAAGAGACUAGUCAGUCUCUAUUUGGAGCCAAUGGCAAAAGACUUGUCAUUAAGUAUAAAUUAACAGAUGUUCAUAUCCGUAACCAUGACAUCAGUAUUAAGCAAACCUUUAUCCUUGUUAAGGAUCUUAAGGAAAAAACCCUUCUAGGAAUACCCUUCUUAAGCUCUAUUUAUCCCUUGUGGGUAGAUAACCAAGGUAUAAGAACAAAGCUUUUUGAUAAGGAAAUUCUUUUUGAAUUUGCUAAUCCUAUUGAAAACAUCACUCCUUGUGAUCAAGGAAUUAAUCUUGUUAAGAUUAAUGAGCCACCUGAGAUACUAGGAACCCAUUUCAUUCAUAAUAUCAUUAUAAAUGAUAUUUUAAGCAUUUCUUUAUGCAUUUCAAAAUUUCAAAUUGGGAUUUUGAAUCAAGAAUUUUUACUAAAAAUUAUUUUCAAAGAUUUUGAAAAAAUUAAAUAUAUAACUUUUAAGUAUGAUUUAAUUAACUGGUAUAUUAUUUUAAAAUCUAAGUUUCAAAGUUACUUUAUUAAAGGAGAUUAUUUCAACCCUAAUCAGCUAUCUCGUGAAUUUUGCAGGGUUCAUGAGAUCAUGGCCCCUAAAAAGAAUAACCAAGCUUCUAGCUCUCAAAAACCCCAAUCCAGUCAAGCUAACCAAUCUCCUUCUACCCAUAAAAUGUUUUGGAGUCAACAAGUUGAAGAAGAAGAAGCACAACUUUUGGCAAAGCUUCAUUCUUCUAAACCUAUGCAUGAAUCCAGUCAUAUGCCUAACAAAAUGUUAACCUUAUACUAUGAUCCUUCUGAUCAUUCUAAACCAAUUAAGGCAACACAAUAUCCAGCUACCUCAGGGUCUCAGACCUUUAAGCAGGUUACUAUGGCUAAUCCCUCUCAAAAGGAAUUAGCAACAAGCUCUUCUUUCUCAAGUAAACAAAUUGUGGUGGCUGCCAACCCCACACCUCUUUCAACAAAAUCAAGAUAUUGGCAAAAUGAUUUAAAUCAAUCUCUUUUAGUUAUUGAAAGAGAAUUUUUCUCUGAAAACCCCAGAGAGAUUGCUGCAAAAUCAUUUCAAGAAAAUUUUCAUUAUCCCUCUGGUGAUAUUUUAAAAACAAGAGAGUUUUAUGAAGCAGUCCUUAUAGAAACUGGUUCUGUUAAGAUUAAGCAUAACGCUGAUAAAUUCAGCAAUAUGGGCUUGGCAUUCUUCACCUGCCAUAUCUAUAAGAUCCUUACAGUCAAGCAAUGGGGUGGAAAUCCUAAUCUUUCAAGGGAAUUUUCUGAACCAUCUAAGCCAAGGUUUUUUAAUUAUUGGGAUUAUCAGAGAGCAUGGUUUAAUGCUUUUCUGAUCCAGAAUAGGGACUUCCAUCAUUCAUGGAUGUUCUAUUUUCCAUCUAAGAACCAGCUUUCCUCUUUCCCAUUUUGGUUCUACAGUUGGUGGACUUAUUACGGUCCAACUAUUAAGAUUCUUCCUAAGCCCAUUCUGGAUGGCUUUGAGCUAUUCAGAAGUUCUUUUAAUAUUCCCAGAGAACUUUCAGCUUUUCCUCCUUUACUAUUCUUUUUUAGCAAUUUUGGCCUGGCUUGGAUAGUCCAGUGGGACUAUAUUAUUAUUACAGACGAAUCAGCAGCCUUUCCAUAUCUGGGAAGGACUUUUAAAACUAAAUGGUGGGAUGCAUUGAAAAAUGAUGCAUCUAUUGAUGCGGUCAAGCAGUAUUUCCUCAAGAAUCCCUCACAAGUCUCAACCAGUGAUGAUAUGUCUCAGUUUCUCCUCAAAAAGCAACAGUUACAAGCCAUGCUUGCAGUAGCUAAGACCCCUCAAGAGUUUCAGAAAAUCCUUGAUGAAGGAAGCUCAAGCUUCUCCCAAGAAAAUUCUUAUGCAGAGUCUGACGAUUCAACAAGCUACCUUCCAGACAAUGGUGAUGACUGUGAAUGAAUCCUUCCUCCAAUAAGAAGAUCUAAGUAAUCAUCAGCCUUUUGUCUUCCAUCAAGAGUAUUUUACAAGCUUUGCAGUAUCUGUUCCAAAAGCAGCAAGUAUGUGUCUACACAGUAUAAAGUAGCUUGCCAGAAGUCUUCUCAGCCGAAAAAAGGGUGUUUCGGGGAUUUUCAGUAUAAAAGUGAAUCUUACUAUUCACUAUUCACUAUUCACUAUUCAAGCACGGGUCCACUAUUCAUGGUUACUAUUCAAGAUUCCUUUUUUGCCUAUUUAAGGAGGCUCGGGCCUCAUUUGUAAGCACGUUCAAUUUUAGGCUCCUAUGCUCUCCCUUCUCUCUUCUUUCUCUCUCAUCAUGUAACCUCUUCAAGCUUUCAAUCUUUCUUCAAGCUUUCCUACCUUUGUUCAUUGUAAGAUAUUUCUCCUUAUAUAUAAUAUAAGUAUGUUUUGAUUACCUCCUAUAUGGAUGGUUUUUAAUUAAGUUUUAUUUUCAUUUCAUUUUAUGUUCUUAUACCUCCUACAUGGAUGGUUUUAAUUAAGCUUUAUUUUUAAGUUUUUUAUUUUGUACCGCCUACAUGGUCGGUUUUAUGUUUUUAUUUUGUAUCGCCUACAUGGUCGGUUUUAAGCUUAUUAUGAACUAACAAGUUUUUGGUUCCUUCUCUUUAAAUUUCAUUGUAGGAUAUCUUUUGUAUUUUCUAACCCUCUUCUUUGUUUAUAUAUAUAUAUAUUGUAGAUUUGCGUAUUGUUAUUGAUUAUUUGUGUAAAAGGAUUCUAAAAGGUUAUUCAUUUGAUUGAAGUGUUAAUUUUUUUUUCUCCAGUUUCUGAAAAAACGCGGGAAUGGGAGAGAACGAAACAAAAUAGAAGAAAACUGAAAAGGAUCUUGAAAAGUAUGUUUAUUACUUUGAAAUAGUUUGUUUUUUUUGGAUUCUCUCUUUGUUGAUUUCAUACAUUUGCUUGAGGUGUGUGUUUUCUUUCUGCAUGGUUUUAGAAAAAAUGCGAGAAAAAGUAAUGGGUUUAUACGUUCACUUUUUAUUAAGCAUAAAUAUAAGGGUUUUUCUUUAAUUUGUUAGCAUAUUCCUCUUUGAUUUUGAACUCUGAAAACACAUUAGUCUACCAAAGAAGAUAUCUAGUUAAAUUGAAAAAAAAAUGUCUUUAAUUAGAUUUCUUGGCUAUUUUAUUUUGAUGUUUUGGUCUAGUUGUUAAGAUUUUGAAGCAUGAUGUUGUGGCAAAUGCUUUGUUUCUAUAGUGUAGAAAUCUAGUAGAAAAGUGACAAAUGUGUUGACCAAUUUGGUUUUCUAAAGAGUUGAAUCAUAAUAAGAGAAAUAGAAUUUGUCCCCAUUUUGAUAUCUCCUCCUUGGUGAUUGGAAGAAACAUUUCAUUCGUCCCAUAGGAAAAUGAAUUUGUUUCCUUAAACCCUCCAGGUGGAGAUAUUGAAAGUGUUGUUGAAGUCUUUUUCCAUGAGCAGUGUUGGAAGAAUGGUUUUGAUUUCUUUUCCAAAAUUCAAAGCCCUUUUUUUAGAGUAGUUUUGGCUUAUAUCAUAAAGUAAAAACAAUACUUCUUCUAUGAGCAUUCAUGUCAAUUAUUCUCCUUUUGUGUUGCUUAACUUUUAAGUAAUUGAACCAAUAUGAUAUACAUGAAUAGUCAUUCUUUUCUAGUAAUGACAAAAUUGGAGAUCAUUGUAGUCUUUGCCAGUUGGGUGUCUAGUUUUUUAGUAGUGUGGGAAUUUUUUUUUCCUAUUUGUAGUUCUUUUCCCAAGGGAUAGGAAGUUGGUUUAAUUGAAAACCUCAAUUUUCAUCAAGCAAUUUGCAUCCUUUGCCUAUCUAUAAUUUCCAUUUCGCUUGUAUGGAUUGAGAAUUAAAUCCCUGCUCUCCCUUGGAUGUGAACCAACUUUAAGAAGCACCCCAUCAAGGUCUAAACCCAGUUUGCUUUUACUAGAUCAUAAGUGACAUUUGUUAAAUUUGGGACCUAGUUGGUCCUACAAUGCAAACCACAACAUUGAAAUAGUAAUCUCUAACAAAAGUCAUGACAAAGAAUGAUCCCAACUAAGGAUUGAAAUAUUACUCACAACUAAGAUAUUGAGUGAGAUGAUGCAUAUGCAUAGCCAAAAUACUUCUACCAUAUGCUUUCUAUUAGUAAGUAUGGUCUUUUAGAACUUCAUUUAUAUCUAGAUAUAGAUGCAAGGAAAAGUAAUAUGACAUGGACUCAUGAUUAGUUCUUAAAAUUUAGGCAUGAAUAACCAAAGUGUUUGAACUUAUUAGAAAAUCAUGUGCAUCGUGCAAUCUCUUUCAUCAAUAAAAGAUUUAAAAGAAUUCAAUGAAAAAUGUAGUGUAAGUUUUAUGAAAAUGUAAAUUUCUAAAAAUUGUUUCUUAGGUGAUGUAAAAGAAUGUUAUACAAUGGUCUCUAUUUCUCUCUCUCUCUCUCUCUUUAUAUAUAUACAUAUACUUAGUAUAAACUUAUGGAUUUUAAUAAGUAAAUGGAUGAUUGUUAUUUGAAUUUUUUUAUAUUUAUUUUUUAGGGACAAGGAAAAAAAAAUAGAUUUUCAAUCUAGUAUAACUCCAAAAGUGAUCAUCCUAGAAAGUGAACUACUCAUCUUUAAUGGCAAAUACUGAAGAAUCUAAUGAGAAGGUUUGUAUUUUUUGUAUAUUUGGGAUGUUAAUGUGUUGAUGAUUCUUGUAUAUGAGAUCAAUCCUUCAAUAGAAAAAUAUAUAUCUAUUGCAUUUCAUAUGCUAAAAAUAUACCAAAUAAGUUAAGCCUAGAUAUUAAGUCUAUGGAUGAUAUUAUAUCUCAAGUUUGCCAUAAAUAAUGAACUAAUCAAGUUAAGUUUUUUAUAUGUUAAUCAAAAUAUUCAUUUAAACUAAACUAUAGUUAAGUUUUAUAUAGAAAGAAUUUAACCGAGGUUAAGUUAUUAAAAAAUAAAAAUUCACCUGAACUUAGCCAAGGUUAAGUCUCAUUAACAAAUAACAUAGCUAUAGUUAAGUUCUCAAUUAAAAUAUUUGAAACUUGCUUACAAUAUAAUUAAUUGAAUCGGUAUUUUGAUUUUAGUAGAAGUAGUUAAAUUUUUUGUAAUUUAUUUUAGUUCAUGCAGAAUGUUUGUAACUCUUAAUAUAUUUUCUUAAUGUGAAGCACAAUGUAUGUGACUUUGUCGGCUACCACUUCUUCAACAAUCUUCAUACAGAAAAUACGUAAUGAAGAUCACUUCCCAUCUAAGGUGGCUUGAUUAUCCCACAUUAUUGCCAUUGACAACAUAAAUAAGAACUUGAAUGAAACCCAACUAUAGAUGUUUAAAACAUCUUGUUUUGCCCACUUCUUGGGUAUGGCUGAUUUGAAAUUUUCUGCUCAAAUUGUUCAUAACAUGUUGUUAUGCCAAUGUGACAUUAAAAAAAAAAAAAAAAAAAAAAAAAGAUGAUACGUGGAUACUUGUUCACUCUAAAGGUUUGAGAUUUAGUGCGUUGGAGUUUGCAUUGAUAACCAGAUUGAAAUUUGGGAAAAUUUCACAAUUUGACAUAACAUCUUUGAUGAUAAGAGAUCGGUAUUUUAAUAGAGAGAAUAAGAUUUGUAGUGAUCGAUUGGAAGAGGUUUUCAUUGCAUUAUGUAAGAAAAGAAAGAGAAUGAGCACAAAGAAGACAAAAAACAAGGCAAAGUUAAAUGGGAAAUCAAAUCUUGAUGAAGACAUUGUGAAGUUAGCAUUGUUGUACUUUGUUGAGCAUGUUCUACUAAGAAAAGAAUGGAAGAAUUUGAUAGAGUUACAAUGAGUUCAACUUGUUGAUAAUUUAGAGGAGUUCAACAAGUAUUCCUGUAGGAAAAAUUUUCGUGAAAGAACAUUAUUUGGGUUGAAAAGGGCUUUGGACAAAAGACAAUCAAAAUAUGUAGAGAAAAAAAGAAAAAAAGAAAAAGAAAAAGAGAAUGCAUCAUAUGAAGCAUGCACUUGUGAGAUUUCCAUAUGCCUUUCAAAUUUGGGCAUGUGAAGUCAUUCCAUUGCUUGGAAUGAAAUAUGCAAGUCGCAUUGGUAGAAGUUUUUCCAGAAUUUUAAAUUGGAUAGGGAUUGCAACUACAAAGUACACUGAGAUUCAAUCAUUAUUUUUAGAGUCAAAUGUGAGUGAUAUCUUAAUUUUUGCUAAUACUUGCUUUCUUAUUUACAUAACCGUAUUCUUAUUAUUAAUUGUUUUCUUUCUAUCUUGAAUUAUUAGUUAUCUUUGCAUUCCAUACUCACUUUGACAUUGGAAGAGGGUGAACAAGAGUAUGUGAAAUGUUUUGAAUUUGAAGCUUAGUCGGAUGAUGCCUUACAAGAUAAUGUGAAUGAUUGGGAGAAAGAUAAAUAUCAUGAAGAAGCUGAGGCUUAUACUGCAACAGUAGUAGCAACAAUGAAAGGUGAAAAAGAAGGUGAUAGUUCUAAAUUACCUUCAUUCAAGGUAACUAAAGUGAAAGUUAUUAAUAUUAUUUCACUAUACAUGUUUAAGAAUGUUUGACUAAUGUUAUAAUGUUUUUUCUUAUGUAAAGGAAUUGCUUAUGAUGUUCAUCAACAUAUUGAUGCCACUUUAUACUUUUUUUCGAAAAAAGAGGAUACUAAACUCUGAUGUGUUUACACAAAAAUUCACCACCACUGACACAUUAUUUUGGGUAUGCAUAUUAGUGCAUUUUAACUUUGUUUCAUUUUGUUUUUAAAGUUAUAUUCACCACUUUUGAUUAUUUUUUCCUUAUGUAGCAAAAAGUAGAUGGUUGUUGAAGGAUGAAUCAAAAGACAUGGAACAAAUACCUUUUACCGGAAGAUGACAUCCUCAUCGAUUAUGCCAUGGGUCUUUAUCUUAGGCCUUUUUUGAAAUGGUCUGAGGUUGAUGUCAUAUAUGUUCCUAUCAAUCUAAGGAACACACAUUGGGUACUGGGAGUUGUCCACCUUUGUAGUAGGAGAAUUAACAUUUGACUCCUUAAAGUCAAUUAACAAACCCAAUGGAUUGAAAACACUUGUCACACUGAUAGCAAUGUUGUUACCACGUAUCUUAAGUGCUACAAAAUGCUAUGGGGAGAAUGGUGACCCCAAGGGUGAACAUGCGUGGGACAUUGAGAGAUUGAACAACAUUCCACAACAAACAAAGGAGUAAGUACAAUAUUUUCCAUGCCAACACACAUAUUUCAUUAUAUAUACAAUAAUAUUUAACAUUGCUAACAUCACUUUUUAUGUGUUCAUUCAGUGGUGAUUGUGGUAUUUUUUUUAAUCAAAUUUGCAGAAGACCUGAUGAACAACCAUCCAAUGGAUACACUAAUAGGCGAGCGAAUGGAUUGGUUUCGUGAGAAGAUGGCAGCGGAGUUAUUUUUCCAUAAAGAAAUUCCUAUGGGAUCCUACUAUUGUAAAUGGAUUGAAAUUGGAUAAUGGACGAUGUUUCUAUGUAAUGACAUUGAAUUUUUUUGUUUAGCAAAUUCCUAUGUUAUAGCACGCAUUUAAAUAGUUACAUGUUUUUCAUAUAUCUAGAGAAAUGAAUGGUUGCAAAUUUAUUUACUUUUAUAAAUGUGACUGUGUUAUGAUUGUUAACAUGUUUGAAUUUAUUGUAGUAAGCAUCAUAAUAGAAACUUAUAUUUCAAUGUAGCACUCAUAUUUUUUUUGCUCAAACUUAAGGAGUGUUAAGUUACUUGUAAAAGAAACUUAACCCUAGUGCAGUUUAGGUGAAUAUCCUCAAUUAAAACUUAACUCCUACUAAAAUAUUUAUUAAAAAAACUCAACUUCAGUUUAGUUCAGGACAUUUGUUUUAAUUCAAACUUAACAAGUGUUAAUUUACUCGUAACUUACACUUAACCCUAGUGUAGUUCAGGUGAGUAUCCUCAAUUAAAACUUAACUCCUACUAUGUUCUUUAUUAAAAAAACUUAACUUUAGUUAAGUUCAGGACAUUUGUUUUAAUUCAAACUUAAUUGUUAAGUUACUUGUAAAUUAGACUUAACCCUAGUGCAGUUCAAGUGUAUAUCCUCAAUUAAAACUUAACUCCUAUUAAGUUCUUUAUUAAAAAAACUUAACUUUAGUUUCGUUGAAGUCAUUUUUUUUUUAACUGAAACUUAACUACUAUUAAGUUCUUUGGAAAAUGAACUUAACCCUAGUACAGUUCAGUUGAAUAUCCUCAAUUAAAACUUAACUCUUACUAAGUUCUUUAAUUAAAAAAAACUUAACUUCACUUUCGUUUAGGUAAGUUUUUAUAACUUAAACUUAACCAUUGUUAAAUUCUUUGUAAAAGAAAUUUAACCCUAGUGUAGUUUAGGUGAAUGUCCUCAAUUAAAGUUGUAUAUAUGAAUGAUCUCAGCAUACAUAAUGUGUUUGAUCUUAAUAUCAAUAAAAGAUUAAAACAUCUCCAAAUAUGUAUGAUCAAAUACUAACGAGACUAGUAUUCAAAAAAAUAAAAUAAAAAGUUCACUUGUCAUUUCAAAUGAGUUGGUAUUGAGGGAUGAACUUAAACUUCAUUUUUAAGCUUUAAGUUCAUCAUUUAAUUAAAAGAGACUAAAUCAAAGUACAAUUAUACGUUUUGUGCCCCUAUUCACAAUAUACAAAAAAAAUUACAAUAUCAAAUAUUUUAUAUGCCCAAUCAUCAUCUACAAAAAAUUCACCAUAAAAUUGGCUUAGUGACAGUUUCAUUCAUUCUCUGAUUGUAAGGAGCAAUCUUGCAUGCCUAUUUUAGUGUGUCCAUUAUUAUCGUUCUGAUAAUGCAGAGGGAUUGGUCGUUUGCAUGACUUUCGAUUAUGACCAUAAUCACCACAUCGACCACACCGCCAUCUGUGCUUACCCUCUCCACCCGAAAGGAUUCUUUCAUUCCUUGGUAUUCCUACUAGCCACCUUGUUUUCGGUGGUAAUACAACUCUACUGCUUAUAUCAUCAGGUAUCAUCCAAUCCCUUUGAUGUCCAGGAAGAUAGAUGGACUCGACAUAUGAAGAUAAUAAUGAGUUCACUGUGUAAUAUUUGGAGCAUAAAGGAUAGCAUGACAUAUGUGCAUAUCUACAAGCAACAAUAGCAUGUGAACACGAUAUGUGAUCAAGAUCAAACCGUUGACAUGUGCAUGAAUGAUUAUGUAAAUUCACAUGAUCACUAAAACCAUUAUAUUUAACAUUAUACUUCAUCGAGUUGAUUGCUUCAACUUCAUAUGUUGAUGAUGUAUUGUACCUUACACGAAGCUCUCCAUCAACCCAUGUUGUUAGCUCAGUUGUCAUUGACAAUGCUUGUUGUUUACGAUUUGCAAACCGUUUUUAAAGUAAAUUUCUUAACUCUUCAAUUUAUUGCAAAAUAGGAAGAUCUCUUGCAUCUUUUAACACAACAUUCAAACUUUCAGCAAUCCUUGUGGUCAAAAUGUUAUAUCUUUUUUUGGUAGAAUGUGAAUAUGCCCAUCGCUUAACACCUGCGUCUAUUAUAUAUGUUGCUGCUCUCAGAGAAAUCAUUUGUAGUUGCCCAAAUAUAAUAUUGAAUUUUGACAAGCGGUAUGUAUAAGCAACAUCAUGAACAACUUAUAGACUUCAACAUUUUUAAACUUUGUUUUGAGGUUUUUCUUCAUGUGAUAAGUGCACACACCAUGGCUUGCAUGAGGAAAAGCUUUUCGCAUAACUUUUUUAAUGUUGUUGUGACGAUCUAAAACCACCACGAGAUCAUCAACAUGGCCAAUUACUCCAUGCAAUUUUUUUAGGAACCAUUCCUAAGAAGCAUCAUUUUCAGAAUCACCAAUUCUGAAACAUAAAGGGUAUAUCUAAUUGUUUCCAUCCUUACAUGCAGCAACAAACAAAGUUCCUAAGUACUUUGCCUUCAAAAAUGUUCCAUCGAUUGUAAUGACAGGUCUUAUUGAUGUACGAAACCCAUAAAUACAUGCACCAAGAGCCAUAAAAAAAUACUUAAAUUGAUUGUCGUGGUCAAUAACUAUAUCAGUAAUGGUGUCAUAUUUUUUUUGCUCCAACACAUAACAAUAAGAUGGUAAAGCACUAUAGGACUCUUCUGGUGAUCCUCUAAUAGAACUUAGAGCAAUUCUCUAACUCUCCAUGUCUUAUCAUAGCUUAUCCCCACACCGAACUUGUUUCGAAUAUCAGCUACAAUGUCUUUUGGUCGAUAUUGAUGACCAACCCCUUGAUAUAUUUCUCUUAUGAUUUCACCAAUCAACCAACUACUUGCAUGACCAUGAUAACAGGAUAUCAUAUCCAAGCUACAAGUGUGUGUUGAAUGAUAUUUCCUUAUUUGAAAUAGAUCAGAAUUUCCCAACUUGAUUACACGAAGUUGCCACUUGCAUUCUUUAUCGACACAUCAAACAUAUAAUAACUUGGUCAAAGAUUUUAAUGUUUUGAACUAAAACUUUCUUUUCAAAGCAAUCAUGCACAACUUCUUUUGCAAUUCUUUCUUAUUGGAGUAUAUUUGAUGCUCUUCCAUGUAGUCAUCACCAGUUUCACUAUAACCAACUAUAAAUGGUUCCUCUAUGCUUUAUUCUACAUGAAUUUCAUAUUCCAUUACUGUCUUUUUCCAUUACAUCAAUUUGCAUUACUUGGCUAUCCUUGUUCGGGUUGACAUUCAUUCCACCAUCUUCAUCAUCUUUGUUCAUAUUCAAGUUAUGAGAAUCAAAACAAUUAAGUGGAUCAUAGCUCAACCUUGUUCUAUUUUCAUCAUCAAAACCACUCAAAGAUUCACUACUAUUUAUGAAUAUUGGGUCCAUAUUGAUUUCUUUCUCAACCCUAGAUAAAGUAUGAGAGCCAAAAUCAGUGUUGAUGAUUGAUUCAUACCUAUGAUUGUCACUUCUUUUCUCUAUUGUGAUACAUAAUAGAACUGGAAACUUACCAUCAAUACAAUUUAAACGAAUGAAAAAUUUCACAUCUCCAUCAUCUCUUAGCUGUAUAGGAGUGGAUGGUAUAUUGCCAUUGAAUACAUAAUUAAUCAAAAUAUUGUGCUCUAUUGGAUCUACUUUCAAAAUGUGACAAACAAUCUUCAAUAAUCCUUCAUAUGUUGUAGUCUUCUUAAGUUUAAUACUUUUACCUUGGCAACCUUCAAAGUAGUACAUGUUUCCAUUUUGCACCCAAUCUCCUUCAUACAAAAGCAUUAUUCCCACUUCAUUAAUCACUAUAACAAAAAUAAAUAAGUAAAUAAAUAAAUUGAAUUAUUGAUACAAAAAAACAAUAUUAAAAUAGUAGUUAUUUGGAUAAGAAACUCAAUCCCAGAAAGUUGUCGAUUAACAUGUUGAAUUGUACUCAACUAUCUUCAAGUUUUAUAUAUAAAGAACUUAACACUAGUAACGUCUAGUUUUUACAUGUUAAAUACGAGCUUUACUCUUUUCAUACAAAUCUUUUUAACAAAAAAUUUCACUCAUGUUUACUCUAAAAAUUUCAUUUUUUCCAUACAACCAAAUAAUGUUGAGAAUAGCAAAACUAAGAUAAUUUGUUUUCCCAAAUGGGUUUACAUACCUUCAUUCGACCUUGCCAUAUGUUUUUUUUUUUUUAAAUCUGCUUUGCUUCUAUCACCUCAAUUUUGAUGGUGGGUUGCAGUAAUGGUGUAUAGGGACGUACUCACAAUGUUAGUGAGAGAUAUGCAAAUAGAUGUAGUACCGAUGAGAAAGACAAAACUAAAAUAUUUUGCUUUUGGAGAGAUAUCAUGUCUUUGGUGGGGGAUCUUACUCUUCUCUAUUUCUCUACUCUUUUCUACUUCUCUCUAAUCAGUUUUAUUGGUGGGUUACAGAGAUGGUGUAUAUGGAUGUACUCACAGUGUUGGUGAGAGAGAUGUAGUACCGAUGAGAGAGGUAAAACUAAAGUUUUAUGCUUUUGGAGGGACAUCAUGUCUUUGGUGAGGAUCUUAUGUGUUUUUGGAAGGAAAUAAAUAAGGGUAAAAAUGUCCAAAUUAAGUCAUCUCUCAAAACAAUUAACUAGUGAGGUUACUUUUACAAUUUUACCUUUAUUUUGAGUCACCUAUUCAAAUAACGAAAAAAAAGGAAUAGAUUAUGUAAUAAAGUUAUUGGUUACCUUAGUAGCAUAGAUGGCCAUGGCAACCAAACUAGAGGAAAUGGGCAUUUGCAGAACAAUGGGCGUCAAGAAAGAGAAGUUCAAGAAAUAAAGGAAGAUGAUGGGAUUGUAGGUGUGGAGAGAGAUGUGUAUAUAGAAGGAGAUAUUUUGUAAAGAAAUAGGUUGAAAGGCGGUUGUUUGUCAACUUAAUUUGUCUUCUAGUCGGUGGAGCAAUGAAAAUGUGAGUCAACCGUUUUUGAAAUCCAUUUAGGAUUUUGAGAAUAGAGAAUAAAAUACAUGUUCACGAGGGAAAUGCUGAGGAUGGCUGACGAUCAUGACGGCAACUUUGUUGUCCAAAUGUCUCAUUGGGUGAUGGUUAACUAACAAUCAUAGGAUAAAAUCCAUGACUGCUAUAUGUGGAUUUUCUCAUUUGUUAAUGUUCCACCCCAACCUAAAAAGCAAAGCCAAAAAAAAAAAGUCAAUCCUAGAUUGUAAAAUUCAUACCCUUGUCUACAUAAAUGCUAUAGAAAUGUUAAGGGUGUGUUUGGACACAUUUUUAAAAACAUUUCUAAUGUGAUUGUUGACUGGGAAAUUGAUUAAAAAAUGCUACUUAAUCUUAUUUGAUGUUUUUUUGUUAAAGCUUUUGAUUCAUUUUAUUGAUUGUAAGGUAAGGUUGUAAAUAUUGGAUUGAUUAGGUAUAUGAAUGUUAUUUAUUCACAUAUUGAUGUAUAGAUUUGCAAAGGUUCUAGAAUCUUAAUUAAAUAAUUUUUCAAUAGUUUUUUGUUUGUUAAAUAUUGUUUGAUUUGUAAAAUAUUUAGGGAAAUGAAUAUUAAGUUUAUGCUUAUUAACUUGACUAGCCUGACUAACCUGAGCAUAAAUCUAUUAAUCUAAGCCUAACAAAUUUAAACUUGAGUUUAGAAAAAUAAGUUUAUGAAAGAUGGUAUGAAUUUUGACUUCUAAAAGAUGUAGAUAAAGGAUUCUUUGCACCAAAAAGAUUUGUAUCUAUCAUUGGGAGAGAAACCAAAACUUAUGGAUGAAAAUGAAUGGGAUUUGCUCGACUGCCAAGCCUUUGUUGCGAUUAGAUUAACCUUAUCAAAAACAGUUGCUUUUAAGAUAAAAAAACAAGUGCACAACAUGUCCCUCGUGGCCACCCUAACCAGUAUGUAUGAACAACCUUCUUGUGGACCCCGUAUUUCUGCUCAUGCGUUUCCACUCGAUGACGAGCUCACUUUUUUAUUUAAAAAAAUGAUUUAUUUUUUUAGAAAAUGACUUGGAGUCGCUACUUAUUUUUGUUUAAUUUUUAAAGGGUAAACAAAAUAAGAAAGAAAACUCUAAGUGUAACUCCUUAUUUGGAAAAAGUGGCCUGCGAAAAACCUGAUCUGGGUUCGAGGGUCAGGUUACUUAUCGGGAAUGUACGAUAAAGACCGUAGCACGCCUCUAAGUCCCUAAAAUCGGGUCUCUACUAAUAAGAUGAAGCAAUCAUGGCAAUUUGUAAGAAGAUCAAUGGAUACCGAAUGAAAAUCAAAACAAAAUGCCCGAAUGAAUAUAAGAGGCAAAGAACGUACCUAAGUGAUGAACUAAUUUAUUUCAUGGGAAGCAAAGGUUAGCAAACAAACACGAAAUAAUCGCAUGUAUUACAAAGUAAAUCAAGCAAGCAUGGCAACCAAGCAUGGCAAUUAAUUAGUCAAUGAGAAAAUCACACAUGUGGGGCCCCACCAAAACCCGAUUUAUUUUAGCAUAGAUUAAUUCCAUAAAUUUCAUUACUUGAAUUAUAGAAUUAUUCGGGCUUAUUAAAAAUGUGAAAAUCAGAAAAAAUAAAAAUAAAUCAAGGAGAAUUUAUGAAAGAUGUUUGCUGGAAAGAAAUGUGGCAACCAAUUUUAUUAAAAAAAGGGAAAAAUUUAAAAUUAACAAAUAAUAAUAAUAAUAAUAAUAAUAAAAUAAUGAUAAGAAUAAAAAUAAAAUAAAAUAAAUAUAAAUAUAAAAUAAAAGAUGCAUGCUAAGUGAAAAAUGGUAGCAAUUGAUUUAUUAAAACGGGAUUUAUUUAAAACCAAGAGAGAAAAAUUGAAGAAUUAAAAUGAUUUGGAAGCAAGAUUUUUGAAAAUCGAGUUUUGGAGGCAUGCAUAAAAAUAAGUAAACAAAGGAAGCAAGUGCACUUAAAAAAAAAAAAAAAAAGGAACAUAGGGGUGCGCACCUUGUACAUUAGUUGUACGCCGUUUCCGAAAUCACCAAUGGAGCUGGAAAAUACAAGAAGGUGAUGAGUGUACUGAAACUGGAGAUGAGUGAGAACUGACCAAGAAAAAACCCCAAAAUGACCAUGCGAAUGAGGAGCCUUGUGAACUUGGCAUCAAUUCUUCUUUGGGGGUACGAUACCCAGGCCAUGAAAAGUUCAGAUUGCUGGAUGGACACAAGACAGAGAUGAGAAUGAUACUCGGGCAGGCUACAUUAUUCCAUAAAGAAAUGCUUCAAUCUUGCUCAUUCAGAUCCUCUUGACCUUUGAAGAGGUUUCUAUUUCAGAAAAAGUAGGUACUGUAGGUGACACUUCCAAGCUGAUUUGCAUGAGCCUAGGGUUGGACAGCUCAAUUCCUCUGACCAACUGAUACGCAAAUUCCUAUUUCCGGCCGGACUAAGCAUUCUAUAUCCUCCCCCCAGUCCAUCCCCUAAUGAACUCUCUUCAAGAAAUACCAAAUUGCUGUUGGGGAUAAAUGUAUGCCCAAGAUCCAAUCUAUCAUGUAAUCAACUUUAGUUUUAAUAAGGUAUUAAUUCUUUAUUUCAUUAUCAUAUCUGUUUAAAAUAGUUUAUAUGAUAAGGUCCUUGAUUAAAAUUUGAAAAUUGUUAUCAUGAUAGAGAUUAUGAUAAUGAGAAGCAAUUCUUUUAAUAAUUUUAAUCUAAACUGUUCUUGAUCAUAGGAUUAUUGUCAACAGGACAUCAAUAAUCCAGAUAGAUCAAUAUAUAUGUGAUGGUCUUUAUUGGAUAAAGAUUGAUAUAUCUCAUUUGUUAAAUUACAUAUAUAGAUGAUGCACAUGUAGAUGUGAUCAUUGAACUGACUCAACUGAGAAUUUCUAAUGGUUAUCUUUACCUUAAAUUGUCAAUAGGAAUUUCUCAAGAAGAAAUAUAAUAGUUUUCUUUGACCUGAGAUUAUCAAAGUAAUUAACAAGUUAUUUAUUAUAUUUUAAUCCCGGACACCUAAUGCCUUAGGGCACUAGUUGAAUGGAUAUUGGAUAUAAUUAAAUACUUGUAGAAUUAAUGAUUAAUCAAGAAGGAAUCCAUCAACUCGUGGUAAUGAGUUUGAGCUCUAUGAUAAAAAUAAGACCUUGGCCAAGGGCAAUUGAAUGAAUGAAGAAAUGAGUUUCUUAAGUCAUAAGUCAUUCACUAAAUAAAUAAUGUGUUGACUUAUUAGAGUUUGACAGUAAUACCAUACUCUAGAGUUAGCCCAGAGCUGUAAAUGAUGGAAGGAAAUAUUACAUUAUUCUUCUACCGGUUCUUGAAAGUAAAAGAUAUUACUUCAUACUAUCUGGACGUUAAGGAGUGUUGCUAGACGCCUACCUUAAUUAGUAAAUUGAUUUGAUUAAUUUACUACCAGCUUAGUAAUGAACCUACGGGGUCACACACAAACGAGUGUUUUAAUCUUUGCAAAGAGCUAUUUAUUAUUAUUUGAUAAUUAAAUUAGAGAAUUUAAUUUUAAUCAAAUAAAUAAAUAUGUUCUAUGUGGAAUAUUAUUAUAUUCUUUGCUAGCACCAAGAAUAUAAUUAAUAUAUAGAUAAAUAAAAUAAAAUAUUUUUCUUUGGACGUGGAAGUUAGUCCACGAGAAUGUUUGCUAAACAUUUGCAAACAUAUGGGUACAUGCAGCAACUUACAGGAGGGAUGUGGGUUUUGUUUUUAACUUACAAGACUUGGUCAAAGUGUUUUUCAAAUGCUAUUGAAAAUAGCAAAAGAAAAACAAAUGGACCAAUAGAAUCUCUUAGUAGCCCAAAAAAAAGGAGGACACGAUAGAGAUAGAUUAAGUGAUAAAAUCAAAAAAAUCAAAUUAGUUGAGUUAUCUUAUCACUUAAAACAGAAGUUGUAUCGGAUAUGCUAUAUAGCAUAUAUACACAAUCUGAAUAAGGAUCGAUCUAUCUUUAUCCUCCUUGUUUUUACGCCAAAGAAAUACAAAGUGUUGUUCUAUUUUUUUUUAAGUUCCGCGUAUCAAAGGGUUGAUAGCAAAGAUUAAUUUCGGUGUGGAUACACGUAGAGUCUUCAUACAAUUGGAGAAAAAUUUAUGCUUGAAGAAUUGAUAUCCAGGUUAUUAUUUUAAAUUUUUUGAUAGCUGCGGUAUAUAUUUUGAAUGCAAAAUAGAUCAAUUUCCCGCUGUAUGUGUUAUAAAUUUAUUUUAUAACCUUUGAAUUGCAUCCUAUUGGCUAGCCUCCUCAUACCCGUUAUGGCAUACCUCUCCUUCAUCUUUCUUAGCCGAUGACCACCUCUCUUUUCUUUAGGCUCGGGAUCAGAAACUGGAAAAGGUUUAGGUUGUUUUGCAGGAGGUGGCUCCUGCCAUUUCUCAAUCUUCUUAAGGAUCUCUAUUCAAUGGAGUUCAAAAACUUAAACAAUAUGGUCUGAAGGCAUGACAUGGACGAUUUCUGAUUAAAGUUCCGAUGAUUCAAGUAGGAGACGUUCUCAUGGGGGAGAAUCCGAAACAGCGUCUAUGCCCUGAGUCACAAAUUUGUCUAGGAAUUUCAGAUAUAGCAGAUGCUCAGAGGAGAGUGCUUCUUCUUCAACCACAUCUUUCAUUGCUUGAACAUCCUUCCCAAUUGCAUAAUUUGCAUAGAGCUGAUUGGAUACAUCGGGUCAUGCCCUCACCAAUGUCACUCUUCAUUAAACGAGACAGUGAUGGGAGGACAUUGAUUGGUGGGUAUACCUGUCGAUUGUGGAGCUGUUUGUCAAUGUAAAUCUGGUCCUCAGUGGGAGCGGGAUGUGUUAUAUCAUCAUAGGGCAUAGUUAAAAUCGGGAUUUGUGUAAUGGGACCCUUCCUUCUUUCAAUACGUCCAGGCUCCAGCACGUUCGUAAAUUGUCGCCAGAUCAGCACACAUAUACCCAGGAUACCCACGCCUUCCGGGAACUUCUUCUCGGGCAGCAGAUACCUCAUAAAGAGCAUCUGCAUCAGAACUCAUAUCUGCUAGUAUGACAAGAACAUGUUUGCCACAUUCAUAUGCUAAAUAUUCAGCAGUGGUGAGAGCAAUGCGAAGAGUGAUGAUGUGUUCAAUGGUGGGGUCGUUGACCAGGUUGAGGAAUGGAGUCACUCUCUCCAUUGAUCUAUUUUCCUCGAAAUCACGUUUUUGAAAAAAAAAGCUGUGCAGUCUCCAUGUUUCCUCCCAUAGCUGCAAAAAAAAAACAAUGGCAAAGUUGUCCUCUUCCACGUCCUGUAGGAGACUUCCAGACUUCACAUUAUAUCCGAAUGUGGAAACGCCAACACAUCUUCAGCAUGUACUCAACCAACCCGAACGUGAAGCUCGAUAGUCCCCUCAUCAUCCAUUGAUGUCACAGUAUCUAGAGGGGAAGAACCAUCCAGAACAAUUGCAAAUCUUGAUGGUGAGAGAGCCACGAAGUUGGGAUCCUCGCUGAUCAUCACCGCAUGCAUUGACGCGCGUGGACGAUAAGGGAGCCAGGUGUGUCUGCUCAUGUCAAUUCCGACGUGAUUGGCAAAGCGUAAAGGACAUGGAGAGCCCCAUAAGCAACCUCCUUCAUGUCGGGAACUGAGACUCUAUGACCUCCAGACUUGAAGGCUCCAUGAAUAGUCAAAGAUUCGACUUCCUGUAGGUUUGCCACAUCCUGAACAGACCUGAAUUUUCUCUUCUUUCGGACCCUUGUCUCAGAAAAUGGUUCCAUAGCUGUCACGUGUUUCAGAGGCAAAUUGAUGCCUUGGAUUAAGAGGGUCUGAUGAUAGAGUCUUCUGAUUGAAACAGAACUCUUCCAAUAAAUGCUUCUGAAAUGAAUAACAAAACUAGGCCAAAAUAAGGGUGUACACUUCUACAAUAAAUAAGGCAUACCUAAUUAUGAAGCUCUUUAAUUUGAAGAUGCUUGAGAACAAAAAUUUUAAGCAACAUUUGAAUGAAUUUGCGAGUGAGAUAGAUUGCAAGAGGAGCACUACAAAGUAUGUCUAAGGAUACUUAUAACCAUUAGUUGGAUUUCACACUUUAGGCCUACAACUGAAGCAGAGUACAUGGUUAAUUAUGAUAAAAGUUAGCAAAAAGAUGAUUUGGUUGCAGCAAUAUUCAUUAGCAAAUUUAUGAGUCAAACAUAUGAUGAAUGUAUUAAAGUGAAAGACAUAUGGCUAAUUCAAUAUUUCAUUUAAUGACUAAAUAUAUUGUACUUUGUUAUCACUUCAUCAAGUUUUCACUUGAAGAUGGAGUGUCAACAUUUGUGAAGAUACAAGGUAGCAAGAAUCCAACUAACAUGUUGACCAAAAUAGUGAUAAUAGAGAAACUGGAGUUGUGCAUAGCUUUAAUGGGUCAUGGGUGAGGAUGGGUUGUUUAAGUGCACACCAUAUUCAUUAAUCAUUAAAGGAAGAUAUUUAGUUGUACUUUAGUUUUUAAGUGGGAGAUUGUUGGAUUAUAAAGUUUGAAUCAUUCUUAUCAUGCUACAUAGGAGAUGUCGAGGAUUGAAUGACAAGUUUGCCCCUAUUGUAUUUAACCCUUUAUGAUUCAAGGUUUAGUUAGAGAGUGGAAAGAAAAUAGCAUGGCCACAAUUGAAAGGAGGAGAGUUUUCACCAUAGUAACUUUUGUAUUUUCAUUUCAUUAGUGGAUUUUUGAGUGUUAGUGCAUUCGUGAAUGUAUGAUUCACAAUAAUCGUUGAACCAUGUUAAUUUUUUUUCUCUCUCUUAUUUUUGCUUAUGUAUAUGUGCUUAUGUUAAUCGGUUGUGAUUAGAUUAAUUGACUACUUGACUCGAACCAACCGGACUUGCAUGAGUUGCAUCCUUAUGAGGUUAAGGUUUUUGUGGAUAGGGGAUGGGAUGAAGAGGAUGAGGACAUUUUUUGCCCUUUCACAUUCAAGUUUUAUUUGAAAGUUAAAUACAAUUGUAUGCAUACAUUUCAUGUUGUUUGAUCUAAGAAAGAUGGGAAAAAAGAUAAAACAAAUUUAUAUUAAUAUAUAAGAAAAAUGAAUGUCAAUAAUAUGACCAUGUGCUUUAAUUUGAUCUUGUAGUUGAUCUUAGUUCAAGAUGACACAAAUUCUUGAAUAAAAAAUGUGGUCUAAGGGUCAACUAGACUUGAUCUUGACUUUGUUACCUAAAAUGUGGUCUUCAUCUUUAAAAGAAUGAAAGAAAACUACUUAUUUUUUGCUUUAAUUAAUUUUUUUUCAUGGGCUUGCCAAGAAAUGUCGAAUAGUAAAGGAUGUUCAAACUUGUUGAAGAUUCAUUCACUAUUCAAGCUCAUUUGUUACUCAAACUUCCAUCAAAAGGAUACAUGAGCUACUCUUGUUUAAAAAACCUCAUGAAUUUUUGUCCACUCUUCAAUUUUUUUUUUUUCCUUAAAGAAAAUGUUAUAAUGGUUUCAUUUUAAAUGUUCAUGCCAGAACUUCAACUUCUCUACUUGCACUCCUCCCUUUGAAAUCAAGGAUAGUUUGUCUAUGUUUUAGAAAGUUUAAAUAAUGAGACCAUUAUAUUUGACACUUCAAUUCAAAUUUGAAAUAUUGCCAACAUAUGAAUCUAAAGUUUAAAUUUAGACAACACUUAAAAGUUGAUUUGUCAAUCAAAUUCACUUUUAAACUUUUCAUUAAUUCUUAACUUAAAAAUAAAUUAUAUUACCUAGAUUUUAUGCAAUUUAUAAAUUAGUAAAUUUUUUCUUAUUUUUUAAGUAAAUUUAGAUAUAAAUUUUUUUUUUUUGAGGAAUAUAUAUUAAAAACAACACAAAUUAUAUUUUGAUCGGAUAAACCAAACAUAAUUAUCUUACUUUAAACAAAUAUUAAAUACAUCGGUAUAAGAGUGAAAGACUAGGGAUCUGUUUAGUAAUUGUUUUUUAGAACAAUUUUCUAUUUUUCAUAAUAAAAUAAUAAGAAAAUACGUUUGAUAGAAACUAUUUUCUUUUUUCUUUUCUUAAGAUAAGAAAAUAUGAUUUUUUUAGAUAACAUCUUUAAUUAUUUUAUAUUGUUUUCCCUUGUUUUCUAAAAGUUAUCUCAUAAAAUAAUUAUAAAAUGAUUAAAAAUAAAACACAUGAUAUAAGAAUUAUUUUUGAAACAUAUUUUAAAAUAUUAAAAACGGGUUAAAAACAAAAUCAGAAAACAUGUUCUCAAAAAUAGUUUUUCAAAACUAUUUUCGAAAACAGCUAUCAAAUAGUGUCUAAUUAACUAGGUAAAAAGAAAACAUCUAUUUAUUCUAAACAAAUAUAAUUGAAUACAUUAACACGACAGUGUUAACUAAAAAUAUAUUCGAUAAUUAUUACUUCUCUUUCAAAGCAAAUACUACAUAUCACCGUCCAAUAAUUGUACAAGAAAAUAUAUAUUUUCUAAUUUAUAAAAUAAAUAAUAAUAAAGUAGUAAAUAUUUUAAAUAUCAAACAAGAUUGAAGAUUCUAUCCAUGGUAUGGAAAACCACUUUAUUUAGUCACGUGUGAUUGUCAUCUCUGCAACCUGAAACAUUUCCUCUAUUCAUCAUGCAGACUUUCCAGGAGUUCCUAGACCUGGGGGACCUUUACCGCGGCAUCUGGUGAUGGGUGAGCAACCCCUUUGCCAUCGAUGGGCUUCUUGAGGUGGAGCCUUGGGAUUCUCGCGACAACCCACUGGUGGACUCGGUCCAUGGCAUGGGUCUAGGAACUUAUCAAUGUCAACCUCACCAUGUACGUACAUGACCAAAAUCAUGCUGACAAGAGUCAGACAUAUGAGCCAUUUCUUCGUGAUGGAGAGUCCCAUGAUCUCUAUGUUAAAUUCCUUUUUCUUUAGCUUCCAAUGCAUGGCUAGUCAUGUGAAGGGAGUUUAUAUAGAUUUUGGAUAUGGAGACCUUUGGGGAGUCGAAUGUCUUAAUAUAGAAGUGCUUAAAAUAAAGAAGGGCAAAACCCUUUUGUUUAGAUGGUUGGAAAAUGAUUUAGAAAAAUAAUUUUUGACAACUAUUUUAACUAUUUUAGGAAAAUUGUUCGUUAUUGUUUUGUAACGUAAAUAAAAGUUUCUUUUAACCUAUUUUUUUACUAUAAAAAAUUUCAUUUAUUUGACCAAAUUUUUAGUGUCAAUGACUUCAAAAUAUUUCCUUGGAGUAAAAAAUAAAAAAUAAUUUGGUUUAUGAUUGUUAGGUAUUUUUGGGCAUAAAAUAUAUCUUUCACAUUUCACAGUGAUAAAUGUCAAAUAUUUCAUUAAUUCUUUCAAAUCAAUGACUCCAAAAUUUCAAUUUACAAAGUUUUUGCCCAAACUUUUGUUUUCUUUGUUCAAUUCAACCGGUAACAUAAUCUUAGAACAUGCCCAAAUUUUGAUAGUGACCCUAAAAUGUUUUUGAAAUGAAGAUGAUAAAAAAUGUUAAGUAAUAAUAAUAAUAAUAAUAAUAAUAAUAAUAAUAAUAAUAAUAAUAAUAAUAAUAACUAUUGUUUUUGUUUUGUGGUUAUGAGAGCUCUAUGUUUUUGCUAAACUAUUAUGAUGCUUUCAAUGCUUAAUUAUGUUAUAUGCAUGACACUAAAAAUUUCAUUUAGAGAAUAUUAAUUAAAUUUAAUUUAAGUUUUAUAAAAAAUGAAAACAAUUUCAUGAUUAAAAAUAAAUAGCUUUGAAUAAAAUAUGAAUAGUAAUAUUAUAAUAAAAUAAAAAAUUAUUGUUAUUUUUUUAGAAAAAUAAUUGUGGACCCCCCGUUUGGGGCCUCCUCUCUCAGGCAACCUGUUUUGCCAAGUGUCACAGUCCCAUAGGGCCACGUGUCGUCUCGUGGUUGGUGGUCAUAAAAUCAGACAGUGGAAUUGAGGAGCGAGUGAGAGUUUGACACGUGGCAUGGAGAUAUUCUGGCCGUUAGUGAGGAGCGUAUAUUUUCUGUUAGAGGAGAUUCGUUGACAGAGGUGGUGCGUUUUUCUGGAGGUGGAGUGCUUUUCAGGUGGGGCUUUUCCAUUAGAGAGGGGGGCUGCAGAGAUCUUUGAGGAGAGGAGCUUUUGUUUGGUUGUUUAGAGAGGAGGGAGAGAUAUUUUUUAGGGGGGAUCCUGGAGUUAAAAGAAAAGAGAGGUUUGAGGCUACUGAAGGAUUCCAGGGGGAGUUUCGGGAGUUAGAGGAGGAUAACUAGAGAGGAGAGGGGAUUCACAGGAAGCUGGCGAGGAGGAUAGGGGAGCUUGAGAUGAGGGUUUUUGACAGAGAGGCUGGCGAGGAGGAUAGGGGAGCUUGAGAGGAGGGUUUUUGACAGAGAGGUUGAGGGAGGAUUUUUGUGCCUGUUUAGUUUGAGAGAAAACUAAGAGGCAGAGAUAUAGGAGCGUUUCUGUUACAGAGGGCAGGAGGUGAUGCUUUUUCGAGGGGAGCUGCCAGAGAGAAGGGUAGAAAACCAGAGUUUUGAGGAGGAAGCUAGAAGCAAGUUGGAGGUUAUAGAGAGAGCCAGAAAGAAAGGGUCUCUAACAUUUUUCUUCCCGAGAGUAAGUUUUCCAUUGUGUUUCUGCUUCUUUCUUUUUCUCUUCAUAUAUUAUUAUUGGGAUGCAUUGUUGUUGAUCUUUGGCAAUUUAUGCUUUGUUCUUCAUGGCUGACUAUUCCUCUUUUGCUCCUGUUUGUGUUUAAAAAUUGAUUUAACUCCAUUUUUACCUUCUUUGUGGCAUUUUAAAGAAAGAAAAAGACCUUUUAAUUCACCUAUCUGCAAACCCACUAAUGAAGAGGUGAAGCAUAGUCCUUAAUGCUUCAUCUCAUUUUUCUUCCUCCAUGGCUCUGUUUUUGCUACUUUUCUCUCUGCUCUUCGUGUUUGGACUUUCUUGGAUAUGAAGCCGUAAUGGGGAGUGAGGCUAUGGGAUGACGAGACAGUGAGGGAUUUGGACUCCUUGAAUCCGUUUGUCCUGUAGAGGCUACUAAGGGCUUGGUAGAUCAGUGUUUGAGCAUAUGAACAGAGAGUGGUCUACACAGGGGAUACCAUUAUUGCCAGUGAUCCGUGUGGCAGAGAUUAGUGGGCUGUAGAGAGGGGAUCCUUUCUGGAGGAGAAAGAGAACAACAAGAGUAAGGGAAGUUUGGAGCUAGAGUGGCAGGCAAACAGGGAGAUAGAGCUACUGAACUAGAGAAAUUGAAACGGAGCAAAGGAACAAGAGAUGAAUUUGUUGGGAAUUGUCCCAAAUUCCUAAUUAGUAAAUAUUCCUUUUUGUAAAGAAUAUUGUAUAGAAUAUUUCUAGGUUGAUAUAUUAUUGUAAUAUUAGACUUCCUUAUAGAAUAAGGAAGGUUGUUGGAAAUAUCUCUAUAAAUAUUCUAGGUCAUGAGGGGAAAAAGUUAUGAGAUGGAGAUGAGCCUAUAGAGACUAUACGAGGUGGAUAGAGAUGUGAGGAAGAACGGGAGGUACCUGGUGGAGCGAGAGGGCUCGUAGUAAGGUAUGGAUACAAGGAGUGGGGAAACAUGGGAUGUUUCGGGAACCCAAUAGUUGUAUCUGGUUCUAUCCUCUGUAAUAUUUUCUAUUGUAUAGUGGAAUUAUUCUCUCUCAUCCGUGGACGUAGGCAUGGUUAGCCGAACCACGUUAAAACCUCGUAUGUGUGAUUGUGUUUAUCUUUGUGUUCUUGAACUAUCAUUGUUGGCAUCAAAGCUUUCGCUGGCACUACAAUUGGUAUCAGAGCUUGGGUUGAAGAUUUCUGGAAGAGUAAAAAAUCACAAAGCACAUAAGAUGAAAACAAAAGGAAUUUUCACUGAAGGUGGAGUCAAUUGCUCUUUCGUGGUGAUAUGAUACAAAAAGGUUUGUGUCAUGGAGAGAUUGAAGAUUAACUUCAUGUAAUUUGGUCCAAGGUGGAGAUUGUUGGGAAUUGUCCCAAAUUCCUAAUUAGUAAAUAUUCCUUUUUGUAAAGAAUAUUGUAUAGAAUAUUUCUAGGUUGAUAUAUUAUUGUAAUAUUAGACUUCCUUAUAGAAUAAGGAAGGUUGUUGGAAAUAUCUCUAUAAAUAUUCUAGGUCAUGAGGGGAAAAAGUUAUGAGAUGGAGAUGAGCCUAUAGAGACUAUACGAGGUGGAUAGAGAUGUGAGGAAGAACGGGAGGUACCUGGUGGAGCGAGAGGGCUCGUAGUAAGGUAUGGAUACAAGGAGUGGGGAAACAUGGGAUGUUUCGGGAACCCAAUAGUUGUAUCUGGUUCUAUCCUCUGUAAUAUUUUCUAUUGUAUAGUGGAAUUAUUCUCUCUCAUCCGUGGACGUAGGCAUGGUUAGCCGAACCACGUUAAAACCUCGUAUGUGUGAUUGUGUUUAUCUUUGUGUUCUUGAACUAUCAUUGUUGGCAUCAAAGCUUUCGCUGGCACUACAGAAUUCAUGGGUUUUCUGAAUUGUUUUCACUAAGAAGGAGUUCACCCAGUACUCCUAGGCCUAAGAAGCUCGACAUUUCUUUGCAAACAUAAGAAGCACAGGCUGGAACUAUGGAGGCCAUAGGUUUUACAUGGUAAAAAGUGGGUUGACGGAGGAAUUGAGAAAAUAAUAAACCAAGCAAAGCUAUCCUCGAACGAUGCAGGCGGCGAAAUGCCUCUGCUAUCACCGGAAUCUUGAGGAACUUGCUUCUCAAAACAAACUGGUGCAGCCACCAACAGUUUAAGAGACGCACUUAAUUUGUCUCCUAGAGAUAUUGGCCAGCAUAACAACAGGUAUUUGCAUGGGCUUUCAGAGGGCCCAAUGACCAACAACCAGCUGGAUCAAUGGGGCUCUAUCUAACCUCAUCUCCAGCAGGCCUUCCAGAGUUCUGGCUUUGAGCAUCCAAACUCUGAUCAUCCACACCAACUUCAGUCAUCGCAGUCGAGUUCUAAUCCCUCAAGCAGCAGCUAACACAUAGGUGAAGACGGAAGCCUUUCUUAUACUUGUAAGACUAGGAAUCAAAUCAUCAGCUUUGAUACUAGACUAUGCAUUGUUUAGGAUGCCCAGAUGUACACAGAUGUGGAGGUGUACUAUGCGUCAGGGCCUGUCUCGAGGGGAUAGUUUCUUGGCUAGUUUCAUGCUGGUAUGGGGAAAAGUAUUGGAGUGCCGCCCAUGGCUUGGUGGGGAUUAUGCAUUUUUUUAAUGCACAUGGAAUUGAAAAUUGAUGAGAUUGAGGUUGCCCCAGACUCUGCUUCUGCACAUGCUGAAAGCACUGAAUCGUGUGAGGAAAUGUUUUUUUUACCCUAAUGUCUUUACCGAGUUUCAGUUGCAUGGGGUCCUGAUGGAAGGUGACUGGCUUAUGGCUCAAUGGACGACACCAUUUCUAUAUUUGAUGUAAACCGGGUCAAAUUCCUUCAUCAGUCAGAAGGUCACUACAUGCCCGGACCUGACUUUCCAACUGGAGGAUUAAUCAUGGGAAAUAUUGGCAUUUUAGAGGCAUAUCGAACUGAGUGGGAGCAUGGGAUGGCAGUUAAAGUGACAGGCACGCUUCUAGAGGUGAAUGCAGCUCAGGAUUUCCCCUAGAGUUCCUACAAUUCUAGUUGAAAAAUGAGAACAGUGUUGAUACCUUGUCCGUCGGUUGACUUUGAAUUGCAAUAGAUGACUGCCUCUUGAUGUUUCUAGAACGUGGAUCCAUCAUUGGCCUGAACCAUUGCUAGUAUUUAUGCUGCCUGCUUUGAGAGAGCAUGUUCAUUGUCAGCUGAAGGUCGUGGUCAUGAGCUCCGUGUGAGAUAGGCACUUUAUCUUUGCUCAACAAUGACGUCUCAUUAAGAACGGUGGACCCACCUGGGUUAUUUCAUGCCCUUUAUUUUUAUGUGGGAUCGUCUCCUCCAUCAAGUUGACUGGUUCUUCAGCAAAGAAAAUCAAGCUAUUCCUGCUUCUUGAUCUCUGCAUCCUAUUACCCCCACCAUUCACCUAGCUAUGUCAAUAAACCCACUUCUCUCUCUAGGUUUACACCCUUCAAUAUCCAUUAAGUCCAUCAUUCAUCCUCCGCUAUUCAUUUCCCACUCACCCAUCCCAUAUUCUCCCACGUGCAUGCAUCCUCCAGCAUUCUUCCUAAGCCUUAUCAUGAGGUGCAUAUCACCAUUUCCUUAACAUCCAGCCUGCACCAACUUCUUCUGUCAAUGAUACUAGUUGACUUGGAAAUGCUGAAUGAUCUUAAGCAAUUCCAUGGGAUAUAUAUACAUUGUUCUAGACAUUGCUCCAAGCAUGGAAAGGCAAUUUCAGCGUGUUCUCGAGAAACAAAAGAUGAAGUUCAUGCUCAGAACAAAGGUAGCAAAUGUUGACACAUCUGGAGACAUUGUUAAGUUGACACUUGAACCAGCAGCUAGUGGUGAGCAGAACAUACUUAAAGCUGAUUUUGUUCCUGUCCCAACUGGCGUCUGAGCUAUUGAUGAAGUGAUUCCAGGUUCCAUGUUAACUCACAAGACAGAGGAGGAUGAGGUGGCAUGUGUAGAGGUGAUAGCAGGCAAAGAAGGUCAUGUGGACUAUGAUAUGGUCUCUAAGGUUGUCUAUACGCAUCCUGAGAUAGUUUUUUGUUAGGAAGCAAAGAAGCGGAGUCUCUCAAUUUUAGACACGUGUCAUUUCUUCGGGAUGCAGUAACUGCAGUGGGAUGUCUGCAUCCAGUCAAGCCUCUGAGGCAGGUGCUUGCAUGGCCACCUUUGAUCCAAGUGCCAUUUCCCAUUUUGCCAUCUUUAACUUUUUAAAAAUAAUUUUCCAAGUCCUUUUCUCCAAAUAAAUUUCUGGGUUUUAGUUUUUAAAUAAUUCCAACUCCAUGUUUAACUUCAUUCUCAGAGUUUCUAGGUCCCAAAAUCCCAUUCUCCAUAAAACAAAUUGUCAUUUUCUCUUCGGCAAUUCUUUUCCACAUCUUUCUCGUUUUUUUAAAUGUUUUAAAAAUAAGCAAGAAUUAAAUUUCGUAAUUCCAAAUUAUGGAAUUUAUGGAAUUAGUUCAUGCAAAAAUAAACGGGCUUUGGUGGGGGCCCCACAUCAAAUAAAUUUUCAUCAAAAUAAAAGUGAAUUUGAAAUAAUACCAUGCAUGAUAUUGAUGUUUCUUUAUAUGGUUGGGUGAUAUGAGUGAUAUAAUUUGUGGUCAUUACUAUGCACUAAUCCCAUUUUGUGAUAGCGCGUUGCCGUUUGCUAAUCAGGUACGCAUCCACCUCCACUUCGGUUAUCCUCUAUUGCAUAUUCUGAUACUCAUAUGUGCAUGAUUGAUUUGAGUAUUCAUUGAUUUCCUCAUCAUUGCCACGUCAGCUUUAUUUUAGUAGUAGAGACCCGACUUUAGGGACUUAGAGGGGUGCUACGGUCUUUACCGUACCUUCCCGAUAAGUAACCUGACCCCCGAACCCGAUCCGGUUUUUCACAGACCACCUUUUCCAAAAUAAGGAGUCACACUUAGGGUUUUUCUUUCUUAUUUUGUUUACCCUUUAAAAAUAAAACAAAAAUAAGUAGCGACUCCAAGUCAUUUUCAAAUAAUCAAUAAAAACCAAAUUUUCAAAAUAAAAAAAAUCGAGCUCGCCAUCGAGUGGGAAACGCAUUGAGCCGAAAUGCGGGGUCCACAAUAAUAUUUUGGUAUAUGUUAGAAAAAUAUGAAUAUUAACAUCUUCAUAAAAAAAAGGUAUAAUUGAUUUAAUCUGUAAUUAGUUGGAUUAGUUUUUAAAAUUCUAAAUUAUUUUUAAAAAUUAGAAUAUUUAUUAAAUAAUUUAUAUUAUUAAUUAUGUAUCACUUAAUUUAGAACCUAUUUAUAUAGUUAGAAAAUUAAAAAAAAAUGGUAUUUCAUAGAAGAAACAGUAAAGUCAUAAUUUAUAAUGUAUCGAUUUUGGUCUAUUAUUUUUUGUAGUGAUUAGAUUUAUUUUAAGUUCCAAAUUAAUUUUGAGAAUUAUUGAACUCAUUAUCAACAUAAAGUGUCACUUAAUUUGAAAUUCAUUUCUCUGGUACAACAAUUUAUAAUAAUAUAAUUAUAUGCAAAAAGGAAAUAAAAAAAGUCCUUGUAAAAUAUUUUUUAUCCAUAAUUAUGUUUUUUAUUAAUUGGAUCAUUGUUUAAGUUUUAAGUUAUUUCUAAAAAUUAUUAGGCUUGUUAAAAAUUCAAUGCAUUCAAUCUUGUUUAAGUUGUAGUUUAUUUGUGUGGUAAGGAAAAAGAAAAAGAAAAAGAGAAAUAUGGUCCUAUAUAAAGGACAAACAAUAUAUUCAUUUUAAACUAAUUUUUAUCCACAAUGUUUUUAUAUUAAUUAAAUCAAUAUUUAAGUUUCAAGUUAUUUAUGAAAAUUCCUAAACUCGUUAUGAAUUCAAAGCAUUAAGUAUUGCUUAAUUAGCUUAAAUCAAUUAAGUGCCAAAAUAAGCUAGUAUUUGGAAAAAUGACCUCCGCCUUUUAAAAACCUAAAGAAUGCCCUAUUUUGGACUAAAUUACCCUUGAAAAAAAAAACCUUUGAAAUUCAAAAAAGCAAAAAGGAAGAGAAAGAGAACAAACCAAGGGUUCUCUUUUGAAUGGUAGACUACAACACACUCUAUGGUCUUCUGAUAUAUAUAUAUAUAUAUAUAUAUAUAUAUAUGUAUUGCAAUUUGCGUAUUGUUAUUGAUUAUCUGUGUAAAAGGAUUCUAAAAGGUUAUUCAUUUGAUUGAAGUGUGAAUUUUUUUUCUCUAAUUUCUGAAAAAACGCGGGAAAGGAAGAGAACGAAACGAAAUGGAAUGGAAGAAAACUGAAAAGGAUCUUGAAAAGUAUGUUUAUUACUUUGAAAUAGUUUGUUUUUUUGGAUUCUCUCUUUGUUGAUUUCAUACAUUCGCUUGAGGUGUGUGUUUUCUUUCUGCAUGGUUUUAGAAAAAAUAUGAGAAAAAGUAAUGGGUUUAUAUGUUCACUUUUUGUUAAGCAUAAAUAUAAGGGUUUUUCUUUAAUUUGUUAGCAUAUUCCUCAAGUGACAAAUGUGUUGACCAAUUUGGUCUUCUAAAGAGUUGAAUCAUAAUAAGAGAAAUAGAAUUUGUCCCCAUUUUGAUAUUUCUUCCUUGGUGAUUGGAAGAAACAUUUCAUUCGUCUAAUUGGAAAAUGAAUUUGUUUCCUUAAACCCCGCAGGUAGAGAUAUUGAAAGUGUUGCUGAAGUCUUUUUCCAUGAGCAGUGUUGGAAGAAUGGUUUUGAUUUCUUUUCCAAAAUUCAAAACCCUUUUUUUAGAGUAGUUUUGGCUUAUAUCAUAAAGUAAAAAUAAUACUUCUUCUAUGAGCAUUCAUGUCAAUUAUUCUCCUUUUGUGUUGCUUAACUUUUAAGUAAUUGAACCAAUAUGAUAUACAUGAAUAGUCAUUCUUUUCUAGUAAUGACAAAAUUGGAGAUCAUUGUAGUCUUUGCCAAUUGGGUGUCUAGUUUUUUAGCAGUUUGGGAAUUUUUUUCUUUUUCCUAUUUGUAGUUCUUUUCCCAAGGGAUAGGAAGUUGGUUUAAUUGAAAACCUCAAUUUUCAUCAAACAGUUUGCAUCCCUUGCCUAUCUACAGUUUCCAUUUCACUUGUCUAGAUUGAGAAUUAAAUCUCUGCUCUCUCUUGGAUGUGAACCAACUUUAAGAAUCACCCCAUCAAGGUCUAAACCCAGUUUGCUUUUACUAGAUCAUAAGUGACAUUUGCUAAAUUUGGGACCUAGUUGGUCCUACAAUGCAAACCACAACAUUGAAAUAGUAAUCUCUAACAAAAGUCAUGACAAAGAAUGAUCCCAACUAAGGACUGAAAUAUUACUCACAACUAAGAUAUUGAGUGAGAUGAUGCAUAUGCAUAGCCAAAAUACUUCUACCAUAUGCUUUCUAUUAGUAAGGAUGGUCCUUUAGAACUUCAUUUAUAUCUAGAUAUAGAUGCAAGGAAAAGUAAUAUGACAUGGACUCAUGAUUAGUUCUUAAAAUUUAGGCAUGAAUAACCAAAGUGUUUGAACUCAUUAGAAAAUCAUGUGCAUCAUGCAAUCUCUUUCAUCAAUAAAAGAUUUAAAAGAAUUCAAUGAAAAAUGUAGUGUAAGUUUUAUGAAAAUGUAAAUUUCUAAAAAUUGUUUCUAAGGUGAUGUAAAAGAAUGUUAUACAGUGGUCUCUAUUUCUCUCUCUCUUUAUAUAUAUAUACAUAUACUUAGUAUAAACUUAUGGAUUUUAAUAAGUAAAUGGAUGAUUGUUAUUUGAAUUUUUUUAUAUUUAUUUUUUAAGGACAAGGAAAAAAAAAAUUAGAUUUGCAAUAUAGUAUAACUCCAAAAGUGAUCAUCCUAGAAAGUGAACUAAUCAUCUUUAAGGGCAAAUACUGAAGAAUCUAAUGAGAAGGUUUGUAUUUUUGGUAUAUUUGGGAUGUUAAUGUGUUGAUGAUUCUUGUAUAUGAGAUCACUCCUUCAAUAGCAAAAUAUAUAUCUAUUGCAUUUCAUAUGCUAAAAAUAUACCAAAUAAGUUAAGCCUAGAUAAUAAGUCUAUGGAUGAUAUUAUAUCUCAAGUUUGCCAUAAAUAAUGAACCUAUCAAGUUAAGUUUUUUAUAUGUUAAUCAAAAUAUUCAUUUAAACUAAACUAUAGUUAAGUUUUAUAGAGAAAGAAUUUAAUCGAGGUUAAGUUAUUAAAAAGUAAAAAUUCACCUGAACUUAGCCAAGGUUAAGUCUCAUCAACAAAUAACAUAACUGUAGUUAAGUUCUCAGUUAAAAUAUUUGAAACAUGCUUACAAUAUAAUUAAUUGAAUCGGUAUUUUGAUUUUAGUGGAAGUAGUUAAAUUUUUUGUAAUAUAUUUUAGUUCAUGCAGAAUGUUUGUAACUCUUAAUAUAUUUUCUUAAUGUGAAGCAUAAUGUAUGUGACUUUGUAGGCUACCACUUCUUCAACAAUCUUCAUACAGAAAAUACGUAAUGAAGAUCAUUUCCCAUCUAAGGUGGCUUGAUUAUCCCAAAUUAUUGUCAUUGACAACAUAAAGAAGAACUUGAAUGAAACCCAACUAGAGAUGUUUAAAACAUCUUGUUUUGCCCACUUCUUAGGUAUGGUUGAUUUGAAAUUUUCUACUCAAAUUGUUCAUAAUAUGUUGUUACGCCAAUGUGACAUUAAAAAAAAAAUGAUAUGUGGAUACUUGUAAACUCUAAAGGUUUGAGUUUUAGUGCGUUGAAGUUUGCAUUGAUAAUCGGGUUGAAAUUUGGGAAAAUUUCACAAUUUGACAUAACAUCUUUGAGGAUAAGAGAUCAGUAUUUUAAUAGAGAGAAUAAGAUUCGCAAUGAUUGAUUGGAAGAGGUUUUCAUUGCAUUAUGUAAGAAAAGAAAGAGAAUGAGCACAAAGAAGUCAAAAAAUAAGGAAAAGUUAAAUGGGAAAUCAAAUCUUGAUGAAGACAUUGUGAAUUUAGCAUUGUUGUACUUUGUUGAGCAUGUUCUACUAAGAAAAAAAUGGAAGAAUUUGAUAGAUUUACAAUGAGUUCAACUUUUUAAUAAUUUAGAGGAGUUCAACAAGUAUUCCAGUGGGAAAAUUUUCCAUGAAAGAACAUUAUUUGGGUUGAAAAGGGCUUUGGACAAAAGACAAUCAAAAUAUGUAGAGAAAAAAAAAAAAGGAAUGCAUCAUAUGAAGCAUGCACUUGUGGGAUUUCCAUAUGCCUUUCAAAUUUGGGCAUGUGAAGUCAUUCCAUUGCUUGGAAUGAAAUAUGCAAGUUGCAUUGGUAGAAGUUUUCCCAGAAUUUUAAAUUGGACAGGGAUUGCAACUACAAAGUACACUGAGAUUCAAUCAUUAUUUUUAGAGUCAAAUGUGAGUGAUAUCUUAAUUUUUGCUUAUACUUACUUUCUUAUUUACAUAACCGUAUUCUUAUUAUUAAUUGUUUUCUUUCUAUCUUGAAUUAUUAGUUAUCUUUGCAUUCCAUACUCAUUCUGACAUUGGAAGAGGGUAAACAAAAGUAUGUGAAAUGUUUUGAAUUUGAAGCUUAGUCGGAUGAUGCCUUACAAGAUAAUGUGAAUGAUUGGGAGAAAUAUAAAGAUCAUGAGGAAGCUGAGGCUUAUACUGCAGCAGUAGUAGCAAUAAUGAAAGGUGGAAAUGAUGGUGUUAGUUCUAAAUUACCUUCAUUCAAGGUAACUAAAGUGAAAGUUAUUAAUAUUAUUUCACUAUACAUGUUUAAGAAUGUUUGACUAAUGUUAUAAUGUUUUUUCUUAUGUAAAGGAAUUGGUUAUGAUGUUCAUCAACUUUCAAGAAAAGACAGAAGAAAAUUUUAAUGAAGUCCAAACAAAAUUGAAAAAAAAAAAAAAAGUAAGGUUGAUGGUUUUGAGUGAGUUGUUGUUGGAUGUUAGUAACAUGUGUUAGAUUCUUUAUUUUUUUUAUAAAACCAACAACACAUUUUAAAAUAUAUUAAUAUAUUUCUAUGCAAUUUUAGAUUAGAAACCCAAGAAGUGAGUCAUAUAAUGCUACAAUGGGGAAUGGUAUGACGAUGGACUUCAAAUCAAAGUUAGGAAAAUUUGAAACACCGGGAAAAGACAAUAAGAAGGAGGCUUCAAUGGAUGAUGCAUAGAAUGAAACACCAGUUAAUGUUUUUCCAUGAUCUUAUAUUCUUUAUAUUUUUUAAAUUACUAACAAUGCCUUUUCAAAUAUAUUUAUAUAUUUCUAUGCAAUUUCAGGUUGGAAAAUUGAGUAAUGAGCCAUAUACUACAACAAUGGGAAAUGAAACAACAUUGAACUUCAAAUCAAAGUUAGAAAAAAUUUAGACAUCGAGAAAAGACAAUGAUAAGGAUGUUUUGAAGGAUGACCCACCUAAUGUGACAGUAGUUCAUGUUUUCCCACAUCAACUAUCAUCGAAUAUCUUUAAGCGAAGAAAAGAGGUAAAGAAAUCUCAUCUACUGCAAUACCCAUUUACAGAUCCCACAAAGAGAAGGAAGUUAUUAAUGAGUAAGACUGACAUAACAUCAUCAAUCUUUGAUCCAUUGCGGCCACCAUCAAUGGAGGCAAAGGUGGCUUAUACAGAAUAUAUUAAUGAUUAGAUUAAGGAAAAGUAAGUUAUCUACAAUAUUGACUCGAUUAAUUUUUUUUAUGUAAUUUAUGAAGUUGAAAAAUGGUUUAUUUCCUUAUAUGACAUAAAGGUUUGAAGUGAACAUCGAGUAUACGAAGGUGGACCAAAAAUGGUUUCAGAAAAUAAUGAUUCCUGGAGAAUGGCUCAGUGACUCCGUUUAUGACUGUUGCCUACAUUAUUCAAUAAUAUACAGAUAUUGUUGGAUUACUAUUUAUUAUUCCUUAUCAACAUAUUGAUGCCACUUUAUACUUUUUUUCGAAAAAAAGAGGAUACUAAACUCUGAUGUGUUUACACAAAAAUUCACCACCACUGACACAUUAUUUUGGGUAUGCAUAUUAGUGCAUUUUAACUUUGUUUUACUUUAUUUUUAAAGUUAUAUUCACAACUUCUGAUUAUUUUUUCCUUAUGUAACAAAAAGUAGAUGGUUGUUGGAAGAUGAAUCAAAAGACAUGGAACAAAUACAUUUUACCGGAAGAUGACAUCCUCAUCGAUUAUGCCAUGGUUCUUUAUCUUAGGCCUUUUUUUGAAAUGGUCUAAGGUUGAUGUCAUAUAUGUUCCUAUCAAUCUAAGGAGCACACAUUUGGUACUGGGAGUUGUCCACCUUCGUAGUAGGAGAAUUUACAUUUGACUCCAUAAAGUCAAUUAACAAACCCAAUAGAUUGAAAACACUUGUCACACCCAUUGCAAUGUUGUUACCACGUAUCUUAAGAGCUACAAAAUACUAUGGGAAGAAUGGUGACCCCAAGGGUGAACAUGCGUGGGACAUUGAGAGAUUGAACAACAUUCCACAACAAACAAAGGAGUAAGUACAAUAUUUUCCAUGCCAACACACAUAUUUCAUUAUAUAUACAAUAAUAUUUAACAUUGUUAACAUCACUUUUUUGUGUUCAUUCAGUGGUGAUUGUGGUUUUUUUUUUUUAAUCAAAUUUGCAAAAGACCUGAUGCACAGCCAUCCAAUGGAUACACUAAUAGGCGAGCAAAUGGAUUGGUUUCGUAAGAAGAUGGCAAUGGAGUUAUUUUUCCAUAAAGAACUUCCUAUGUGAUCCUACUAUUGUAAAUGGAUUGUAAUUGGAUAGUGGACAAUGUUUCUAUGUAAUGACAUUGAAGUUUUUUGUUUAGCAAAUUCCUAUGUUAUAGCACGUAUUUAAAUAGUUACAUGUUUUUCAUACAUCUAGAGAAAUGAAUGGUUGCAAAUUUAUUUACUUUUAUAAAUAUGACUAUGUUAUGAUUGUUAACAGGUUUGAAUUUAUUGUAGUAAGCAUAAUAAUAGAAACUUAUAUUUCAAUGUAGAGCUCAUAUUUUUUUGCUCAAACUUAACCCUAGUGCAUUUUAGGUGAACAUCCUCAAUUAAAACUUAACUCCUACUAAGUUAUUUAUUAAAAAAACUCAACUUCAGUUUAGUUCAGGACGUUUGUUUUAAUUCAAACUUAACGAGUGUUAAGUUACUCAUAACUUACACUUAACCUUAUUGCAGUUCAGGUGAGUAUCCUCAAUUAAAACAUAACUCCUACUAUGUUCUUUAUUAAAAAAAAAACUUAACUUCAGUUAAGUUCAAGACAUUUGUUUUAAUUCGAACUUAAUUGUUAACUUACUUGUAAAUUAGACUUAACCUUAGUGCAGUUCAAGUGUAUAUCCUCAAUUAAAACUUAACUCUUAUUAAGUUCUUUAUUAAAAAAACUUAACUUUAGUUUCAUUCAGGUAAUUUUUUUUUAACUGAAACUUAACUACUAUUAAGUUCUUUGGAAAAUAAACUUAACCCUAGUACAAUUCAGUUGAAUAUCCUCAAUUAAAACUUAACUCUUACUAAGUUCUUUAAUUAAAAAAAUUUAACAUCACUUUCGUUCAGGUAAGUUUUUAUAACUUAAACUUAACCAUUGUUAAAUUCUUUGUAAAAGAAAUUUAACCCUAGUGUAGUUUAGGUGAAUGUCCUCAAUUAAAGUUGUAUAUAUGAAUGAUCUCGACAUAUAUAAUGUGUUUGAUCUUAACAUCAAUAAAAGAUUAAAACAUAUCCAAAUAUGUAUGAUCAAAUACUAACGAGACUAGUAUUCAAAAAAAAAAGAGUUUACUUGUCAUUUCAAAUGAGUUGGUAUUGAGGGAUGAACUUAAACUUCAUUUUUAAGCUUUAAGUUCAUCAUUUAAUUAAAAGAGACUAAAUCAAAGUACAAUUAUACGUUUUGUGCCCCUAUUCACAAUAUACAAAAAAAAUUACAAUAUCAAAUAUUUUAUAUGCCAAUCAUCAUCUACAAAAAACAACAAAAAAUUCACCAUAAAAUUGGCUUAGUGACAGUUUCAUUCAUUCUCUGAUUGUAAGGAGAAAUCUUGCAUGCCUAUUUCAGUGUAUCCACUAUUAUCAUUCUGAUAAUGCAGAGGGAUAUGUCAUUUGCAUGACUUUCAAUUAUGACCAUAAUCACCACAUCGACCACACCGCCAUUUGUGUUUACUCUCUCCACCUGAAAGGAUUCUUUCAUUCCUUGGUAUUCCUACUAGCUACCUUGUUUUCGGUGGUAAUACAACUCUACUGCUUAUAUCAUCAGGUAUCAUCCAAUCCCUUUGAUGUCCAGGAAGAUAGAUGGACUCAACAUAUGAAGAUAAUAAUGAGUUCACUGUGCAAUAUUUGGAGCAUAAAGGAUAGCAUGACAUAUGUGCAUAUCUACAAGCAACAAUAGCAUGUGAACACGAUAUGUGAUCAAGAUCAAACCAUCGACAUGUGCAUGAAUGAUUAUGUAAAUUCACAUGAUCACUAACACCAUUAUAUUUAACAUUAUACUUCAUCGAGUUGAUUGCUUCAACUUCAUAUGUUGAUGAUGUAUUGUACCUUACACGAAGCUCUCCAUCAGCCCAUGUUGUUACCUAAGUUGUCAUUGACAAUGCUUGUUGUUUACAAUUUGCAAACCAUUUUUAAAGUAAAUUUCUUAACUCUUCAAUUUAUUGCAAAAUAGGAAGAUCUCUACCAUCCUUUAACACAACAUUCAAACUUUCAGCAAUCCCUGUGGUCAUAAUGUUAUAUCUUUUUUUGGUAGAAUGUGAAUGUGUCCAUCGCUUAACACCUGCAUCUAUUAUAUAUGUUGCUGCUCUCAGAGAAAUCAUUUGUAGUUUCCCAAAUAUAAUAUUGAAUUCUGACAACUGGUAUGUAUAAGCAACAUCAUGAAACAACUUAUGGACUUCAACGUUUUUAAACUUUGUUUUGAGGUUUUUCUUCAUGUGAUAAGUGUACACACCAUGGCUUGCAUGAGGAAAAGUUUUCGCACAAAUUUUUCAAUGUUGUCGUGACGAUCUAAAACCACCACAAGAUCAUCAACAUGGCCAAUUGCUCCAUGCAAUUUUUUUUAGGAACCAUUCCCAAGAAGCAUCAUUUUCAAAAUCACCAAUUCUGAAACAUAAAGGGUAUAUCUGAUUAUUUCCAUCCUUACAUGCAGCAACAAACAAAGUUCCUAAGUACUUUGCCUUCAAAAAUGUUCCAUCGAUUGUAAUGACAGGUCUUAUUGAUGUACGAAACCCAUAAAUACAUGCACCAAGAGCCAUCAAAAAAAUACUUAAAUUGAUUGUCGUGGUCAAUAACCAUACCAGUAAUGGUGUCAGGAUUUUUGUGCUCCAACACAUAACAAUAAGAUGGUAAAGCACUAUAGGACUCCUCUGGUGAUCCUCUAAUAGAACUUAGAGCAAAUUCUCUAGCUCUCCAUGUCUUACCAUAGCUUAUCCCCACAUCGAACUUGUUUCGAAUAUCAGCUACAAUGUCUUUUGGUCGAUAUUGACAACCAACCCCUUGAUAUAUUUCUCUUAUGCUUUCACCAAUCAACCAACAACUUGCAUGACGAUGAUCACGAGAUAUCAUAUCCAAGCUACAAGUGUGUGUUGAAUGAUAUCUCCUUAUUUGAAAUAGAUUAGAAUUUCCCAACUUGAUUGCAAGAAGUCGCCACUUGCAUUCUUUAUUGACAAUCCAAUAUAUAAUAACUUGGUCAAAGAUUUUAAUGUUUUCAACUGAAACUCUCUUUUCAAAGCAAUCAUGCAUAACUUCUUCUGCAAUUCUUUCUUAUUGGAGUAUUUGGUGCUCUUCCAUGUAGUCAUCACCAGUUUCACUAUAACCAACUAUAAAUGGUUCCUCUAUGCUUUCUUUUGCAUGACUUUCACAUUCCAUUGCUGCAUUUUCCAUUACAUCAAUUUGCAUUACUUGGCAAUCCUUGUUCGGGUUGACAUUCAUUCCACCAUCUUCAUCAUCCUUGUUCAUAUUCAAGUUAUGAGAAUCAAAACAAUUAAGUGGAUCAUAGCUCAACCUUGUUCUAUUUUCAUCAUCAAAACCACUCAAAGAUUCACUACUAUUUAUGAAUAUUGGGUCCAUAUUGAUUUCUUUCUCAACCCUAGAUAAAGUAUGAGAGCCAAAAUCAGUGUUGAUGAUUGAUUCAUACCUAUGAUUGCCACUUCUUUUUCUCUAUUGUGAUACAUAAUGGAACUGGCAACUUACUAUCUGUACAAUUUAAACAAAUGAAAAUUUUCACAUCUCCAUCAUCUCUUAGCUGUAUAAGAGUGGAUGGUAUAUUGCCAUUGAAUACAUACUUCAUCUAAAGAUUGUGCUCUGGUGGAUCUACUUUCAAAAUGUGACAAAUAAUCUUCAAUAAUUCUUCAUAUGUUAUAGUCUUCUUAAGUUCAAUAAAUUUACCUUGGCAACCUUCAAAGUAGUACAUGUUUCGAUUUUGCACCCAAUCUCCUUCAUAAAAAAGCAUUAUUCCCAUUUCAUCAAUCACUGUAACAAAAAUAAAUAAGUAAAUAAAUAAAUUGAAUUAUUGAUACAAAAAAAAAAAUAUUAAAACAGUAGUUAUUUGGAUAAGUAACUCAAUCCCGCAAAGUUGUCGAUUAACAUGUUGAAUUGUACUCAACUAUCUUCAAGUUUUAUAUAUAAAGAACUUAACACUAGUUACAUCUAGUUUUUACAUGUUAAAUACGAACUUUACUCUUUUCAUACAAAUGUUUUUAACAAAAAAUUUCACUCAUGUUUACUCUAAAAUUUUCGUUUUUUUUCCCCUACAACCAAAUAAUGUUGAGAAUAGCAAAACUAAGGUAAUUUUUUUUCCCAAAUGGGUUUACAUACCUUCAUUCGACCUUGCCAUAUGUUUUUUUUUUUUUUAAAUCUGCUCUACUUCUAUUACCUCAAUUUUGAUGGUGGGUUGCAGUAAUAGUGUAUAGGGACAUACUCACAAUGUUAGUAAGAGAUAUGCAGAUAGAUGUAGUACCGAUGAGAGAGGUAAAACUAAAAUGUUUUGCUUUUGGAUAGAUAUCAUGUCUUUGGUGGGGGAUCUUACUCUUCUCUGUUUCUCUAUUCUUUUCUACUUCUCUUCACUCAGCUUUAUUGGUGGGUUACAGAGAUGGUGUAUAGGGAUGUACUCACAAUGUUGGUGAGAGAGAUGUAGUACCGAAGAGAGAGGUAAAACUAAAGUUUUCUGCUUUUGGAGGGAUAUCAUGUCUUUGGUGGGAAUCUUAUGUGUUUUUAGAGGGAAAUAAAUAAGGGUAAAAAUGUCUAAAUUAGAUCAUCUCUCAAAACAAUUGACUAGUGAGGUUACUUUUAUAAUUUUACCUUUAUUUUGAGUCACCUGUUCAAAUAAGCCAAAAAAAAAAAAAAUAGAUUAUGUAAUAAAGUUGUUGGUUACCUCAGUAGCAAGAUGGCCAUGGCAUCAAAACUAGAGGAAAUGGGCAUUUGCAGAACAAUGGGCAUCAAGAAAGAGAAGUUCAACAAAUAAAGGAAGAUGAUGGGAUUGCAGGUGUGGAGAGAUAUGUGUAUAUAAAAGGAGAUAUUUUGUAAAGAAAAAGGUUGAAAGACGGUUGUUUGUCAUCUUAAUUUGUCUUCUAGUCGGUGGAGCAAUGAAAACAUGAGUCAACCGUUUCUGAAAUCCAUUUAGGAUUUUGAGAAUAGAGAGUAAAAUAUAUGUUCACAAGGGAAAUGCUGAGGAUGGCUAGCGGUCAUGAUGACAACUUUAUUGUCCAAGAGUCUCAUUGGGUGGUGGUUAACUAACAAUCAUAAGGAUAAAAUCCAUGACUGCUAUAUGUGGAUUUUCUCAUUUGUUAAUGUUCCACCCCAACUUAAAAUGCAAAGCCAAAAAAAGGGUCAAUCCUAGAUUGUAAAAUUCAUACCCUCGUCUACAUAAUUGCUAUAGAAAUGUUAAGGGUGUGUUUGGACACGUUUUUAAACACAUUUCUAAUGUGAUUGUUGACUUGGAAAUCGAUUAAAAAAAGCCACUUAAUCUUAUUUGAUGUUUUUUUGUUAAAGUUUUUUAUUCAUUUUAUUGAUUGUAAGGUAGGGUUGUAAAUAUUGGAUUGAUUAGUUAUAUGAAUGUUAUUUAUUCACAUAUUGAUGUAUUGAUUUGCAAAGGUUCUAGAAUCUUAAUUAAAUAAUUUUUUAAUAGUUUUUUGUUUGUUAAAUAUUGUUUGAUUUAUAAAAUAUUUAGGGAAAUGGAUAUUAAGUUUAUGCUUAUUAGCUUGACUAGCCUGACUAACCUGAAUAUAAAUCUAUUAAUCUGAAACUAGCAAAUUUAAACUUGAGUUUAGAAAAAUAAGUUUAUGAAAGAUGGUAUGAAUUUCGAUUUCUAAAAGAUAUAGAUAAAGAAUUCUCUGCACCAAAAAGAUUUGUAUCUAUCAUUGGGAAAGAAACCAAAAUUUAUGGUUGAAAAUGAAUGGGAUUUGCUCGAUUACCAAGCCUUUGUUGCAAUUAGGUUAACCUUAUCAAAAUCAGUUGCUUUUAAGAUAUAUAUAUAUAAAGAGCACAACAUGUCCCUCAUGGCCACCCUAACCAAUAUGUAUGAACAACCUUCUACAAUAAAUAAGGUAUACCUAAUUAUGAAGCUCUUUAAUUUGAAAAUGCUUGAGAACAAAAAUUUUAAGCAACAUUUGAAUGAAUUUUUCUAGUGAGAUAGAUCACAAGAGGAGCUCUACAAAGUAUGUGUUUACUAGGGAUGCUUAUAACCAUUAGUUGGAUUUCACACUUUAGGCCUACAACUGAAGCGGAGUACAUGGUUAUGAUAAAAGUUAGCAAAAAGAUGAUUUGGUUGCAGCAUUCAUUAGCAAAUUUAUGAGUCAAACAUAUGAUGAAUGUAUUAAAGUGAAAGACAUUUGGCUAAUUCAAUAUUUCAUUUAAUGACUAAAUAUAUUGUACUUUGUUAUCACUUCAUCAAGUCUUUACUUGAAGAUGGAGUGUCGACAUUUGUGAAGAUACAAGGUAGCAAGAGUCCAACUAACAUGUUGACCAAAAUAGUGAUAAUAGAGAAACUGGAGUUGUAUGUAGCUUUAAUGGAUCAUGGGUGAGGAUGGGUUGUUUAAGUGUGCACCAUAUUCAUUAAUCAUUAAAGGAAGAUAUUUACUUGUACUUUAGUUUUUAAGUGGGAGAUUGUUGGAUUAUAAAGUUUGAAUCAAUCUUAUCAUGCUACACAGGAGAUGUCGAAGAUUGAAUGACGAGUUUGCCCCUAUUGUAUUUAACCCUUUAUGAUUCAAGGUUUAGUUAGAGAGUGAAAAGAAAAUAGCAUGGCCACAAUUGAAAGGAGGAGAGUUUUCACCAUUGUAACUUUUGUAUUUCAUUUCAUUAGUGGAUUUUUAAGUGUUAGUGCAUUCUGUGGAUGUAUGAAUCACAAUAAUCGUUGAACCAUGUUAAAUUUUUUUUUCUCUUUUAUUUUUGCUUAUGUAUAUGUGGUUAUUUUAAUAGGUUGCGAUUGGAUUAAUUAACAACUUGACUCAAACCAAGCCAACUUGCAUAAGUUGCAUCCUUAUGAGGUUAGGAUUUUUGUGGAUAUGGGAUGGGAUGAAGAGGAUGAGGGCAUUUUUUACCCUUUCACAUUCAAGUUUUAUUUGAAAGUUAAAUACAAUUGUAUGCAUACAUUUCAUGUUGUAUGAUCUAAGAAAGAUGAGAAGAAAAAAAAAAGGUAAAACAAAUUUAUAUUAAUAUAUAAGAAAAAUAAAUGUCAAUAAUAUGAUCAUGUGCUUUAAUUUGAUCUUGUUGAUCUCAGUUCACGAUGACACAAAUUCUUGAAUAAAAAUGUAGUCUAAGGGUCAACUAGACUUGAUUUCAACUUUGUUACAUAAAAUGUGGUCUUCAUCUUUAAAAGAAUGAAAGAAAACUACUUAUUUUUUGCUUUAAUUUUUUUUCAUGGGCUUGCAAAAAAUAUCGAACUAGUAAAGGAUGUUCAAACUUGUUGAAGAUUUGUUCACUAUUCAAGCUCAUUUGUUACUCAAACUUCCAUCAAAAGGAUACAUGAGCUACUCUUGUUUAAAAAACUCCAUGAAUUUUUGUCCACUCUUCAAUUUUUUUUUUCCUUAAAGAAAAUGUUAUAAUGGUUUCAUUUUAAAUGUUCAUGCCAUAAACUUCAGCUUCCCUACUUGCACUACCUCCCUUUGAAAUCAAGGAUAGUUUGUCUAUGUUUUAGAAAGUUUAAAUAAUGAGACCAUUAUAUUUGACACUUCAAUUCAAAUUUGAAAUAUUGCCAACAUAUGAAUCUAAAGUUUAAAUUUAGACAAUACUUAAAAGUUGAUUUGUCAAUCAAAUUCACUUUUAAACUUUUCAUUAAUUAUUAACUUAAAAAUAAAUUAUAUUACCUAGAUUUUAUGCAAUUUAUAAAUUAGUAAAUUUAUUAUCAAUAGAAACCAAAUAUAAUUAAGAUACGUUAUAAUAUAAUUAACAUAUAUUCGACUUUUAAUCAUUUUUUCUUAUUUCUUAAGUAAAUUUAGAUAUAAAUUUUUUUUGAAGAAUAUAUAUUAAAUACAACACAAAUUAUAUUUUGAUUGGAUAAACCGAACAUAAUUAUCUUACCUUAAACAAAUAUUAAAUACAUCGGUAUAAGAGUGAAAGACUAGGGUCUGUUUAGUAAUUGUUUUUUAGAACAGUUUUCUAUUCUUCAUAAUAAAAUAAUAAGAAAAUAUGGUUGAUAAUCAAAAACUAUUUUUUUUUUCUUUUUUUAAGAUCUAAAAACAGGAUAUUUUCAUAUAACAUCUUUAAUUAUUUAUAUUGUUUUCCCUUGUUUUCGAAAAGUUAUCUCAUAAAAAAAUUAUAAAAUGAUUAAAAAUAAAACACAGGAUAUAAGAACUAUUUUUGAAACAUAUUUUAAAAUAUUAAAAACGGGUUAAAAACAAAAUCAAAAAGAAUGUUCUCAAAAAUAGUUUUUCAUAACUAUUUUCGAAAACAGCUAUCAAAUAGUGUCCAAUUAACUAGGUAAAAAAAAAACAUUUAUUUAUUCUAAACAAAUAUAAUUGAAUACAUUAAUACGACAGUGUUAACUAAAAAUAUAUCCGAUAAUUAUUACUUUUCUUUCAAACCAAAUACAACAUAUCACCAUCCAAAAAUUGUACAUGAGGAAAUAAAAAUACAUGUUUUAUAAUUUAUAAAAUAAAUAAUAAUAAAGUAGUAAAUAUUUUAAACAUCAAACAAGAUUGAAGAUUCUAUCCAUGGUAUGGAAAACCACUUUAUUUAGUCACGUGUGAUUGUCAUCUCUGCAACCUGAAACAUUUCCUCUAUUCAUCAUGCAGACUUUCCAGGAGUUCCUAGACCUGGGGAACCUUUACCGCGGCAUCCGGUGAUGGGUGAGCAACCCCUUUGCCAUCGAUGGGCUUCUUGAGGUGGAGCCUUGGGAUUCUCGCGACAACCCACUGGUGGACUCGGUCCAUGGCAUGGGUUUAGGAACUUAUCAAUGUCAGCCUCACCAUGUACGUGCAUGACCAAAAUCAUGCUGACAAGAGUCAGACAUAUGAGCCAUUUCUUCAUGAUGGAGAGUCCCAUGAUCUCUAUGUUAAAUUCCUUUUUCUUUAGCUUCCAAUGCGUGGCUAGUCAUGUGAAGGGAGUUUAUAUAGAUUUUGGAUAUGGAGACCUUUGGGGAGUCGAAUGUCUUAAUAUAGAAGAAGUGCUUAAAAUAAAGAAGGGCAAAACCCUUUUGUUUGAAUGGUUGGAAAAUGAUUUAGAAAAAUAAUUUUUGACAACUAUUUUAACUAUUUAAGGAAAAUUGUUGGUUAUUGUUCUGUAACGUAAAUAAAAGUUUCUUUUAACCUAUUUUUUAACUAUGACAAAUGUCAUUUAUUUGACCAAAUUUUUAGUGUCAAUGACUUCAAAAUAUUUCCUUGGAGUAAAAAAUAAAAAAUAAUUUGGUAUAUGAUUGUUAGGUAUUUUUGGGCAUAAAAUAUAUAUCUCACAUUUUCACAGUGAUAAAUUUCAAAUAUUUCAUUAAUUCUUUCAAAUCAAUGACUCCAAAAUUUCAAUUUACAAAGUUUUUGCCCAAACUUUUGUUUUCUUUGUUCAAUUCAACCGGUAACAUAAUCUUAGAACAUGCCCAAAUUUUGAUAGUGACCCUAAAAUGUUUUUGAAAUGAAGAUGAUAAAAUUAGUGUUAAAUAAUAAUAGUAACUAUCGUUUGUUUUGUGCUUCUGAGAGCUCUAUGUUUUUGCUAAACUAUUAUGAUGCUUUCAAUGCUUAAUUAUGUUAUAUGCAUAGCACCGUAAAUUUCAUUUAUAUAAUAUUAAUUUAAUUUAAUUUAAGUUUUAUAAAAAAAUGAAAAUAAUUCCAUAAUUAAAAAUAAAUAGCUUUGAAUAAAAUAUAAAUAGUACUAUUAUAAUAAAAUAAAAAAAUUAUUGUAUUUUUUUAGAAAAAUAAUAUUUUGGUAUAUGUUAGAAAAAUAUGAAUAUUAACGUCUUCAUAAAAAAAGUAUAAUUGAUUUAAUCUGUAAUUAGUUGGAUUAGUUUUUUAAAUUCUAAACUAUUUUUAAAGAAUAGAAGAUUUAUUAAAUAAUUUAUAGUAUUAAUUAUGUAUCACUUAAUUUAGAACCUAUUUAUAUAGUGAGAAAAUUUAGAAAAUAUGGUAUUUCAUAGGAGAAACAGUAAAGUCAAAAUUUAUAAUGUAUCGGUUUUGGUCUAUUAUUUUUUGUAGUGAUUAGAUUUAUUUUAAGUUCCAAAUUAUUUUUGAGAAUUAUUGAACUCAUUAUCAACAUAAAGUGUCACUUACUUUGAAAUUCAUUUUUCUAAUAAGACAAUUUAUAAAAAUAUAAUUAUAUGCAAAAAAGAAAUAAAAAAAGUCAUUGCAAAAUCCUUUUUAUCCAUAAUUUUUUUUAUUAAUUGGAUCAUUAUUUAAGUUUUAAGUUAUUUCUAAAAAUUAUUAGGCUCAUUAAAAAUUCAAUGCAUUCAAUCUUGUUUAAGUUGUAGUUUAUUUGUGUUGUAAGAAAAAAAAAAAAAAAAAAAGAGAGAAUUAUGGUUCUAUAUAAAGGACAAACAAUAUAUUCAUUUUAAACUGAUUUUUAUCCAUAAUUUUUUUAUAUUAAUUAAAUCAAUAUUUAAGUUUCAAGUUAUUUAUGAAAAUUUCUAAACUCCUUAUGAACUCAAAGCAUUAAGUCUUGCUUAAUUUGGAGAUUAUUUGUUUAGUAAAAUAUUUUUGCAAAAAUAUGAUGAAAUGCUAAAAAGAAACUAAACAAGUUGUUCGAAAUGAAUUUUAAUUUAUGACUUUCUAAUACUAUGAGUUUCAUGACUUUCUAGUACUAAUUGAACAAUUUUUGAGUUUUAAAUUUUUUAAAAAAAUUAAUAAAUUCUAUGUAUCAAAUAUAAUUUAAUUUAAAAUUUAUUUAUUUAAUGAAAAAAUUUAGAUAAGCUAAAGAAAAUUUAAAGAGCACAUCUAAUUUAAAGAUCAUAUAAGAUAUAUUGAGAUUUUUAGCAUGGAUAUUGGAUCAUGGAGAAAGAAGAAAAAUGAUAUUAUUGAAUAUGGAGAGAGAGAAAGAACGCUAGUAUGUUUAAUUUUAUUUGGUUUUUUAUGAAUUUUUUUUUAAAUCUAUAUUUUCCUUUGAUUUUUAAAAAUAGAUGAAAACUAUUUCAUUUUGUUUUUUAAAACAUAGAAAUAGAGAACAAUGACAAAAUAAUAUUAUGAAUUUUGAAAACAACUUUUUAUUUUUAAAAGCAAAAAAAAAAAAUAUUUUUAAAACCAAAUAGCUCUAAGACUUGUACACUUGUAGCCCUACCAUAAUUUGGAUGCACAAAUAGCGUGAAAACUAGUGUUAAGGAGCAUGACAUGCAUUUCAAGUCCAAAUCCUACAAGUUUAAACUUUAAUGAAAAUUGUUAGUUUAACGUGAUAUCAAAGCUUGAUUUGUCGUAAUUUACAUUUUCCCUAUUUAUUUGUUGGAUAUGAAUGUCUGUCUCUCCAUGUGCGGGUACAAGCUAGACUGAUAUUCAUUCUAAAAGCUUCAUUUUUGUGAGAGAAAAUGAGUGAUAUGGGUAGAAAAUUUAGGGCAUUUUUCAUAAGCAAUAGAUGGAUUCAACAGGCUUAUAAAUACAGGACAAUGCAGCAAGAAAUGUAUCUCUUGGGAUUUUUUGUGCUUCAAAAGAGUGCUAGCACAGAAAGGAAAUUAUCAACUUUUUACAUAGUACCCUGAAGCACAUUAUAGAAAGAAAAAUAGAUACAUGGACAGACAGUUGGGAGGCACGCAUCAAAUCCUUGAAGGAAUCAAGGGGAUGGUGUUUUGCAGAUAUGCAGAAGCAGCUCCAACCCCACUUCCCAUCUUCACCGGGUAUCCCACAUCCUUAAGUACCAUCUCCACCCCAGCAAGACACCCCAGCAGUUGCACCUGAAGAAAAAAUCAUUCAAUCCAUUAAUUACAAGCCUAUAAAACUUUGAAUGAAAUGAAAAUUACCUAUUUUAUUGAAGGCUGCAAAGCAUUUGUAUCUUGUCAGUUAAGUUUUCUAAUCCUUCACAACCAAGAAAGAAAGUUUAAGCAUUUGGGGUUUACUCACAUCGGAUGGGGUUAAAAGUUCUGUAUGUAUGAACUCCUUUUAACCUUAUAGAUGUCUUAUAAAAUUAUAAGGGUCCUUCAAGUCUAGAACAGACAAUGUCCAUACAUCCCUGACCCUGUAUGGGAGUUUGUUUGGCCUGCAAUCUUAUGGUUUUCCAACUAAUCUCUAGUAAUACUUUUAAGAUUCAAGCUAUCUAAUAUCAUAUAGGAAGAUGGGAAAUGAACCAUACAUCAUUAAGGUGGCCGAGAUGGCCUAUUCUGAAAACCUUUCCAGCAACUUUGUUCAGGCCUAGACCUAAGCUUAAGUUGUAUCUCUUCCAUGCCCUCUUGACGAUCUCCGUACUAUCGAUGUAUGGAGGCACAACCACAGCAGUGACGGUGUCACUGAACCAUUCCUCCCUUUGGGUGCAAUUCUUCAGGCCCCAUGCCUCCACAGCAAGCCUGCAGUAUCAAGAGAAGGCCCAUAGAAUUUAUAAUUCAGGUACAACGAACAUUCACAUUGUGUUAGGAGGAAGAAUAUUCACCUUGUUGCUUUGCCCAAACGGCUAUGCCUUUCAAUCACAUUGUCAAGUCCUUCCUCAAAGAUGAUAUCCAGAGCUGCUCUCAUCCCAUACAGCAGUUGGAUGGAAGGGGUGUAUGGCCAAAAUGUUCCCAAUUUAUAGAACUUCAAGUAGUCAUUCCAGUCAAAGAAAAAUCUCACUGAUUGUGCAGAUUUGCUUGCCUCUAGAGCCUUGGGGCCUGCACAUACAAUCCCCAUUCCAGUGGGAAGAGAAAGAGCUUUCUGAGAGCCGGUUAACGCCACAUCCACUCCCCAUUCAUCCAUACGGAAAUCAAGGGCACAUAUGGAUGACACCCCAUCAACAAGAAAGAGUGCUGGAUGACGGUACUCAUCUGAUAUUUCAAUACAAAAAAGAACGUUAAAAAUGAGAACCCAAUAGUGGAAAAUGACAGAAUCCUAAUGUGAAGUUUCCUUGCAGAUGAAGAUGUGGCCUAGAAAAUGAAUUCUUACCAAGGAUUCUCCUUACUGCAGCCAAAUUGUUGGUAACUCCAGUAGCGGUCUCAUUGUGAACAAUACAAACAGCCUUAAUAGUGUGUGCUCUGUCUGCUGCAAUUUUUUCUGCUAGAAUCUCAAGGUUAGCACCUUGGCCCCAUUCACUUUCUAUGACAUCCACAUUGAACCUAAGACGUUUCUGCUGGUCGAUCCACAGCAAACUGAAUUGCCCAAUCAGGAAUGAUACAGUUCGAUCUCCAGGAGACAAUGUGUUUGUAAGUGCACUCUCCCAUGCACCAGUACCUGAGCCAAGACAGCAACAACAAUAUGUAACAUAAAUGAAGAGUAAAUUAUCAAUCUUCCAAUGACAGAAAAGGAGAACCAGAAGGAGAGUUAUAUUGUGCUGCCAUAGCCAAACGAUCGUUUGAUCUAUGCAUGCAAAUAUCAAAGGAUGCCACAGAGAAAUGGAAGCUUCAAACCAUCCUGAUGAUUAAGAUUUCUGAAGAAAGCAGACUGUUAGUGAAUGCAGUACCUGUGGUGGGAAUGAGAAAUGGGGUUCCAGUAGUUGUCUUGAAGAUCUUCUUAACAUCCUCAAGAAGGUCUUUGGUCAAUGCUGGAAUUGGUGGAGCACGAUAAUCCUCAUUGUUCCGGUUCAUGGCCCGUAUGACAUGGUCUGGGAUAUUGACAGGCCCCGGAACAAAGAGAUGAUUUGUUCCUGGUGCAAAAUAGCGGUCCAUCUUGCCCUUCUUGAAAUCUCACUGCUGAGGUAAAAUUUUGAGAGAACACCUUAGCUACAAUGAACCAAUUAAGGGGGGAAAAAAAGAGAAAAACCAACUGAAAAUCCGCAAAAGUCUGUUAAGAAAAUCUGUCUUUUCAUUCAUUUAUAGGUUUGUAUUAAUAAAAGAACAGAGCUAGAAAGAAAAAACCAGAAUUUUCCUCUCCCCUCGAUCCAUUACAAUCAGGGGCCUAGCAAACAUAAAGAAAUUUUGAAGUGAAGUAAAAUCAGAUGUUACCUAGAUAAGACAAGAAAGAAGCUAAUACUUCUUCAAAAGAGAAUUUCAUUGUAAAUCCAAAUCCUGGUCUGCAAAUUCAGAUUGUGUGCAUAUUUAUAUUGGUUCUGAGUCUUCUGACAUAUGUAACAACAAGUACUAGUUUGGAAGAGUGCAAAAAGGAUAAGAAGAAUACAAAAACUGAAAUGGGUAGAGACAGUUUAGACAAAAACACCAUGUCAAGGACCUAAAUGGAGAAUAUGACUCCUAUUUUUUCCAGAUUGAGACUUCAUGCAGUUUAGUUGAUAUGACCAGCCAAGAACUUACCAACCAUAUAAUUGUGGAUAAUUGUUGGAACAAGACCCAAGUUCUUAGAUCAAAUUUUUCUUAAAUUUCGUUCGGGUAAAUGAAUGAAAUAUGUACACAAAAUAAAUAAAUAAAUAAUCUAAUUCUGAUAAACAGCAGGAAAUGACUCAAAAAUCAUUCUGCAACUUCCAGUUUUUGCUUUAGUUCCUGGUGAAAUGUAAUUAUCUAGACUUAUACCAUGCAUCAGAAUGGUCAUGAACUACACCUAUCAACCUUUACAUGACAUUAAUAAAACAAAAGAAGGUUGGAAAAUCAUUCUAUCAAAGAAAAAAGGGACAAUUACACUAAGAAAAUUAACUGUUUGUUUCUCAAGAAAUAUCUUUUCAGAAAAGUGAGGGACCUUUUUAGCGAGAACUAAAUGGAUUGAAGAAGUAGGAAAUCCUGAACAUUCCAUGAAAUUAAACUUAGUGGAAGCUGCAAUAACAACUGAGCAAGGAGCAAUAUGAUUCUCCAAUGACUAAAAAUCAAAGUACUCAUUUCUCAUGAGUUCAAAAUCAUAUUAAGUAUAGUUUCAAGAAAAAUAUAUCAUAGCUCAGCCAAAAAAAAGGGGGCAAAAAUCAUGGGUCUUGUUGUUUGGUACCAAGACAAUAAAUUACAUCAAACAAACCACUGAUCAGAGCCCCUGUUUCUUAUGUUGUAUGAAUAAAAGACAAUCAUUUCAAUACACCCUAAAAAGAAUUUCCCAUCUUACAAGAGCACACACUUUCCUAUUUCCCAACCAGGUUUUGAUGCCUCCAUAGCCUUUUCCCAACAUGACAAAAAGUAGUAUCUUCACCUUGGAAGAACCCAAACAAGCCUGAACUCUCCACAAAUCACCAAAAGUUUUGCUAAGUAUACUUCAACAUACAUACCAGUCUAAAUUAAACCAAAACCCCAAAGAAAAAUAGAACAAAAGAACAUAAAACACAACCUUUUCAAGCUGAAAGCAAUCAGAAUGAAUAAAAAGAUAGUGAAAUAAGACACAGAAAUGAAUGAUAAAGAGUUGAGAAGAGGAGAGCAAUAGAUUAUACCUUAAGGUGAAAAGAGUGGGGGUUGAGGGAGUUAGGCAGAGGCACAUAGAAAAAGAGGGUUCAGAUAUGAAAAGGCCAAAGAGGAAGAGGAAUUGAUUUUAUAAGUAGGCGGGAGGCCAAUCAACAUUGCAUCUGGCCCCCACUUUCCUCCAGUGUGGCAGAUAAGACUUGGCUUCUAUUAGAAUCCUGGGGCUGCCAUUCAAUAAUCUCAUGUAUGACGUGGCAGCAUACUACUGUGCCUUUUUUUUUCUUUUUCUUUUUUCCUUGGAUUUGCACUAACAUAUUUAACUAUUUUGUUUUUGUUUUUCCUUCUAGGUUUUGAAAUUUUCAUUGAGGUCCCUAUGUUAUCAUGCAAUGUUCGAGAUACCUCAAAAGAAAAUUUUAAAUCUUAUAUAUUUAUUUAAACUAUCACCCACCCGGUCUUUUGUAUAGACACAUUCUACAUUCAAUUUAUACAUCCUCACGGUCUUAAAACAUGUAUAUAUAAAAUAUGAUUAUAUAUGAUAAAGAAUCAUGAUAGAUGAUAUUAAAAUUGACAUUUAUUUAAAAGUGUACGAGAUUUGUCACCUUUUUUUUCUUAUUUAUGAAUCGGUGAUAUUCUCCCUCCACUACAAACGAGCAAACGUGAGCUCCAACCUAUUGGGAAGUUUAUAGAAUUAAGGGAUGAUUUAUUUCUUAAACCAAGGACAAAAAGGAAACAAAGUGAAUGAAGUAAUAGGCAAGACUAGAAAAUAGAGAGAAGAGAGGGGCAAAUAUGCUAAAACAUUGAAAAAGAAGGGGAGUCCAAAUCCAAAAGAUGAUUACUUGGCAGAAAAUUGAAAAUUCUACUAGUUUUUAAUAUGAGAGGCUGAGAAGGAAAUAUGAAAAGAUAACAUGAUAAAGGGCUGUGUCAGCCACACCCUCACUUGUGGGAACCAAGGCCACAUGCAUACCUCAUCUUGGAUUGUUUUUGUCUACAUCCUCUUUGCCUUCUCAGGUCUUGUGUGUGAACAUGUGGCUAUGUGGCCCCCUUUUAUUUUUGGAAUGAAAUGGUAGUUUUUUAUAUGGGUCUAGUAAAUCACCAAAUGGACCCUUUUUUUUUAUAUGUUCCAAAUUCGAUAACCAAUCCCACGAUGUUAUGUGUACAUCUUCAAGUCCAUACCCACACGAUGUCAUGUGUACAUCUUCAAGUCCAUUCAUAUGUAUCCUAUAACUUAAUCCAAAUUUGUUUUGACGCUUGAUCUAAAUUUUAUUAUUUACAUUUAAGAAUUUAAGUAAAGAGCUUAAUAGGUUGGUAGAAAAAUAAGGUGAUGAUGUACUACAAUUGGUAACUGUGGUUUUAAAAUCGUAAAAAAUAAAAAUAAAAAUAACAAAGUGGAAGUUGACAUGAGGAAUUAUUUGAUGAAUGUUUUUAAUGCAAAUUUAGAUGGAGAUUUUUAAAUAAUAAAAAAAACAAAAAGAUUACUUUGAUUGUAGACUUAGGGUUGGAUAGUGUUAGUACAUCUUUUUUCCAUCCAACUUACAACAUAAAUUUUACAUUUUUGAAAUUUAUUAAGGAGGUAUUUUUGUGUAAUUAAAAUCUUAAAAAUAUCAAAAUCAUUUUUUAAUUAAAAAUGUUUUAUCCUAAAUAUAGAGCAAGGAAAAGUAAUUAUUUAUAUUUUUUUUUCUUCCAUGGCUAAAGGUGAGGGUCAGAGCAUGCAAUCAGGUAAUGUGAAUGGUUCAGAAUCCACUGAAACUUCUGGUAUCAUGAAGGAAUCUUCAGCCAAACAGCACGCCUUUUUCUUUGUCUGGUCCUUUAUUUUACAACAUGUCUUAAAUUUUAACAUUUUUUUAAAUAACUUUUAAAAACACAAGAUAAAUUUGAUUUAUGUUUUUAAAAAUGAAAAAUAAAAAGCUUAUCCAAACAACAUUUAAGAGUUUCUUUACCAAUUAUUUUUUUAAAUAAUUUUCUUUCCAAGAAAAGAAAAGUACGAUUGGCAACCAAAAAACCAAAAAAUUAUUUUUUGUUUUUAAAAACGGAAAAUUGAGUGUUUUCAAGUUGUUUUCAAUUGUUUGAACUUAUUUUCUAAAAUUUAUUUUAAAACAUAACUAUACAAAUAUAAAAAAUAAUUAAAAAUAUUAUAAAUAACAAUUUAUUUUAAAACAUAGAAAACAAUUUUAAAAUUGGUUUUACUUUUAUUUGGCCAAAAGUCAUAGAUGAAAUCGUUAACAAUUGUUUUCAAAAACUAUUUUUCAGAAUUGUUCUUACAAGUACUUUCUAAAUAUAGUGCAACCACUCACCCAAUGAACCAAACCCUUUUGCAUUUGGAGAUGGACUUCCAAAAUAUUCUUGCACACAAAAGAAACUACCUUGCCACUCAUCCUAUGAACCAAACCCUCUUGCAUUUGGUGAUGGACAUCCAAAAUAUUCUUGCAUAUAAAAGAAACUAUAAGCGCAUUUGGUAGUGAUUCUAAAAAGUGUUUCUAAAUUUUUUUAAAAAUAAAAAUAAAAAUUUUCAAGUAUUAAAAAGACUAGAAAUACUACUAUCGAAUGUUCGAUGUAUGAAAUUCCCUUGUUUCCUAUCUAGGAGCUAUUUUACCAUAAUGUUAAUGUGAGAACAAUUUUAUUAUAGAUUCAUAGUCGUCCAUCUUAUAUACAAUCCUUGCAACAACUAAGAGAUAAUAUGGGACUAAUUGAGGCAUCACCUCCCUUACUUCAAUCAUUCAAUUAUGAUAAUGGAAAAUCAUUUCAUCUUUUUAGUUGAACUUUAGGCCUGCAAAAUUUCUAGGUACACCUUACAUAACUUUCGACAGUCCUCUCAUAAAGACCCAUUCAGGGCUAAUUGAGCUAAUGAGAGAGGCUAAUGGAAAUCAAGAUUUAUCAGGUACCUUCUGUCAAAUCAGAAAAAAAACAAAUAGAGGAAAGCUAUUGGUAGGGAAGAUAAGUUGCAUGUGAUGAAACUUAAUAGCAUGAGUUUAAGAUGAUAAUAAGAUAAUAAUUCAAUGUAUUUAUAUCAUGAGUUUAACAUGCCAUUUCCUCCACAAACAUCUACAUACAACAACGGAGGAAAAUGCAUAUAUCAACAUUUCUAAGGAAAAUUUUCAAAGGAGAGGAUCAAGAUUUCAAUGAUUCAAAACUGAUAAUGUACAAUUCUGAAAAGGGCAUAAUACAUAUAAAUGUCUCCCUCAUGUAAAUGUAAUUCAAAUGAGUGAGAAGUAAAUCCUUUCCUAAAUUUUCCCUAUAUACGUAAACAAAUCACCGGCCUCAUUUGAAAAGGGUUAAAAAGAAAAAGAACAAAAACAAAACAAAAAAAUUUUGGCGAGACUCCCAUCUCCUCCUUUAGUCUCUGCACAUAAAAGGAUCUUUGGCUUUUUCUCUCAGCCACCAUGUUUCAUGUUUGUAGCAAUUCCCCACUGAUCGUAUCCAACUUCUCGAAAGGGAUAUUCAAAGUUUUAUUCCCAUGGACGGAAAAAAAAUCCAGAGAAUGUCAAUGGCUGAAGUAAUAAAUUCCAACUGAGUGAGCAAUUUUUUGCUUCACUCUCUAAUUAGCGGGCUCUCAUCCAAUCAAAGCAUCCUAAGACUACUUGAUAACUGAUGAGAAACCUUGUCGGGGAGGAUAACCACUUUGACGCAUCCUAGAAGGCUUCUCAUUACCAAAACGUCUGUUAUCAGUUGGUCCUGAUCCAAGAAUCCCCAAAGAAUUUGGAUCGGGUAAACGGGAACCAUUGCUCAUUGGCCUUUGAGGCAGGGGCUGAGUCAGGGAAUGAGUGUUAAUAUUAUCAGCUCUUCUCCUCCGUUUCCAUGCUUCAAAUUUCCCAGCAUCAUGACUCUUAGAAACUGGUUCUGCUGUUUGAUAGGCAGACAUAUUUUUGUACCCUCUUGGUGGUCUCUCACCAUGGCGAUGAAAAGAAGGGAACUGACCAGGAUCACUGUCUUUGUCACCAGGGCCCCAUGCAGAACCAUUGACAUGAGAUGAUCCUACCCCUCCAUCCUCAUCUUGCUCCUGUUUAAGUUUUGAAUGAAUCUGACGAAGCUUCUCCCCAGACAAAUUUGAAAAAGUUGAGAUGUAAUUCCACAACCUCAUGAUCAUUCCUGUAAAUGAAACAGUGUGAGCAAGCAUGUUAAGGCAUCAAAAGCAUGGAUGAACAAAUAAUUCAAUCAGGAUGAACAAAAGCUUACUGUCUUGUUUAUAUUGUUCCUUGUCAUGCUCCAGAACAAUUUGGUCUAUCCUUCGUCCAAGAAGCUGCAAAUACUUCCGAAUUUUUGAAAGCACCUGAAGAAAAAUACACCCGAUAAAUACAUAGUUCUGUAAUAGAAUAAAGACAAUGGCCAGUAAAAAUGGUAGACAAGAAAUGAGAUGUACCAAAUCCUUUGGAAGAUUAGCACUAGUAGUUUGUAAUUUGUGAAGACGGUUCAGGGUCUUAAUCUCCGUCUUCAUGACAUCUUCACACCAUUCCAUCCAUUUCACUUCCCUGAACUGCUCAUAUACUUCUUCAUUACCGGACAUUUCACCCUCCUCUUUCACUAAAGGUUCAACUCUAUGGGGUUUAUGGGAUCUAUCCUUCCUCAUUUGAACGUUAGUUACAGGAAAACCAGGUUUUCCUUUCCUGUCCUUGCUGCGAGAUAUUGAGAUAUUCAUAAGAUUCUCUCUCUCCUUCUCCUUUUUAGAAGUCUUGCGACUAGCUUUGGUAUUGGUGUUCUUCCCACCAACAGCUACAAGUUCCUGAUUAAAAACACCUCUGGUCAGUUCUUGCAAUCCAGAAUCAAAGCAGCAAUUUGUGGGAAGAUGGAAACGGAUAAGAGGAGAAAUGAAGAUAUUCCAGGAAACCUAGAGGCACGGCCUUAGGUUAAAAACAGAAAAGAAAGAAAAGAAAAUUUGAGGAAGUUGGCUGAGAUGAUACUUUUAUGUACAUUUCUGGCAUAACCACCAACAUGGACAGUGUAUGUACACACACAUAAAUCCCUCCUAACCCAAUCUUAUCAUCAAUCACCUUUAUCCUAAAAAAUGGCACUCCAAGUUCUCAACAAUUCUUUUCAUAAGCAACACAGAAAUAAUUCAAAAUUUUUGAAGGGGUACAACAGAAAUAUAUCCUUGUACUGCUCUUGCCCAAUGCACAUGUUGGUGUUAGUAUGAUAUCAUCAUGUAAAAAAUGUCAAUAAUUUUAAAUUAAACCUUAUUUUCCAUUUUAUAGUUAUAUUCUAAAUUUAUAUAUGCAUUUAAGUAUCACCCAAUGUGUUUGGGGCAUGUAAGACCUAUAUUGAGCAUUUUUCCAAAAUUUGUCACCAUUUUGAACUCCUGGACCAAUUCUAGGCAGGUUCAUCAGUUACAAGUGACUAGGCUCUCACUCUUUCUUCUUCUUUUCUUUUUUUUUUUUUUUUUUUUUUGCAUUUUUGUUCAUAGCAAACAAAAACUGAACAAAAAUUUUAUUAGAAAAGGGGCCUAGUCAGUCCUAAACACAAGAUAUAAACACGCCCAAGGGUGAAACAAGAAAAGAAGGGAGAACGCAAAAGAAUACAAGCUGUAGCUCCUAGUCAGUCCUAUCAAUGCAAUCCAAUAGCAUAAUAUUGGCAUUCCUAAAAACAACACUAGACCACUGAAACAUAGAUUCAAGGAAAAAAAACAUAUCAGCAACUAAUCAGAGCACUCCUCUUAAAUCAUGCUAUACACUCUCAAUGCACACCAAAACAAACAAAGAGGGACUGAAUCUUGCACCAUCCUACACUGAUUGCCCACACUUCUACCAUGCCACCCCAGCAGUAACUCUUUAAACAACCAUGGAAACCCGCACUGAAUUUGAAACAAAGAGAGAAAAAGGUCCUAAAAACAAACUAGCCUAAUGACAAUGAAUGAGAAUAUGAUUUGUAGACUCCUUAUACCAACAUCUCUGUUUUUUUAUAAAUAACUAUUCCACAAAUCUUCACUGAUUAAAAAAAAAAAAAAAAAAAGCUCUUACACAAAUCUUCUUUAAGACAGCAAGUCAGGAGCAACAAACUACAGAUUACUUGUAUCAAUUGUUUUAAUAGAUUGACCUGCAAAGCAUUUUGAACUAUUGAUUAUUAAAAUAGACAUACACUAAAAAUCAUUUAAAAUGUGGUGCUUCCAAUUAUGCAGUCAAUUCUCACACCCAUAUUCUGUUUUCAUUUUUAAUAGAAUUUUUCGCCCAUAUUCUCCAUUCCAUGAACUAAAUUCUUCAACAGGUUGAGAUUAUCACAGCUCCCAUACAGCAUGAACCCAAUCAGGGAUGAUUACUAUUUUCCAAACCAAUUUAUUCUCACUAGAAAAGGGCCGAUAUUUAGCUCUCAACAUAUGAAGCCAUUGGAAUAAGUAAACCAUUAAUGAAUGACAGAACAAAAAUAAAAUAAGAAAUGAAAAUCCAGACUCCUUUUUGCACUGCACAGUGGGGCAAAGCAGCAGUUCGCUAGCAGCAAAUUAGUACAUUGCUUUGACUCUCAACUUAAAUAUUUGACUUUUCAGGGGAAGCCAAUAUCUAGCAAUCAUAAAGAAUCAACAAAGUACUCCAGAGAAAGUACAUUUACAGGCGAUCAAUGUGAAUUUUAAGCAGAAGAUGGGCCAUUCAGUAACACAGUUUAUAGGUAAACACUGAAACCAUCUUUUAUAACAUUGUGUUUUUUUUUUUAACCUCUUUCCUAGCUGAUCCGUUUCCUAACAUAAUAAUCACUAAAAUCUGUUUUCUGCUAACAACAGAACAAAAGUUGGAGAUUGCUAACAUAUGCUGAACAUUAAAUUCACUGCCUCUGUAAUUUAUACUGCCUAUGCAGAGUACCCAUUUCCUAUUAUUUUAUUACCCUACCAACAAAUUUACCCUCGGUAUGUUUACGUGUUUAGUGCUAUAAUUCAGCAUAAAAGAUUUUAGUUGACAAACAAUGCUGAAGCAACUCUCAUUCAUCCAAGGAAUGGGCAUAAGUGAUUGCCUACCAUUUCCAGAAGUGCAGAAGCACGGUCUUUCAGGUUGGGAGCACGAGGUAGGAAGGUUUCGUGGUGUUGAAGUUCAACUGGAGCGAUCUUUUUUGUGAGACCCAGCCUUUCAUCUAAUCUUAUCUUUUCCCAAUUGCCAAAUCCAUGAUAAUGUAUUCCAAGAAGCAAUCUGGCAUCGUCAACUAAUGACAAUAUCAAUAGUUAAAAGUAUUACAAUCAGAAAAACAUAACUGAAUUUCCUUUCUAUCAAAAAAAUAAAGAAAUGAAAAAUAUAAUAGAAAAAUGAUAACACUUACUCUGAUUCCAGCCACAACCUUUAGACCAAUUUGAAGGUUUGAGGUACAUUAACACCCGGAACUGGGCAAUGGGAUCUUCAUAGCGACUGAUGCGCUUAGCUAGGAGCUGAAGUUCUUGAACACGGUUAAGUACUUCAUUAGCUUUUACCGGGACACCAAAAAAGUCCAACAUAGGCCCCUAUAGAGGAAUACCACAUGAAAAUGUUAAACCACUAAAAAAUGCUUCCAAAACAAACAAGAUGCAGAUAUAAAAUUCAAGUAACAAUCUGUGACUCCAGAAACAAUCUUACAGCCAACCUUUGGGUCUAGAUUUCCUUCUUUAACUGCCUCUCUACACCCAUCAAUUAAUGCAUCAAAAAGCUCAAUUUGUGCUUCAGUUGGAGCUGCUUCAAUUGUACCACCAACCUCCAUGACAAUUGAGCCAAUUUGACUGGGGUUUCCAAAUUUCAAUACCUGAUUUCAAAAGGAACUAAAAAUUAAGCAAUUGAAGUUGUAGUGUACAAUGCAAAAAGAAAACAAAAUUUUAUGGCAUGUGACCAAAGAUCCAGCUUUGUAUAUCACAGAUGAAAAUGCAGAAUCCUUGUCCACCAUGACACAAGUAUUCUGAUUUUAACCCAAAUACUUGCACAUCUUGCAAGGAAUAGUCAAAACUAAUUAAUCAAAAGCCAAUUUUCUAGCAACCUCCUGUAAGGUGCAACCCCAAAGACAAGGUUGAUGAAUAGGACAUUACCGCACGAGAAAAACGUGAUGCAUCUCUCUUUGGCAAGUUACCAUAAGACCAACCCCUUACUUGAGCAGCCGCUCCCUCAAUCCUUGGCACUAAAUGAACCAAAUAAUCUGCUUUGCGGCGCUUCUGAGCUCUCUCCUGUGGUUCAGCAGCCUUCUUUUUCCUUUUACUAAUUCUCUCAGGUUGAUUAGCCUCAGCAUAGCUCUUGGUAUUUCUUGCAGCACGUGGAGCUAAAGCAUCCUAAAAGGGAGUAAAAAAAAAUUUAACAGAAAACUUGUAAGAAACAGAAUCCUCAGACAAAUAUAGAGAAUAGUCAGUUGCAUUUCAGAUUCAAUCUUAUCAACACAACGUGUUCAUACUUCAGCUUCCGCUACAGCUUCUGGUUUUAUCCAACGGGACCAGAAACUCCCAUCAUCUUCAGCACUACCGAAAUUUGCAACCUGGGUAUAAUAAAAUAAAAUAAAAAAAAUUAAAAAAAAAAAAGAGAUCUCCUCAGGAAAAUGCAAAGGGACCGACUUGCUAUAACAUGAAAGCAGAGACAACAAGAAAUCAAACACAAGCAACAAAUAACCACACUUAAAACCUCCUCUAACCCAACCAAACCCCCACCCACCUCAAGAGAUGGGAAAAAUAGAACAAAAAAUAAAGCACAGAACAGUUUCAAGCCCCAAGGGUGAUUGCUAUAUGCUUACCUUAAAAGCACUCAAUAAUUCAUUCCCUUCCUCUCCAGUUUCCUUCUCUUCUACUUUCUCUGCUCUUUCAAGAAUUUCAUCAAUAUCCAUACUUAAGAGCCUCUUUUUGCUUUCUUCUUCAUUUUUGUCUUCCUUAAAAAGUUCCUCCGCCCCAAACCUUAAAAUAGCCGACAGCUCAUUCUGCAAUCAAGAAAAGAAAAUGUUGGAUGGAGCAAUCACACUAUACAACCAAAAAAAACAGCAAUGCAACAUGUUCCUAAAAAUAUAAAAUGACAUAGGAAGAACUACGGUUGCAAGGAAGAUGAACAAAAGAGAAAUCGAGAAGAUGAUGGCAAUGAUGAUGACUUCAAUUAAAAAACAACACCAACAAAGCUUCAAAAUCCAAAACCAUCUCCAAUGUAAUCCAAUAAGAACAAUUGUUUUACAAUGUAUCCUUACUUUGUCAAAGUAACUCCCCUUUUUCGAUUCUUUCUUCUCCAGUCUACCUUCUGCAUUUAGUUUUUGAAUCACCAAAUGAUCAAGUACCUAUAAAGAAAAAAUGGGAACAUAAGAAAAAACAUGUAAAUUGUUUGGCCUCAAUUAGUGAAAUAGUAGAGACCAUAUAAUCCACCAUGUGUGCAAACAGACAUGCUUUUAAAUAUAAACAGUAUGAAAAGAAAAGGAUUUAAGCAUAGACAAAGAAAUGUUUGGUUUACCAUCUUUUGCUUGGCUCGCUUCAGAAUAUUUUCCUCAACACUUUUGCUUGUAACAAAUCGGUAGAUGUUAACUACUUCUCGUUGCCCAAUUCUAUGAGCCCUACUCAUUGCCUAGUGCAUAAAGCUAUAAUAAGUAUAAUUGAGAAAAAUAUAACCAACUACAUGACCAAACUAAGGGACAUCCAGUCAAAACCUGUAAGUCAUUUUGGGGAUUCCAGUCAGAAUCAAAUAUAAUAACUGUGUCUGCAGUUGCAAGGUUAAUGCCCAGGCCACCAGCACGGGUUGAAAGGAGGAAACAGAAAUCAUCACUUCCAGGUGCAUUAAAAUGAUCCAUUGCCUGCUGACGCAACUCAGCCUUUGUACUACCAUCAAGCCGCUGAAAUUGGAACCCUCUAAGUGACAUAUAUUCUGCCAGUAUAUCCAACAUUCUAACCAUCUGCAUAAAACAAUCUUGUCACUUAAAUAGCCAGUACAAUUGUAUCCCUAAAUAAAGAUAGUUUGUUAAGACAUAAUUUUGAUCAAUAGACGACUAAUCUUGAUCAACUUUCAUCUAAAUAUAAAGGACACAUGGUACAAUAAAUAAAUCAUAAAAAAAAAAAAAUUAAUUUAUGUAUGUAAACUGUAAGCAUAGUUGACCCUAAUAAAUAUUAGCCAAAUAUUGUUAUGAUCUCAUAGGCAAGCACACACCUAAUCAAUAAGGAAAACAAAAAGACCUACAUGACACCAAGGUGCAAUUUUGUUGAUGAUUGCAUGCUUCAAAGAAAAUUUAAUGGAUUUUUUUUCCUUCAGUGGUCUAAAGAGGAGAACAAAUUGUUUGAGUAUAAUUUUAAGGGGGUAACUCACUAAAUACCUUACAAAACUUAAUUUCAUUUUUAUAUUUCAUAUCUUUUUUUUUAUGAAAUAUUUUAAAUCCUCUUCUAAUUAAACAAUUUUCAACUUUGUAUACCAAUCCUUAAGACUUCCCAUUUCGUAUGGAGAUAUAAGAGCAAAAGAUUAUGAAGUAGAAGAGGGAAGAAGCCCUCUUUACACCACUUCUCUAAUAAGCAGUAAGUACAACACCAAACAGCAGGAGAGUUGAAAAUUUAAUGUCCCUUUUCAAUGCAGAAGGCAUAAUUUGGAUGUAAAUGGAAUAUUUAGUUAAGCCACCCAUCUUGUUCCUUUUGGAAUAGAUAUGGCAUUGCCAGAACCAGGUUUGUAUAAGCAUCAUAUAGGGUACUAUAAGCAUUACCCACUUCCAACAGAAACUAAGAUGAUAAAGCAGCAAAAAAAAAACAUAAAUGGGAUUAUGCACAAUAAAAUCAUAGUCUCUUUUCAUGACUCCCAAGUGGAAUAGAUUAAUUCAAGAGAAAGGAUGAUAUCAGCUAUUACCAAAAACCAUGUAAUACCUGGCCCAACAAUUGCUAAUACAUUAGUCAAAAUGCACAAUAGUUGGCAACACAAACCUGAGAAAAUAUUAGAACACGAUGAUUCGUCUCAUGCAAUUUCUCAAGUAGCUUAUCAAGUAAAACAAGCUUCCCACUGCUUAAAAUAAGCCUCUCCAGUUUACCGCAGUCAUUGGUACUUCUGUUCCCACCAUAACCAUGGUCUGCGCUUUCAAAUAGAAAAGGAUGAUUGCAGCAUUUCUUCAAUUCUACAACAAUAUUUAGAAGUGAAACCUGCAAUUUUGAAAGGAUUGAUAUAUGUCAAAGUUCAAUUACAAUGGAAUGGGGAAAGAAUAGCCAUGAGUAAAUCAAGAGUUAUUCAGAAAGUUAAAUCUCUGGUCGGUCAAGUCAUAAAAGCAGUAUAUUUUGAUCAUUUUAGCAAGGUCAUGCUCGAAUCUCACGAUAACAACUAAAGCUAAAAAUCAUAGACAAUAAUAACAUAUACAGAUAAUAGGCACCAUCUAACUUCGUCAAGGAGCUGUGACAAAAGUACCCAAACCUAAACAAUUUAAAUAAGAAUAUGUUGUAUAUGUACUAACCUGAUUCCCACGAACUCCUUUGUUCAAGUCAUGGAAAUUGCGUUCCAAAAUCCACUUAUAAUACCUAUGAAUGUAAGUACCAGGUGAGAAUAGAGAAAACUGAUAUAACCAGAAAUGAUACUACUUCAUACAAGUUAAGGAUAAUACUAACUGUUUUUGAAGAGGGGACAUUUCAACCCUAAGAAUACGUUCAAUUUUUGGAGGCAAAGACUUCUCUACAUCCUUGAUAACUCUUCGAAGAAUAUGGGGCCUCAAUUCCAUAUGAAGAUUUGCAAGCUACAAAAAUAAAUAAAAACAAAAAAUAAAUUUAAAUUCCAGUUCUAGGUGUAGUGAAAUUGGUACUUUGUUGAAUGAAACUAAAAUUUAUUGGGUGAUGAGCGAGGCAAAGAAAUUGUGUAAUGUAGAUAACCAUAAAUGUACCUCCAUUUCGUUGAAUGAGCUAAGAUUCUUGUAAUUCUGAACAAAAUCAUCUUUGUUCUUGAAUUUAUCAGGAUCAAGGAAGUGAAGUAGAGCCCUAAAAUUCAAAAGAAAAAGAAAAUAAAAGAGAUAAACUAAAGAACCAAGUACCUAUGCUUGUGCAAAGGAGAUAUAUAUGGCAUCAAUAGUAGCCAGUGAAUCCUUUCAAAAAAAAUAGACAAAAGGAAAAUAAAAAUCAGUGGAGCCACUAACUUUCUUUUACCAAAAAUAAUAAAAAAUAAUACUACUACAAUAUUGUGGAGAAGGCCAUGAAGUAGAGGUAUAAUGUGGGGAUGAGGGCCCACUAAAAAGGGCUCUGGCAGAUGGCAGUAGGGUGUAGCUUUCAGGUCCUCUGGAAAAGGUUGAAGAAGGCCUAAUGGGUUUAAAGGUGAGAGUAGGGGUCACAGAUAGUGGGAGGGACCAGGAGGGGUUAGUUCCCUCAGAAGAUUGGUCCAACAGUAGCCUAGCUAUUUUUUUAGCAAGUGUUUGGGCAUGCCAAUCAAGGGCUACAAGGUAGAAAUGUUGACUCUCCUAAGAAAAUUGAAGGCAAGAAUGGAGUCGAAGGGCCAAGUCAAUGCAAAGAGGAGGAAAGUAUACACUUCAAAAUUUAGAAGACAGUUAUGGAAGUUGGAGUGCUCAGUGAACUAUAAUGGAGCAAAAGGAAGGGGAAGCAAUAAUUGUUCAGCAUGAUGGGAGCUGGUUUCAGUUGGUAAAUGAAGCCGAGAAUUCUCUCUUGUAAUAUUAGAGAGGCCAACAAUAGGGAAAAGAGAGAAUUUAAUGUCUUCUUAUUAGAGCACAAAAAGCAAUCCUAGUUUGUUUACAAGAGACGAAAAUCCAAAAAAUGUCGAUGAAGAUUGUGAGAAGUUUAGAGGUGAGAUUUUUUUUUUUUUUAUUUAUCAGAAACGAAGAAAAAUGUAUUAAUAAAAGAAAAGAUACAAGAGAAGGAAAAGGGGUGAGAAUAUUUUUAGAAUGGGGUGUUAUGGAUGAUAAGGAUACAGCCAGAGGUGGUGUAGUUUUUUGGAACUACAGGAUGUUAGAGCUUGUUGGUAUGGAAGCAGGUGGUCUUUCGAUUUCUUAUCAUUUAAAAUAUUAUGAAGAUGGCUUUGUUUGGAUCUUCAUGAGGGUGUAUGGGCAAACUAUAAGGAGGGAAAUAGAGUUUGUGGGCUGAGUUAGAGGCAAUUAAGGGUUGUGCAAUGAUCCCUGGUGUACCAGGGGAGAUUUCAAUCUCAUCAAGUUCUCGAGGGAGUGUAGUAGAGGGGAACGUUGUCUACAGCCAUACAAAGAUUCUCGGAGAUCAUUGAGGAGCUCAUUUACAUGAUCUCCCAUUGUCGCAAGGCCCAUUUACUUGGUGUGGCGACUUGAGCAAUCAAUCCAUGUCAAGAUUAGAUCAAUUUUUGGUGUCUAAAGAGUGGAAAAGUCAUUUUAGUGUGUUGAUGUAGUGCUCCUUGUCGAGGCCUACGUCAGAUCACACUGUUUUGUUAGAUGGGAGUGGGAUGAGGAAUGGCAGCUCACCUUUCAAGUUUGAGAAUAGGUAGCAGCUGAAGGUGGAGGGAUCUAAAGACUUGCUCAAGCUUUGUUAGAUGGGCUUCAUUUUAGAGGUUUCUAUAGUUUCAUUUUGGCUUCCAAAUUGUAAGACUUGACGGCAAGUUUGAAUGUGUGGAACAAAGAAGUCUUAUGCAACAUUGCAAUCCAAAAGGAAUUGACCUUAAAUCAGGUGGGAUUCUAGCACUACAAAGAGAGGGAAUUAAUCCUCUCUCAAGGGGAGGUUGAAACUAGAAGGGUAUCAAAGGAAGAAUAUGCAUGAUGACCUCAUUGGAUGAAGCAAAAAACACGAGAGAUUUGGUUGGAGGGGGAUAGAAAUGCCAAGUCUUUUCACAAAAUGGCUAAUGUGCAUAGAAAGAUAAUUUUUUUAACCAAGAUAAAACUAAAUGGGGAGUGGCUCUCUAAGGAGAAUGAGAUAAACGAAGAAGUGGCACAGGCUUUCCCGGUUCUAUAGUUAGAUCUGGAUCAAACAUCAAUAGCAUAUCUUUCAAUGCUUUGGAAAGACGAGAGACAGAUGGUUUAGAGGGGCCAUUGGUAGAGGAGGAAGUAUUCACUGCCCUCUCAAAUUUAAUUGGGGACAUAGAUCCAAGCCUUGAUGGGUUCUUUAUGGUUUUUUGGCAAUUUAGUUGGAACUUCUUAAAAGGUGAGAUGAUGGGUUUCUUUAGCAAGAACCAAGGAGAUUGGCUUGACUUGGAAUAAGUUACCCAAGGAGACUCAGGUUUAUUUUAGCAAGAACAGGGCUAAACAUACAGACUAACUGCACUUGAUGAACGCGGGAAAAUGUUCGUACUCAAGAAACAUGUUCAACAUACAAGCAUUCUAAAACCUAGAUGUUUACACCUUGUUUGGGAUUACUUCUUGCCUUUGGAAUUAGUUAGAAGUUAAAACCAUGAUUCAAAGCGAAAAGCGAUGAGGAACUUUUUACUCUCUAUUCAUGUAAUCAAGGAUUUUAUCCUGAAAUGUGAGAAAUGAUAUGGAGAAAUGAAAGACUAUUAAGGCACUGAUUAGAUCUUAUAGGGUUAAUCUUGUGUGUCUGCAAGAAACAAAGCUUCAGCAAUUGAAUUCUCAGUUAGUGAGAAGUUGGGGUGUGUGUAGAUUUCUAGAUUGGGGAGUUGUGGAAGCCAGAGGUUUUGGAGGUUUUUCGUUUUUUGGGACAGCAGGGAGCUUGACCUACUUGAUAUGGAAGUUGGUGUUUUCUCUAUUUCAUGUCGAUUCAGAAACUGCAAAGACGGUUUCACUUGGCUUUUCUCAAGGGUGUACAAUCCUGUCCAAAUAGUGGAAGUUUGGGCCCUCAAUCCAAUUUGAGUGGGGAUAAAGCUCCAAGACCAAAUGGCCCUUUUUGUUCAAAAACAAAAGAUGUAUUAAUUACUAUAAAGAGGUCAUGAGAAGGAUGAGAAAUCCUCUCUAUAAAAUACAAACCUGAUCAAACACCAAAAAAAUCUCCGCUUUACAAAAAGAUUUGGACAAAAAAAGGGAAAAGACUAUACAAGUGGUACAUCUCCACAAGCUCAUCUAGGCUCCUCGCAAUGUAGGCCCAACGCUAAGGGGUACCCGAGACCAAAUGGCUUCACCACGGCAUUGUAGCAGUUCUGUUAGGAGUUUGUUAAAUAGGAGGUGAUGGGGUUCUUCAAAGAAUUUUUUUAUAAUAGCUUUUUCAGAUCAGUAUUAAUGCAACUUUCUUGGUCUUAAUCUCGAAGAAUGGUGAUGCGGAGGACUGAAAAAAUUUCAGAUCAAUUAGCUUAGCAGAUGGCUUUUUUAAGAUUUUGAUAAAAGUCUAGGCUAACUGACUCAAAAAAGGUUGUGGGACAAGUGGGCUUAAACUAUCAACAUGCCUUCAUAGCCAAUGCGGCCAUUGAGUCAAUGUUGAAAAGCUCCAAUAAAGGAGUUAUUUACAAAAUGGAUAUUAAGGAGUAUGCCCAUGUCAAUUGGGAAUUCCUAUUGGCAAUUUUGGAGAAAAUGAGUUUUGGUCUUAAGUGGAUGAGAUGGAUCAAAUGGUGUAUAUCAUCAGAAAAUAUAUAUGUGCUUUAUUAACGGGACCCCAGUUGAACUAAGUUGAGAAAGGGGGACACACUUUCUCCCUAUUAUUUAUCUUGGUCAUGAAGGUGCUUUGUAAGAUUCUAAGGAGAGCUAGGAAUGGGGUUUUCAUCAUGGAUUUCGAGGUGGGUGGUAGAGGGGGCGAGGGGUUAGAUUUGACUCAUCUUCUAUUUGCUAAUGAUACUUUAAUUUUUUUUUUUUUUUUUUUUUUUGUGACUAAUCAAAAGCAUUUAGAGUAUCAGAGCUAAUUCCAAUUGAAGGAACUGAUAACAUGGAGGCCCUUACCGCUACUAUGAGAUGUGGGACGAGGUGCAAGAAAGAUCUCAAAGAAGGCUUGCCAUAUGGAGAAGGCAAUAUCUUUCCAAAUGAGGGAGAUUUAACUUAAUUAAAGGUAUAUUGUCGAGUCUUCCUAUCUACUUCAUGUCUUGUUCAUAACCUUUAAAAAGGUGAGUCUAAGAUUGGAGUAUAUCCAAAGGAACUUCCUUGAGGUGGGGCUGCAUCAAAGGAAAAGCCUCAUUUGGUUAAUUAGUCCAUAGUUUGCUCAAAUAAAAAGAAUGUGGGCCUUGGCAUUAGGAAUCUCUCUUCUAUAAACAAGGCACUCCUUAGCAAGUGGUGCUAGAGAUUCACAUCUCAAUGUGAGUCGCUUGGAAGAGUGUUACUGCAUAGAAGUUCAAGGAAGAAGGGGGAUGGUGCUCAAAGGCAAUGGGGGAUGGUCAUGGGGUGGGUGCGUGGAAGGCUAUUAGAAAUGAGUGGGAGUCCUUCGUUAGAACUCACUCCAUUCCUCGCAACAAUAGAAGAAGGGACUAAUUCUAGAAAAAUAGAUGGUGUGGUGACUCAUCCCUGGAAGUAUCGUUUCCGUCUCUAUUAUCUUUAGCCAAUGAUAAAGACUCUUAGGUAGUAGGAGCAAGGAGGAAAGGGUGAUCUAUAGAGCCCCUGCUUCUCAAGGCAUUUUCAUGAUUGGGAGAUUAAAGAAGUGAUGACCUUUCUACAAAUAUUGCAGAAGAGCUCAAUUUAGAGUGAGGAAGAGGACAAAUUGGGGUGCAAGGAGUCCAAAAGUGUUGUGUUUUUAGUGAAAUCUUUCUUCCAUUCUUCAGUUCAAGAAAAAAUGAGUUUUUCCCCUCUCAGCAUGGUUUGGAAUCCAUGGGUACCUGUGAAGGUGGGAUUCUUUGCAGGGUAAGCAACUUGGGGGAGGAUUUUAAUGACUGAUCAGCUUAAAAAGAAGGGGAUGGACAAUGCCUAAUCGUUGCUUCACAUGCCUAUGACAUUUGGUUCUCUCUUUUUGGUGUUGUUUGAGUGAUGCAUUCCACCAUCAGAGAAAAUCUUUUGAGCUGGCACGUUCUUUCGUGGGUAAAAAUGGAAAAAAGCUUAAAGGACUGCUCCUUUAUGCUUGUUUUGGGGAGCGUGGAAGGAAAGAAAUAGGUCUUUUGAAAAUUCAGAAGAAUCUGAUCAGAAAAUCAGAUCUUGUUUCAGGAACUCCUUUUUGGAAUGCAUUACAGUGUACAUAGAUGACCAUUCAUUGUCCAUGAUAAACUUUGUUGCUUGGCUUAGCUUAAUGUAAGGAGAGGGAGGUUGUCUUUUGUGUUUCUCUCGUUUCUCAGCACACCUUUUGUUGGUGUCACAUGCACACACCAUGUGUACAUUGCUGCACCUUUGCUUAGGCAUCUUUGAUAUAUUUAUGCUAUUUGCCUAUAAAAAAACAGGCAAUCUUGAGAUUAUGGAAUUUACGCUAAACAAAAAAUGGCUCCCAAAUAAGCUAAAAAUGGGAGAAGCAACACUUCCAUGUUAAACUCUUUUUGAAGCCAGAGCACUUUUACUAAAAAAUAAUGUGAGUGGCAAUACAAGAAAACCUAGAAUAAGAGAUGAAUGCACUUACAAAAAGACAAUAGUACAAAAAAUCAGGACACCAUGAGAAAGCCUAGUUGGUUUGGUCAAGAUAUACAAAGCACUGAAGACAUCUUGAAUGGGAAAAGAUUGGUAGGGCAGGAGAGAAGAAAAACACCAUGGCAUGUGGCUUAACCAAUGAUAAAGCCUUAGAGCUGCAGCAAUGAAAGAAUUAUAUAGAAAGCUAACUAGUUAGGUGUUGGGCUGUCCUUUGCAUCUGAUUGAGUAUCUUGAUUAAAGCAAAAUGAAGACUACCGAAGACUAUGAAGACAGAUUUAACCUCAAAGUAAUGUUUUAGAAUCAACUGAACUAAACAUGGAUUGCAAGUUAUCCAAAACAACAGGAGUAGUGAGACAGCAGAAAGAUUUAUUGCCCUUCUAACAGUAGAUAAACUAUGUGGAUUGACCCACUGACUCUUCAUUAGAAAAGGAGGCAUAAUUAUAAAAUGACAUUUAUAGAUAUGCAUGUGACACUUAUGAUCAAAAACUAUAAAAAUCAAUCAAAGAAUUUGAAACAACUUUGAGCACCGGAACCCGCAAUCUUCACAAUAAUUUGAGGGGAAAACCAAUUACCAAAGCUCUUCAACACUGUUCUGUAAUGGAGUACCAGUGAUCAGCAACUUGUUCUUGGCACUGAAUUCCUGCAGAAAAGCAAGGCAUCAUCUAGCAUUAACCAAAUAAGACUCAUCAACAAAAAUAAAUAUUAUUUAUUGAAAAGACAAAAGCCAGAAAAUUAUAAUGAAAUAUGUGUACCCAGAGGAUUGUUUACUAUUGUGCUUCAUAAAUAAAAGGCCAACGUAAACAUAUCAUUAAGAAAUACAGCAUACCGAGAGGGUUGUAUACAAUUGUGCUUCACUGUUCUUUAACCUGUGGGCUUCAUCAACCAUGAGGUAGUUCCAUUUGAUCUUAGAAAGCACAGCCUUGUCCUUCAGAACUACUUCAUAAGUAGUCAAUAAAGCAUUGAAUAGAAUAGUCCUGCCAGUUUUCUUAUUAGUGUAAAAUUCAUAUUGCUGACAAACCUGCAAAUAAAAAGUAGCAAAAUUAUAAAUAAAUAAAACAAAAUAAUAGAUAUUUUGAUAAGGACGCAAGUAUAAUAGGGAAAUAACAAUUCAGCAGAAUUGUAAAUAGAAAAUUCUCNAUUUAUCUCAUAAGUCNNNNNNNNNNNNNNNNNNNNNNNNNNNNNNNNNNNNNNNNNNNNNNNNNNNNNNNNNNNNNNNNNNNNNNNNNNNNNNNNNNNNNNNNNNNNNNNNNNNNCCCCCCCCCCCCCCCCACACAUCCAUUUCAUUUGCAAAGCAAUAAACUAUUUAACUGGAUCAACCCAAGUCUACCAACUCCCUCAACAACUCUAUCGACACACCAAAAACCAUUUAACUGCUCCUCAUCCCAUUUAACUGGAUCAACUGUAAUUCCAACUCUCUUGCCAAGAAGACAGCCAGUCACCACUAAUGCAAGAGAAUAUUCAUUAACACAAUUGUUAUAGGCGACAAAAAUUUAUUGGAGGCGCAUAAAUAUAACUCUUCAACCAUCUAUCUACCUCCUCUCACUCCACAACAAAAACAACAACCACCACCAUACAAACACACAGGCACACACAAAGUCAACACAAACACUCUCUAUACCCUGCCUCAAAGGAACAACUCCUCCCCAUCCUUUUGUCCACGCAGUGAUGAACUAUUUAACUGGAUUAAUGCCAACUCCACCAACUCCCUUGUCAACACUACUGCUCCUUCCACCAAUGCAAGCACAUUUUCAUAAACACAAUUGUUCUAGAUGUCAAGCAUUUAUUAAAAGUUUAUAGAAGACAAUACUUCUCCGAUCACACACAAAACCACCUAAAGUUGGAGCUUUUUCCACCAGUAGCAACUGAAAAGAGAGUUAAUAAAGAUGGCCUUCCCAUAUAAGACAAUCUCUCCAGAUAGACAUACUUGUAUAAAAAGUGCAGUCUUAGAUCCAUUGUUUUAUCACUGCACUAUUUCUGAGUUUUUCCAGGGAUUCAUUCUGAAGAGAUAUUCCAAAUAUUUACAGUGUUUUCUCCCAGGGUUAUGUAGGAGAGUUAGGAGACCUUGUGGAAGAUUAGAUUCAAUAGAAAUGUUUGUCUCUUUCAGGAAAAAGAGUGACCCGUUGAUGAGCUGUGGGACAGAAUGUGCUUUGAAAACUCUUAGGGUAUCUAUAAGGAGAGAAACCAAAGAACCUUUGAACUAACAGACUACACGAUUUUACGCUUCUUCAUGUACAUGUUUGUGGAAUGGAUUAGGGUACAUAUAGAGUCUACUUCUUUGUCCCUUUCAGAUUUCAUAGAUUGGUUGGGCUGUAAGUGAAGCGAGGGUGUUGUUUUUGCCUAUCCCUCCUUUUUUUGGCCUUGUAUACAUCAUGUAUACUUCAGCAGCUUUUUUGGCACUUUUAAUACAAUUGUUUUACUUAUCAAAAAAAGGGUAUCUAUAAGGAAAGAGUUUGCUAACAUCCCUAUAAACACUAUUGCAAUGGAUUGGGAUAUAUUUGUCCAACUAAACAAAACUGAGUGGGGUAUCAUUGUCAAUGGUUCAUAUCUGCAGUGGACCACCUUAAGCUCAAUUUCAAUAAAUGUUCAUCUGAACAUCAGGUCAAGCAGGUGCCUAGGGCAAUAUUGAAAUAAAAGGAAUGAGCCUGUUAGCUCAUCUACAAAAGUGGUAAUGGAUUCACUAUAGCAAUGAAGUUAUUAGCCACAUUUGAGGCUUAGAAAGAGGUGUAGGGUUAAAGGAUUUUUUUUUAUAUAACCGCAAAACCUUCCAUGGCCGAGCUCUUCAAACUCUCAAUGGGACCCAAAUGUCAAGGUAUUGACUAUGCCCACCACAAUCAACACCAGGUAAUCUAGGGCAUUCAACCAAUAGCAGGAAUUGAGCCUAGGACCGUGUGCCUCUACCACACAUCCUAGCAUUCACCUUAAUCAAUUGUAUACCCUGAUGGAUAGAAAGAAGUCCACAGUGACAAUUGUUUGAAUGUGGACAAGGCAUAUAAACCCUAAGGCCUACUCCUAAUGCAUGGAUCAUAUCAUUUUUUUGAUGGGUAAACACAGAAGAGAAUAUAUUAAAUAGAAAAGGAAGCCCGAAGGGCAACCUAAGGCAUUUUACACCCAAUCCCCCCUUACUUUUAUCCAAGCAUACAACCCUCCAUUUAACAAGAUAAAUUUUCCUCUCCAAAGCCCCCCCACCCCAAAGGAAAUCCCUUUGGAUUUGCUUAAGUCUCAAUCUAACCGAUCUAGGCAUACGCAAAAUUGACAUGUAGUAAAUAGGCAUGUUCGACAAAGUGCUUCGAAUAAGAGUAAGUCUCCCCCCUUUAGAUAUAUAUUGCCUCUUCCACAAAGCUAAUCUCCUCUGUAACCUCUACUCCACCCCAUCCCACACCACCACUGAUUUGUGAGGUACACCCAAAGGAAGCCCUAAAUAUAAGGAAGGGAGCUUCCCCACCUUACACCAAAGCUCAAGAGCCAGCUCCUCCAAAUUCUCCACCCUCCCUACGGGAAGAAUCUCACUUUUAUCCAGAUUAAUUCUUAAACCAAAUAUGACUUUAAACCACAUUAACACCCAGCUUAGGUGAGCCAAUUGGCCCUCAAAGGCAUCACAGAAAAUCAGCGUGUCAUCAACAUACAGCAGAUGGGUGAAUUGAACUCCCUCACCACCCCUCCCUUUAACCCUACAGCUAGUCAAAAAGCCCCCACUAACCGCUCUCUUGAUCAAACAGCUCAAGGCCUCCAUACCUAUUACAAAAAGAUAGGGUGAAAGGGGGCCCCUUGUCUCAACCCCCUGGAGACUGGGCAAGACAUGAUUCCUUAUUUACAUGGCAACCCAGAUCCACUAAUCAAGAAACUGACAAUCUCAUGAAAGAAAGCCACAACAUAUAUUGUGUUGAUAAGAGACAUUUACCCUCCUUGCAGUGUAUGGAUUACAUUUACGGUUUAUUGUAUUGUAUAAUUUGUAUGGCUAUUGGGUUUUUACCUUUUAUGCUGAACACAUAGUAAAAGGAAUGCAAUUUAACACUUUCAAGGUUAUUAAAAUAAUUUGAGUCAAGCAGGAAUUUUUUGUUUUUUUAGAAUUCUGAUAAUUUUUUUCUCAAGUCAUGUGGCCCCAUAAUAAAAUCAGUAUAUGUACCAAACUCAAACUUUCCAUUGAUAACAAACUAUUUUAAUUAUCAAAAUAUAAAAUAAAAAAUAACAUAGUCACCAUAAUUAGGAAAUAAUGAAACACAAUUUGCUUGGUCCAGAAAAUGCCUUUUUUUUUUUGGCCAGGGGGCAAUUCUUUCUGUACAUGCCAAAGAUAACAAACAACUAUAAAUCCUGACAGCAUAUCAACAUCAACCCACCCAAUACAAAGUAUGACUCACCUCUCGGCUAGCACGGGUCCCAACAUAAACAAUGACAUUCAAGUCAGGAAGCCACUUCUUGAAUUCUUUUGCCCAGUUUGAUAAAGUCGAUAAUGGUACAACAACAAGAAAUGGUCCAUAUAUUUGUUGAGCAUUCUGUAAGAACAAAUGAAUGUUUCCUUGGAUUAUAAGUCUACAAGGAACUACAAGAAAAAAGUAAUAAUAAUAAUAAUAAUGACAACAACAAUAACAAUAAAUGAUAAUAAACACAAAAGCAAUAAUAAUACUACUAAUAAUAACUACUAGAUGCUUACCUGCAAAAACCCAAGCAUAGAAACUGACUGCACAGUUUUGCCAAGACCCAUUUCAUCAGCCAAAAUAACAUUAGUAUCAUUUCUCCAGCUGUUCUAUGAAAGAGAAGCUGAUUAGUAUAUAUGCUAAAAUUAGAAUAUUAUAUUUAAAGUACAUUUUUUUAGUUUAAACUGAUCAUUCUAAAACAAAAGAAACCAGCAUACCUGUUAACAAGAAAAUUCAAGCCUUCAAGCUGAUAAUCACGAAGUUGUCCUCCCUUUAACCACCCAGGCUGCUCAUCAAGCUUCCUUAAACUUGCUAAACAGAAAGAGUAUUCUCAAGUUAUAUAUUAUUUGUGUUAUUUGAUCAGACAUGCAAGUACCAUAUGGUUGAAAAGGAAGAAAAAGGAAAAAAAAGGGAGGAAAAAUUUUGAAGGUUUUAUUAACAAAAUAAUGUUGGUGUUUGAGAAACAAUAUGAGAAUAUACCAUUAAUGAUCAAUCAAUCCAUUCCACACUUAAAUCACUUGGCUCAAUGGCUCAAGCUUUUGUCGAAUUUUGGUGGUAAAAAUGGCUAAGGAUUAAAGAUAAAAAUCAAAGUAAAUGAUAUAAGAUAGAUUUAAGAUAAAAAUCAACCUUAAUGAAGAUUUUGAGUUAGUUUCUCACAUGCUAUGGUAUCACAGUCACUUUUUUCCCUUUUACAGAAUAAAGGAAAUUUUAUUAUCAAAGAAUGAAAGACACAUGAGCGAACUCUUCGCUUAUGAUAAGCAUUCACAUCGCAUACAGAACAUAAUUUGCAGCAAGCGGAUGACAUAGAUAGCUGCUAUAACUAGGUUUUGGGAUAAGGGUGUAUAUAUAUAUAUAUAUAUGUCACUAGCAAUAAUUGUAGGAAAGUUUCACUUUGAGACCCAUACAAAAUCUCAUGAUGAGAAUCAUAGGAAAUUUAUCCUCACAUUAAGGAAUAGAGGAUCUCAAGAUCAUUAGGAAGUAGAAAAUGGAUAGGAAGGAAAUGAAUUUCCCACAUUCAUCAUAAGCAGAAAGCAAAUGGGUUUAAGCUUGAUUAUCUGAAGCAGGAAGCAGUAACAUCUCCAAACGCUACAGAGGUUUUAAAAAAAGUAAUUCAAGUUCUACAAAAUUGUUGGGCACCAAUGUACUGAUAUGUGAUUGAUACUUCAGCAGUAAUUCCAGUUUUUUGUCAUUGAUGCUAAUAAGAACAAAUGUUGGGCAAAAGAGGCAUAAACUUUUCCUUCACCAUUUUAUUUGUACUGUAUGGUUUCUACUCUCUUCUUUCUUCCUUCUUCCAGUUGUUCAUGCAAAAACAACCAUCGAAUACAAUUUAACUAAUUCAACUUGAUCUAGGGCAAACCUCCGACAGAAAGUAAUGACUAAAAAGGUUCUCCAUCAAACCUUCAGAACAAGCUUUUAAAUACAGUUGAACUGAGUGCUCCAGAUCUUUUGAAUUUUAUUAGACCAUUAGAAGCAUUCUUAUGAUUCUUGUGCCUUUCCUAAUCAGUAAGACACUGAACAAUAUUGCAUAGCAAUCCAUAGCAGAGGUUCUCUUUACAGUGUCCAAGGUAAAGUCUGAAUAUUUCCUAGUAGGUUAGUCAGGUUGGAGAAUUCAAAACCCAUACACACCAGUUGGUUGAUGUUUUUUGAGGUUGAAGCUGUCAGUGAUUUCAGAGGCUCAGAGGUAUUACUCAUGAAAUUUUGGCAACUACUUGAGCUGCCUGGCUCAUAACCAAUCAAUAUUCAAGAUGAGCAUUACCCAUAACAACCCAUAGAGGCCAUGCUUCAUAUGAAUAAACCUAACAUUUAUUGCCAGACACAUUACAAUUAUUACAGGGGACUUCAAAACAUCACCAGUAAGGCUGUAACCAGAUUGGAGACUGACCAAACCACACUCUUUUUUUUUUGACAGUAAUCAGACAAAACAAUCUUUACUUAGAAAAUGAGUACAUUUUACUGACAAAGAAAACAAAACAAUGCAAGCAGGAUGGUUUAUAUUCAGGUCAAGAAGGAAAAAAAAAGUAGAAAAUAAUUAAAUAAAAUGAAGACAACAACACUACCCUCAAGAUCUGAAGACCCAACUCCUAUUGGUGACUUAAAAUGGCCCAUAUGGUGCUCCAGGGAUAUGUCUCCUUCCUAAGUUAAGAAUUCCACUUCAUUUACUGAACCAAGCUAACUGCACACAAUUAAGCUCCAUUUUUUAUUUUUUUUUGAUAAAUAAACACCAAAUUCAUUAAAAAUUAAAAAACACCCCCAAGGACGCCACAAUUGAGCUCCACUUCUAUCCUAUCAUAUGGUCCAUGAUCACAUUUGAUGGAUAAACAAGCCUCCAAGAUUCCAGGGCAUCAGAAAGCACCCAUGCGAUGACUGUUUAUUAGGUAUUCUAGCAAAAGCACUCCAGAAACCUGGAAACUGGUAAUUUUCCUGAGGCCAGCUAGGAUUGCCAACACCUCAGCCCUAACAGAAUCCCCCUCAACAACCAGCUCUGAGAACACAUCGACAACCUCAUCCAAACAAUUCUCAAAGAUAACCCCAACUGAUCAAUAGCUUCUUAAAAAUAAUGCCAGAUUGCCAACUAUCAUAUAAAAUAGAAAGAAGAACCAAUACUCCACAUUGUUAGUGUUAUAAAGGCAUUGUGAGGAAAUGCUUCAGUUAUCAACUAACAGAAAUAGAAUUAGAUAGGCAAGUAAGCCACUUUUCAGUUUUCACCUCAAAAACGGUGAUUAUUAUUCUGCAAGUUAUCAAACCUAGACAUAAAACCGACAAUUUGAACCAAGAUAAGAUGCGACUAAGGAACUAUACGGACCUUUACUCUUCUUACGCUGCAUGUCCACCAUUUUUCCUUGGAUGGCAGCUGCAGCUUCACGAGCCUGUUUAAAAAAUGACAGAUCAGGGAUUUCAAAGAGUAUAACAUCCAUGCUCUUAUUUAACAAGAGAAUCAUCUAUAUUGAUACUUGCAGCAAAUACAAAUAAAAUAAAGAAUGGAACAGUAAUUAAAAAGAGAUCAAUGACAAGCAAAAUUAAUGAACUGUAUGAUCAUAAAGAAAACUGGGGAGCUCUAAUAUAACUAAGAUGAUCUUGAAUUACCAUAGGUUAUGAAUCUAAAUACAUUUAGUUUAGUGAUUAGUGGUAAAACGAAUGUAAAAGCUAUAGCCAUAAAGGCAACUAGAAAGAAGAAAAAUUAGCAAAGCACUUCUAUAAUUCAACAGUAUGUGACCAAAAAAACAACCAUUUGCAUGUAUUUUGGCAGAGAAAUAAAAACAUUAAAUUGCAUGCUACCUUGUACUCAUCAAUAGCAUCUUGAGCAAAUGCAAUAUCUACAUCCUUCUCCCUAAAAUGAAACAAAUCACCAUCAUAAGCAUUACAGCUUCCACCACAGAAAGAAAUGAACAAAAUAUUGCAAGCGCCAGAAAAGAUACCAGCAGGGAAUAGAAGCAGAAGUAAUUUAGUAGCUUUUUUUAUUUUCUUUUCUUUUUUUUCUCGGAGGGUGGUGGGUGGGGGGAGGAGGGAGGAGGGGUUGGGGGAGUUGUGUGUUGAAAAUAACUAUAGUGUGUGGGUGUGUUCAAGUUUCAAAAUACCAUGUUGCUUCAGCAUAUGAGAGUCCCUGCCACUUGACUAAAUACUCUGGCAUCACAUCACCUGAGCCCUCUUUACCAAUUCUGUAUGCAAUUAUUCUCUCCACCUGCAAAUGCAUUUGAGAAACUAAGCAGAGAGAAUUACAAACUUGGAGAAGUAAUCCAAAAUAGUAACAAGGUUACAAACAAAAAACAAAAAAUAAGAUCAGUACAGCAAACCUGACUAUUUUGUUUAAUGAGGUCUAAGUCCAUUUCCUUGCUUACAUCAUUGACUUCAAUCUAAUAGGUAAACAAACGCCAAAAGAAAAAAAAAAAGGUUAAUGGGUUUCAUAUAUAUAACUCAAGAAUCAGGUUUAUUUCAUAUCAAUUUUAACUCCACUACAGAAUAAAAAAUAACAUAGAAUUAAAACUAUGAAAAGAGAUUAAUGGGUUGUAAUGCAUACGAAAUAAAUGUGUAAUUACUCAAUUCCACGCCAUAAUCUCACAUUAAUUACCAACUGUUGGCAAGUUGGCAUGAAGCAGUUCCAAAGAGAAUUAUAGGCAGAAAUGUUAAGGUUGCAUCAUUAUUAUGUCACAUGAGUGCACACAAUGAAAUUAAAAUCCGCCUACAAAAAGAGAACAGCAUUACUCUAAUUCAGUGAUUGACAGGGUCUCGAGGAGACUGGAUGAAUUGAAAAAGGUCUUUUAGUCUCUAUGGGAUAGAAUUACUCUAAUUCAAAGUUGCUUGUCCUACAUCCCUAAUUAUUUCUUACCUUUUUUAAAGAUUCCAGUGUAAGUAGUCUCUAAGAUUGAGAAAUUACAAAGAAAUUUUCUCUAGACGAGAGUUGGGGAGGGUAGAAAAGAUCAUCUCAUUGGUUGGGACCUAAGGUGUAAGCCUAAGGAGUAUGGAGGUCUGAGACUUUAGAUUGAUCUCUCUGAGGAAUUGUGCUUUCUUAAGGAAAUGGCCUUAGAGAUUCCCUAGGGAAAGUUUUAACCUUUGGCAUCAAGUUUUUUUUUUGUUUUUUUUUUAUUAUUUUUUUUUUAUGAGUAAAUCAAGAGUGUAUUAUAAACAAAAAAUGUAAAAACAGCGCUCCAAAGUACAUGAGAGGUAUACAACGAACGCUUCAAAGUGCAAAAAAAGGACCAACAAAAACUACGCUCCCUUCAAAAAGAACUCACCUAAUCCACAAAAUCUGCAAUUGAAGAAGGACCAGAAAUUAAAAACAACCCAGACCAAUCCCAUAGAUUAUAAAGAAAAGCAUGUUUUAGUCCUUCAACAGACUGUUCUUCAUUCUCAAAAACUCUUAUGUUUAUUUCCUUCCAAAAUGGUCCAAAAUAAGCAAAGAGGAGCUGCCCACUACACCUUUUUUCUCCUUUUACCAACAAAAGAACCAUUUCAUCUUAAAAGCGUGUCUCUAACAGAAGGAAGUAUCCAAAGCACACCAAACAGGGAGAACAAAAGAUUCCAUA
This 92928-nucleotide long non-coding RNA is filed under the name Vitis vinifera (wine grape). RNAcentral describes it as "long non-coding RNA (VVIN_LNC001921)". Lineage: Eukaryota; Viridiplantae; Streptophyta; Magnoliopsida; Vitales; Vitaceae. The record is from RNAcentral.